RNAcentral lists this long non-coding RNA (143237 nucleotides) under Vitis vinifera (wine grape). RNAcentral's name for it is "long non-coding RNA (VVIN_LNC001392)". Lineage: Eukaryota; Viridiplantae; Streptophyta; Magnoliopsida; Vitales; Vitaceae. The record is from RNAcentral.
GUGGUUUCUCUCCCUUGGGAGGUUUACCAAUUGGGGUUGGUGGCUUGUGUUCUGGGAGUGGUUUCUCUCCCUUGGGAGGUUUAGUGGGUGACUUGUGUUCUGGAGGUGGCUUCUCCACCGGAGGCUUGUGCUCCGGUGGUGGCUUCUUGGUUGGAGGGGGCUUGGGGUAAUCAGCAAGAGAUGGGGGGGUGAGAACCACCACUCCAAGGAACAACACUAGCAAGUAUGUGGGAGACAUUUCUGAGUUUGAGCUGAUCAGAUGAUGCAAAACUAGAAGAAUUACGUGACCUUUUAUAGCAAGUAGCUCCCAAUACCCACAUGACACGUGUUACUGUGACCAUAAAUAUUAUAGGGUCCAUUUGUGCCCUACCGGGUUGAAAACUUGGACGCUUGGCCGAGGACACACCGAACUAUGGAGGACUAUUGACGUGUGAUCACAGCUUUUGGAUUUUUCUUCCUGUGCAGCUGUCUAGCGGUUGGCAUUAUUUUUUUAAUCUUAAAUAAAGGCAUAGUUAUAGAGUACAUUUAUAUAUCUUCAGAUAGCCAUUAAUAUAUUUGAUGAAGAAAGACAAGUGCAUACAACAUGUAUACGGCUUGCUUCAAUCGAGUACAUUUAUGAUCAGUUUUCCAGUGCAAGUAAACCAGUUUUUUGUUCCACAACUAUUUUGGAAUCUUGUUUAUCAGUUUCUAUCAUUAUAAUGUCACAUAGGCUGCAAACUUGGGCACCCAAAGAUCUAGUUGGGCAAAUUUGUUUCAGAAUUUCAAUGGUGGAUUCAGUAAUUGUUAAAAGGUGUUUCUUCAUUAAGGAAAGAGUCCUGUAAAAAUAUUGUUAAAAGGUGUCAUAGAAACUAUAAUAAUUAAAUAACUUCUUUUCCCCGUGGGUGGUGUUUCUUCUGGGGAUACCCAAAAUGAGUUCAGAUUAAAAUUGGUUCGAGUCAAAGCUGUCUCUUUUGUCCAGAAAUCAACUAUUUUGCGCAUUGCAUGAAUCGAUAAAGAAAAAAUGAAAGCCAAAUCACACCUCCCCUGCAAAACCUAAACCCCGGUUGCUAACUUUCUAUGUUUCAGUCCUAUUCAUACAGGAAUAUUGGUUCAAGUUUGAGAAAAAUGGCAACUUACCUAGGGAUUACUUGGUUGUGGUUUGCGACGACUAUUUACGCAACCAACCAUGAGUUUGACUUUAACGUCAUGGGUUGAAGCCUCCUACAAUCGUGUAUGAUAGUUCAAAGCUCGUAGUAGAAAUUAUACAGGAAGGAAGAAACCUCCAAAGCUAGCUCCAAAAGAGAAUUAUCACAUCGAUAGCUCCAGAGAUUCCCAAGGGGACUGAAUCAAAGACAAGUUCCUCACUUUUUCUUCUUUUGAGGCCAAAUAUGAACCAAGGAUCACACGACCUCAUUCAACUUCAUAAGUUUGAUUUCAUGCAGUUGAACACUGGGUGAAGGCCAUGACAAGAAUUGAUUAAAAAAUUCUACCACUGUUUUAAGUAAUGGAAGAUUAUUAUCUCUGAUUGGCACCACAACAGCACAUGCUGCUAGAUCUUUCUAGACACUCCAUGCAAUGAAAGUACAAUGGAUCUUGUAACGAUAGAAACUAAGCCAUGCUACAGUACUAGAUGACGAGGUAAAACUAUUAGACAUGGGUGGCAGCCUAUAUGGGAGGGACACAAGUCUAAUUGAUUUGCAUUUCAGCGUUCUAGAUGGGUAUGUUUUGGAAGAUUUGUUCUGGAAAUACCGCACCAAGUAGGAUUCUUUUUUCUCUUGAGUGGGUCCACUUGCAUGCCAAUUAUCGAGUUGAAAAGUAGAGCACCUACCUCGUGCUCGUGGAACCGAAGGUCAGUGAAGUGGGGCUCCUUUUGGCCUCUUGUGUUUCUGUUCCAACCAAGGCGGCGGAGGGAAAAACAGCAAUAUGUCUCCGCUAAAUAUCAACGCAUGAUAGCGAAUGAGGGAGAAAAAAAGUAAUUGGCAUCUCAAUCUCACAAACUUGGUACAGUAGUGACAUUAAUAGUCUUCCACAUGGUUUUUAUUUUAUUUUAUUUUAUAUUUUAUAUUUUCCAUUUUUUUAUUUUUUUGUAUGUCAAGGCUAAUGAAUAAAAUGCGUUAGCUUGUUUUGUGAUUGGAACUGCAAAUGUCCAAAUUGGAGUUUCUCCAUUUCUCAGUUCGGAUGGUUAACUUUAUAAACAAGAUAUAGGAAACAUGUGAACGUCUUGAGGAACAAUUCGAAUUAUUGAUUAGAACUCCUAGGUUGAGUUCCAAGAUUUAAAUCAGACCCCUCUAGCAGCUUCAGGGGUACCUAGCAAUUAGAACAUAUUAAUGAAGAUUUAGGAUUUAGACUCCGGAAUACAAAUUAAUAUGUAUCUUAUGCUCUGACUAGCUUCCCUGCAUAUGCACAAAAUGGAGAUGACCCAAAAAAUAGCAGAAUCGCCUUAGUUUAUGUGGUUAAGGUGAUUCUCCGGUUAAUAUCCACAUUGGCUCAUUAUGCAAAUCAACUGAGCUAUUUUUUUUUUAAUGUCAAAUAGGAACUCCUAAUUAACCUAACCAUUGGCCUGUGUAAAUUGAUUUCACAUGCACAAUGUUGUAGUAGAAGUCCACAUUUUGAAUUUUAUUUUUGGAAAGGUAAGGAAAAUGAAGCAUUGUGUAAUUAUAAAAAUAACUUCAUUGGAAUUCACAAGGUUCACCCAAAAUGGAGCUACAUCCGUAUUCUAUCUUACAGUAGACUAUAUAGAUUGUACAAUAGUAAAUUGCAAAUACAAUUAAUAAGUCUUGUGUUUCCUUACUAAUAAUCCUUUGACAUAAACAUUGCAGCACUAAGGUCCUCUUGGGCAGACACCUUGCACCCAUGAGAGCACUAAGAGGAAGCAAGGCGGAGUCAUGGGUGCAAUGUCAUGACUUGUUGCACUAAGAGAGGCUUGGUGAUGGCAUAGUGCUGCAGUAGCAAGAAUGUUGCCUUGGCAGGGACACGAUCUAGGGACAGAUGCCAAGAAAGGCUUAGCACUCACAUGAGUUGCACAAAGAUGAAUGAAAUAGAACAUCAAAGAGACAUCUUGGCAAGCUCAAGAAAGACAUGUGGGUUGGUAAAUGAAUGGAUGCAAGAGGCAACAACAUGAGGAGUUUCAAAUGGAUAGGGAAUGAGUCAAAGACAUUUGAAAGCUACAAGUUGGAUUCUAAUUACGAUUGCAAUUUGAGUUUGAGUAGGAGUUUAUAUUAUGAUUGUAAUUGUAGUAUGAGUUGGACUAGGAUUGCUUAUCCCUAGUCAAAAUAGGAGUUGUUCAUGCCACACCCUAUGAAAAGAGUUUGAGUAGGGACUAGGAUUGCUUGCUCCUAGUCAAAUAUGGAGUAGGUGGUGCCACACCUAUAAAAAAAAAAGGGACAACAUGAGAGAGAGAGAGAAUGAAUUCACCAAAGAUAUUGUGGGAGUUUUGCUUUGUUACAUCUUGUAUUAUUAUUUAGAAUAGUAAUAAAAUACAAGUUGGGGCUAGAGCCCCAUAAUCUCGUGUGCCUUUGUGGGUUAUUCUUUAUUUGCCAUCUCGUGUGGAUUGGAUUAGAUUGAUGAGGCGAAAUAUUAUGUGGGAAAUUUAUGUUGGGACACUUACCAUAACCAGGUAAAAUCUACCAAGUCUUUUGUAAUAUCUUCUACAAAUAUUUUAGACCAGUUCUUCACAAAACAUCAUAAUAUGUUUUGUGUUUCUCUUGGAUUUUGAGUUGAAUUGUCUUAGAUCAAUUGAAUGCAUCUCAAUAUUAUUAUCUUGUUUGAAGGCUUGAUGAUUUUCCAUUUAACUUUACUUUCUUUAGGUUAUGCUUGAUUCCUUAAAAGUACUAAGGAAAACAAAAAAUAAAAAAAAAUAAAAAAUGCAGAGGGUUAGGACAUGUGUUAUCUAAUUGUCCUAUCCAAAGAUAUUAAGAAAGUCAUGUAGGAAAGUAAUUGAAAACUAGGUCAAGAAAGGAGCAAAAGGGAAUUGUUUUGGUAUUUUCUUUUUUAUUCUUGAAGGUGGCAGAGCUAAAAUUUGAGAAAUCAAGCAAAACAUACUGAAAUUACAUUGAAAGAAAGAAAAUGGUAGUUAAUGUCUUGCAGUACAUGAUAAGGACUUCAUGCAUGUAGUGUGACGACCCAUGUCUUGGACUGAUGCCACACUCACGGUUACACUUAUACCCUUGGUUCUCUCUUUACUACCUUGGCUAACCUAGAUCAGGCUAUGAGAUAGGCUCCUCACCACACCAUCACUUGCCCAGUAAUUAGUGACAUUUUCAAGCAAUGAGGUAACAUGGUGACACCAAGAGGGUUUAUCCCUCGCCCCAACAAGUCUAGACUCGGUCUCAAAAAAAUGGAGAAAAAUGAGGUGUCGUUAUGCAGAAAUACAACAACCAUGCCUUCCUUAUUACUUAGAUUCAGAAUGUGAAGGUGAAAUUGAGAAACAGAAACUCUUGAAACCAGAAUGAAAAUUGAUACUUUUACGAAGAAUUACAACAUUAGAGGAAGACUACAUUCUUCCUCUAUAUUCCUACGUUUCUACACUACUUCUACUCCACUCCAUAUUUCUACAUACAUCUUUAAUCAGUUUUCCCUCCUUUAUAUAGAGCCAUCUUCACACAAAUUCCGCAAGGUAGAAAAGAGGAAUGAAACUUGGAGCAAGGUUCGACUACUGGUUGUCGCUUGUCAAGGCUGGAAUUGAACUUUUUUUCUUGGCUUUUCUGGGCAUAGGUAGUAACUUGUGGUUCCUUUUUGGAAUGAAAAUGGUACAGCUAGAACAUGUGGCACUCUCUUGUUGGAUUAUGUGUCAAACAUGUGGCAGCCAUCUAGUGGAGAUUAUUUCAAUUUUGGGAUGGAGAGUUGGCAUCCAAUUGCAAAGAAAUAUGACAUCUACCAACAUGCAAUGUAAACCUAUAUAGAUCAUAUGGAGAUAGAGAGGAAACAUAUAGAAAUGGAUAUAUACCUAGAACUAGCUUUUUAUUAAAUGAGACGGAGAGCCAACAAUGAAGGAAAAUCAAAAUUUUUGGCUCAUAUCAAAGAAUUCACAUUGUGUUACCCUAGGUUUUCUUAAAGCUUGCACAAAGCCAAAAAGCACACAAAAAAUUAUAUUUUCUAGCUCUCUACCUUGGAUGGUCUCUUGAUCCUACUUGGAGAUGUGCAUAAAUAAAAGGAUUUGAAAAUGACAAUUGACUAAGUAUGUAGUCAAUCAAUUACUCAUUAAUUGACUAGUUGAUCAAUUAACUUUGCAACAUCAUAUGCAAUCCUAAUAGCUAGUCAUCUAAUCAACUAGGUAGUAAAUCAAUAGGCCAAAAAUAUGUUUAUAAUGACUAUUUUGUACAAAAACCACCUAUAUGGUUAAAUAUAAUGCAUUUCAUUUAUAAAUCUUCUAAUUCUUGAAUAACGAUCCUAUCAUCCUUUGAAAGUUUUUAUUACACCUUUUAUACUUUUGUUCUAAAACUUACACAUGUACAUCACCCUUAAUUGUACCAUGAGAACCUAGCUUUUUUUUUUUUUUUUUUUGUAAUUCAUCAAAGUUAGCUUUUGUAUUCAUUACUGUACUAUUUUUAUUGUAACUUAGAAAGCGAGUGUUUUCAAGUGAGUGAAAUUGACUUAUAAAUAUUGUAAAGAUUCAUUGAUGUGUAUCUUAAACUAAGUGUACAAGUUGAAACAUUUGCUAGUAGAUUUUCUCAAGAUUUAGAAUAGAGCUUGAGGCUAUUGAAAUAGGUGGGGUUGCACCAAACCACAUCACAUUGUUGUUUGCACCUUUUUUUCACUCUCUUUUACUUAGUUGCUCUAUAUUUGUUGUCUAGUAAUAUCCUAUAGGCUUGAUGGGUUAGGGAGCAUCCCUUUGUGAAAAAUUUUCAUUCAAUCCUUAGUUGUAUCACGCAUAUAUAAAAUGCCUCAUUGUUUUAAUGGUAUUCAGUCGUGGCAUCACAGAUAUGGGCAUCUAAAUUUUAAAAGUUUGAAACUUUUAUCUAAAGAAAAUAUGGUGCUUUGCCUUUUUGUAAAGCAUGUUGAUGAAAUCCAUGAGAAUUGUGUACUUGGGAAGCAACAUCGAGAUGACUUUUUUUUUUUUCAUUUUUUAUAAUGCGACACCUAAGUCCGGUUUCUAAAUGCUGAAGUGAAAGGGUAGGUAUGGACCAUUGAAAUCUGAUCACAACUUUUGGCCUUUUCCUUUCUCUGCAGCCAUGUUGUCUCUUUUUUCUUUUGCAUGAUUUUCUUACCUAAACAGAAUCAUAGACUUGUUUAAUCUCUAAAUGGUAUUUCAUCCAGCUUUAAGCUACUGUAUUAUAUCUUGGUGGAGGACUUUUAAGAGUGAAACCGACAUAGAGCACAUGCAAGUGGGUAUAUGGGACAUGAAAUUUCUUCUUAUAAAGACUGCAUGGUUUUUAUAUUAGAGUUGUUGAGGCGCAAUGUAUUUAGCUUGUUUUGCAGUUAAAUUAAUUGGAUAAGUAGACAUUGUCGUUUCUAAAUUUCCCACCUAAGAUAGUGACCUUAUCCUUGACUGCUUGAUGAGAUACACAAACAAUUAUACCUUCAAAAUCUACUGUGAAGUGCUUCAUGUAUGUGUGAAGUAUUAGAAAUUUCUUUCUUGGCAACUUGUUUUUUCUUUGCCCUCUACUGAUAGGUUUGACUCAAAUUAAAUUCCCUGUCAUGCUAAUUAAUUUUCACGUGCAUGCUCAAAAGGAUCACGUCAACUCUGGUUUCUACUAUUCAGGUCCAUUCCCAGAUAAACUGGUUCAAAUUUGAGAAAAUGGCAACAGCCCUUUAGUGAUGUUGGUUUGGAGCCAGUAGCCAAACCCGCCCUGAGCUUUACCACUAAUGUCAAGGGACAAAGCCAUUUGAACAAAAACAAUAGCUUCAAGAGACUGAAUCGUGGAUGAAAUCUGAUCCACAUUUCUUCUCAUUUUGGGAACAAAUGAGAACUUAACUACAAAGAUUCUACUGCCUCAUAGUGCUUUUCCUGAUCUAAGGUUGGUUCGUUUCCCAAAUUGUGAGGUACGUGCCAUUCUCACGCUCAGGAGUGUAUCCACGUGGUGGACAUAAGAUGGUGGCUUAAUAUCUGGUGUCGGUGGCUUUACUUUACUAGGAGAGUAGUGUGUCUUCAUCUCAUUCACUGCCGGAGGGUGGCGUAAGCAGUGACGCUAAGGUGGGGCACAGUCAAUAUCAUUUGCAUUUGACCAUUAUAGUUUUCUCCCGGCUUGAAAGUAACCUUAUCGUGAUAAAGGAUUACUAGCACUAGUUCAGAUGACAGUCAUGUUAAAUUCGGACCAUGUUUGUGUCACAUUAUCAGCAACCAUGUGUUUAUGGUUCAUGCUAUCUGCAACUAAACUUGAUAUAUAACCACGUGAACUUCAAUCUAAAUUCUGGAAGUACUCUUGUGAUAGAUGGUGCCUGUCUGCAGAGUCCAUCAAUUGAAAAAUGGAGUGAGUGUAUCUAUAAGAGGGAAGGCUUGGCAAAUGUUCAGUUUUCUGGGAACUCAACAAGGAUCUAAAAUAGAUUGUUUUCUUUGCUGAUUUCAAUGGUUGAAAUUUGAGAAGAUUGUGUCCACAUAACACAACUAUUACUGGUCCUUCUGUUGCAAUUUAUCCUCUAAGGCUCUAACAUGUCUUCCAAUUCCCACUUCCCUGUUACUCCAGGAAAGCUAUUUCUGUCAUUGUGAAGAAGAAAAGAGAAUGUACAUAUCGAUGGUUUUAAGUGACUGGGGCAUUCAUAUCAGGUGGUCUGCAGCCAUAUAUGCCACUUUGUGAAGGUUGGAACAGUCAAUCACCAGGCUAUAUUAGUGUGGCCCAGCCACUUCAAUCAAGGACAAGUCUUCAUACUUAAAGUCAAAUUCUGCCUUUAGUCUCAUUAUAAAUUGCUGUUUAAAUAUUAAGCAAACAUUUGUUUAAUGCGAUUAAGACAGUACUAACUCAAUACUUGUUCUAUUUUUGGAUGCAAAUGCUUGAUGGUUUCAUCAUUGGAUGGGAUAAAGGUGCAUUCAUGAUUAUGAAUACUUGUAGUUAUAUUUUCAUUCUCUUUUUUCUCAAUGAGACUUGUUGGCACAAUUUUGCUGUUCAGAAACCUACCUCUCCAUCGAAAAUCAGUUGUGAUUGAUAGUACUGGAUAUAUUCAAGAAAGCUAAAUAUAGAUAGCACCAAAUAUUAUCGAUAUAAAUAGCAUUAACAGCGUACGUAUGUCUCAAUGCUCAUCAGCUAUAAGCAACGGGCAAACACUUACUAUGAGCAACUUGCGUCAAAAUUCCAGAAUAGGACAUAGAAGUGACAGAUCUAUAUAUAUAUAGAACACUGCAUAUGAGUCACAAGAAAGGAAAUUACGGGUGCAUAGCAGCUCUUAUUUUACAUCCUACUCAUACUGAUCAAAGUCACUCAGUUGGGAUGGGUGGGAGUAGGAGGUUUGUGGGGUGGCUUGUGCGGAGGAGUUGGCAGCUUCUUUCCAGGACCUGGUUGCUUCUCUGCUGGAGUUGAAGGAGGCUUAAUCUUCCGAGGUGGCUUGUAUGAGUCUUCAGCAUUCUCAGCAGGAGGGUGACCAGGGUUGUGACCAUAAUGUGGUGGCUUCUCUCCCUUAGGUGGUUUGCCAACUGGGGUUGGUGGCUUGUAUGAGUCUUCAGCAUUCUCAGCAGGAGGGUGACCAGGGUUGCGACCAUAAUGUGGUGGCUUCUCUCCCUUAGGUGGUUUGCCAACUGGGGUUGGUGGCUUGUGUUCUGGGAGUGGCUUCUCCCCCUUGGGAGGUUUUUCCAAUGGGGUUGGUUUGUGUUCAGGAGGUGGCUUCUCCACUGGAGGCUUGUGUUCAGGAGGUGGCUUCUCCACCGGAGGCUUGUGUUCAGGAGGUGGCUUCUCCACCGGAGGCUUGUGUUCAGGAGGUGGCUUCUCGAAUGGGGGAUGCUCAGGGUAAUCAGCAAGUGAGGGGUUGGUGAGAACCACCAUGCCAAGCAACAGGACUAGCAAGUAUGUAGGAGACAUCUUUGGGUUUGGACUUAAGACAGUGGAAAACUGCGAGAAUUCUCUAGCCUUUUAUAGCGGGUCGACCCAGUACUCACAUGACACGUGUCAUUAUGACACAUGUGCCAUGGGGUCGAUUUGGGUCCUACAGUGUUGAAAAGUUGGGCAUUUGAGGUGUGAGCACAACUUUUGGCCUUUGCUUUCUCUACAGCCGCCAUGCUUUUCCCUUUUUUCCUUUUCCUUUUGUUUUCCUCCUGCCUCGUGUUCUCAACUAAACACAAUUAGGUUGUUUAAUUGUUAAAUGAGAUUUUUGUCUGUCAAUCAUAUUAUAUCCUAUCAAGAGAGAACAGAGUGUAAUGUAGUACACAUAACACGAGGCAGUAGUAAUUUUAUCAUUUAUUUUUAUAGCUUGGACCACCGCAUUUUUUCUUCUAAAAUAUUCUGUCUUGUUAAGAGACGCAAUAAUACACAAUUUUAUCUGCCAUUCAACAUUUACUGUAAAGUUCUUUUAUCUCUUUGUAGUUCUAGAAAAGUACAAAAUGGAACAUCAUGUAUAUGGUGCCUUCUGUCCUAAAAAAGAAACUGGACAAAUUAUGAACUGCAUGCUAAAAAGAGGCAAAGGAGCUUAAUUCGCAGCAUAAUUAUUUUGGUUUCUAGAGAGCCCGGGGCCUUUUGGUUGGUUUGGGGUCAGAAAAUGAACAUCAUAGGGAUUGUGCCCUUAACUGGCCUUGUUACUACAAAGAAAUUGCCAUAGAAAUUUAUUCCAGGCUGAGUAUCUCCGGAUAGACCCCAGAAAAGAAGAGUCAUAAUGAGAAUCAACCUUUGUUGAGUUUGAUUCCAUGCCUCCAUUGUGUUCAUUUCAUGAAUCUGAUUUGCAUUUAACAUUACAGUUUUGUUCUGGAAACAAUCAAAGGAGCAUCGUUUGCUUCUUGGGUGACCCAUAGUGGUGGGUGGGUCGAUUUGCUUAGUUGAAAAUUGGACAAUUGGCUCCAUCGCCUACCUCUUGGAUUCCAUGCUCGGAUAAAACGACAACAAAUAAAUAUUUAUAACUUACAACUGGGGAAAGGAAAAAAUAGUACUAAAUUCAUGGUACAUGAUAGUGAGAGAAGGGGGUGUUACACUCAGCUAAAGUUCUUUUCUAAAUAUUGCAUGGUGUUUAAUUUUAUGUGUCGGCGCGCGUGUGAAUGGAACCUGCAAAAGUCCAAAUUGGCGUUUCUCCAUUUUCCACAUAGGAUGGUGACGUUAAUAGACAAAGAUACAAUAUCUGUAGACAUUGCUUAAAAAUCGAUGUGAAGUAUUAGAAAUUACAGGCCACUGUACUGGGGGAGCGGCUGCCCCGCCAAAGGAAGAAUGUAGCAAUUUCUUCUGUUAGCCAGGCCUUAGGAUUUAUGCAUGGGAUGCCUAAUAACAAACAGAGAAAAUAUGCUUUUGGGGAAGGUAUCCAACAACAGACACCAUCAUUCAGAUGGUGGGAAGGUAUCCAACAGAUGCCAUCAUUCAGAUGGUAACAUAUAUAUACAUUUAUUAGUGAGUUUUUUUAAUACCUAUAAAAAAAAUAUACACUUUGAUAUUGUGGCUGAAUCCAUUACAUACUCAACUAACCUUGCUCAUUAGGGAUUUGACGUAACAAGGGCAACGUUGCAGUAAAAGCUCGAAACUUUAUGCAGGUGACAUUACAUUUGGUAAAGAAGAGGAAAAUAAGGAAAGCCAUCCAUAAAAGCAAAAUUCCUCAUGGGAUGAAAUUCACAAACUUCAUUUACGUUAGAGUCGCAUCCAGGCAAUUAAUUCCACAUUAGACCGCCUUUUGACAUGUGUACGGAUCUUUUUUCAAAAAUUAUUUAUAAAUAAUUGAUACUUACAAAAAUAAUUUAAGAUUUAUAAAGGAUAAAAAAAUAUUUUCAAAUCUAUGACAAUUUAUAAAAUAUUAAUAAAAAAUUAUCUCUUAAACUUAGUAUAGUUUUAUCGUAUUAAACUUUUAUUUUGAACAAAUAAUUUUAAUCUAAGUUUUAAAUUCUAAAAUUAUUUCCUUAAAAUAAAAUUUUAAAAUUCAACACUUCAAUUGAAAUUGUCUUUUAAAAAAAAUAUCUUCUUAUUUUAAUCCUUAUAAACUAUAGUUGAUUGAAAAUACUAUUGAAGUUCUCUCUUCAAAAAAAGUCUUAUUUUAAUCUUCAUAAAUUGCCCUUGAUUUGAAAAUAAACUUUGGGUUAUCAUAUUUUAAAUAAUAUAUAUAUAUAUAUAUAUAUAUAUAUAUAUAUAUAACAAAUACUCUAUUUUUUUUUUAAAUGAACUAAUUUUAAUUAUAUUUUAUUUUAUUUUUUUAUAUAUUUUUAAUGAUAAACCAAACAUAGAAAAUCAUUUUUCUAAAUAUUUUAAAAUUUCUAAGCAACCAAACAUAAUCUUCAAAAUAAAAGGAGAAUAAGGAGGGACAAGUGAGAAAUGGCGAUUAAAAAAAAGUGUACAAAAGCUCAAUUAAUUUUCUUCUAGUCUUUUAUAUAAAAAAGUAUUGGUAUGUAAAUUAAUAUUUGGAUUUUAAUAGUAUUUUAUUUGUCUUUCUCUAUCUCAUGUAAAAGAGAAUUUAAGAUAUUUCCUAAAGCAAAGCAUUAGUUAUCUGCAAUCAGUGGUGAUCAUGGUCCAUGUCAAUUUCGGACCCAUAUCUUAAAACCGUAUAAUUUGCGUUUCAACAUUACUGAUUUCUCAGAUGUUUCAUACUCCACAGAAGAGUAUUGUUAGUGAAAGCAUUUUGUAACUGUUACUCAUAGUGUUUUGACUCUGGCUCAACAACAUCAGCCAUUGACGGAUUUUCAUACAUGCAAAUCAAAUAGUCUUCUUCCUCCCUUAGGAAUUUCGGUUUAAAUGUUAUUAAGCAUACAUUUGGCUGACAAUUAUUAACCACUUCAUGAUAUGGUUUCUUACCCUUAAUCAAUGGUUUCUAAGUGAAUAUAUGCAGAAGGAAAUCUGAACUGUAGACAGCAGUAUUGAUAACUCUCAAUAUUCUUUAUAUAAGAGAAUAAACAACGUCAUAGUGAUCGUCGCCUACAAGAAAGGUACAUUUCCCAACAAGAUGUAGUGGUGACUGCUACAUGGACGCAAUUAACUCGUAGAAAAGGAUAAGACCAGUGCACGGCAGCUCUUAUUUUACAUGCUAAUUAUGCUAACCAAAGUCACUCAGUUGGGAUGGGAGGGAGAUGGAGGUUUGUGCGGUGGCUUGUGGGGCGGAGUUGGUGGCUUCUUUUCAGGAGCUUGUGGCUUUUUCGGAGCUGAAGGAGGCUCAAUCUUAUGAGGCGGCUUGUACGAGUCUUCUUUACUCUCGACAGGAGGGUGACCAGGGUUGUGACCAUAAUGUGGUGGCUUCUCUCCCUUAGGUGGCUUGCCAACUGGGGUUGGUGGCUUGUGUUCAGGAAGUUGUUUCUCUCCCUUGGGAGGUUUACCAAUUGGGGUUGGUGGCUUGUGUUCUAGGAGUGGUUUCUCUCCCUUGGGAGGUUUAGUGGGUGACUUGUGUUCUGGAGGUGGCUUCUCCACCGGAGACUUGUGUUCUGGAAUUGAUUAAAAAAAUUCUACCACUCUUUUAAGUAAUGGAAGAUUAUUAUCUCUGAUUGGCACCACAACAGCACAUGCUGCUAGAUCUUUCUAGACACUCCAUGCAAUGAAAGCACAAUGGAUCUUGUAACGAUAGAAACUAAGCCAUGCUACAGUACUAGAUGACGAGGUAAAACUAGUAGACAUGGGUGGUAGUUGAUUACUACUCAAAAAGUACUCUUUUAUAGUUUGAAACUAACUGUUUUAAACACUUUUGAGUAGUAGUUAAUAAAUUUUAACUCAAUUGGCACAUUAAGGAACCUAGCAAGGGUUACUAAUAAACUUUUGGCAAGUUUUGGUGUUUUUGGUAGUUAUUCGAUCAUUGAAACAAGCCAAGAAUGAGGGAGAAUUUUGUGAAGUCCAUGGCAAUGCAAGUUAAAGCUCAAAUACACGAAGAAUCCAAGCUUUGGAGCACUACAUAGCCCUUUGCCAAGCCAAUUAGAGAUGCAAGGAACAAAACCAAAGGAAGAAAUCCAACAACCAACAUUUUCGCAUGGUUGUGUGAAAUUUCGCACACCAUGCGAAACCACAAGAGGUAGCCAAAGAAUUUCACAUGGUAUGCGAAAUCUUCUCAUGCACCGACUCCGUUAGAUUUUUAUCUUCAGAUAUUUUGUGUAAUUUCCUAGUUUCUCCUUGUAACCAACCUAGAUAUUUUCUUUUAUAUCUUUUUUUAUAUUUUUUAGGUAACAUCAUAUAUAAGGGGAGAGACAUAAGGAGGAUAUGGAUGUUUUUCAUAGAACACUUGUAAAUUUUCAGUAGUAAGAAAUAUACAAAGCUUUUUGCUAUGCCUUACCUUCUCAUUUUGUUUUCACCUGUCUUUCUAGCCAAACAACCUCUAAGGAUGAUUUCUCAGGGGAUGAGUGGCUAGGUUUUACGUUUCUUGGAGUGAGGGAAGCUAGGUGAAGGACCUGAAUGCAAAGAUGAGAGUUUUCCUUGCUUUAAAUGAAAGUAGUUGUUAAACAUUAAUGGUUUUUAUUUUAAGGUUUAGCUUUAAAUCCCUUAAAAACACCUUGAAUGACCAAUACUUGGUAAGCUUUUCGGAUUCUAUGGAUGCUUAUUGCUAGAUCCAUGGAUGUCUAUUAGUUAUCAUUUACGAGCCUUUGGAAGGUGAUUCAAGGUGAGGGUCUUUAGUGUUUGAAGCCAUUAAUGGGAAGCAAUUACCAUUUUUUCAUGAAUCCUUUGGAUCAAAUCUUAAUUGCUAAAUAUAAAACCGAUUUGGGAAAUAACCAUCCUUUAUGUUAUUAUCCCCAACGCAAGGAGAAGAUCCGGAAUCUUCCCUUUUGUCUAAGGAACCCGAUCCUAGUGACCUAAAGCUCCAAGAGACCUUUUCUUUGUAGUUAACUUCAUUUAUUGUUUUUGCUUAACUUAAAAUCAAUCUUUGCAACCACAAUUCCAUUUUCUUUAAAAGCUAAUUUUUAUAAGGAAAAACACCAUUUUAUUUCCUUCACUAAGUCAACUGUACGAUGAAAACCCAUCCCUGUGGACGAUCCUAGAGCCAUUAUACUAUGUUAGCUAUGCUACCCUAGUGUGAGGUGAUUUAGGUUUUAUAAAUUUUGUUGAUAACACCCAUCUGAGCCAGAAUCAAAUGGCACAACUGAACCAGGGACGAAUCAAAUGGCGCCGCUAUCGAGGAUGGUGCCAAAGUACAUUGACAUGACUUUUGGUGAACACUUGUGAUCUUCAUCACAAGUUUGGUGAUUUUUCUAUUACUAAUUUUUUUCUUUGUUUUUAUUUUAGCUUAUCUUUUAUUUAGUUUUUAGCUAACCUUAACUUUUUCUUAGAAUUGUAUUUCUUCUAUUUUCUUUGUUUUUGUUUCAGUGAUCUUUAGUUGUGCAUGCCCUAUUGGAUAAGAAAUAUUGAGGGAAUACUUGUGAAGAUUGAAAAUCCUCGAGAAACUGAGUUGGAAGUGUGAUUGAACAUCAUGGAUGUUCCACCUGAAGACCAGAAUAGCCAACAUGGUUAAGAGGAUAAUUUCAAAGCAUACCGAUCCAUGAGGGACUGCAUGCAUCCACCUCGUAUGAGUGCACCGUCAUGCAUAGUGCCUCCCACUGAGCAACUAGUAAUCUGACCUCACAUUGUGCCACUCCUACCUACUUUCCAUGGGAUGGAGAGUGAGAAUCUCUACUCGCAUAUUAAGAAAUUCGAGGAGGUUUGUAAUACAUUCCAAGAAGGAGGAGCUUCAAUUGACUUGAUGAGGCUCAAGCUAUUUCCUUUCACUUUGAAGGAUAAGGCUAAGAUUUGGCUUAAUUCUUUAAGGCCAAGGAGUAUCCGAACUUGGACUAAUUUGCAAGCCGAUUUUCUUAAGAAGUUCUUCCUUACCCAUAGGACCAAUGGUUUGAAAAGGCAAAUUUCGAACUUCUCAGCUAAAGAGAAUGAGAAAUUCUAUGAGUGAUGGGAGAGGUACAUGGAAGCUAUUAAUGCUUGUCCUCACCAUGGCUUUGACACAUGGCUCUUAGUGAGUUAUUUUUACGAUGGUAUGUCUUCUUCAAUGAAGCAACUCCUAGAAACUAUGUGUGGAGGAUACUUCAUGAGUAAGAAUCCGAAGGAAGCCAUGGACUUUUUGAGUUAUGUGGCUGAAGUUUUAAGAGGAUGGGAUGAACCAAAUGCUAGAGAGGUGGAAAGAAUGAAGUCUCAACCUAAUGCUAAGGGUGGGAUGUAUGUUUUGAAUGAAGACAUUGACAUGAAAGCAAAGGUUGUAGCUAUGGCAAGGAGAUUGGAAGAGCUAGAAAUGAAGAAGGCACAAAAAGUGGAAGCCAUUUCUGAGACAUCAGUGCAAGCUAUGCCUUGUUCCAUUUGUCAACCUAAUGCUAAGGGUGGGAUGUAUGUUUUGAAUGAAGACAUUGACAUGAAAGCAAAGGUUGUAGCUAUGGCAAGGAGAUUGGAAGAGCUAGAAAUGAAGAAGGCACAAAAAGUGGAAGCCAUUUCUGAGACAUCAGUGCAAGCUAUGCCUUGUUCCAUUUGUCAAUCUUAUGAGUACCUAGUGGAGGAGUGUCCUACAAUUCCAGUAGUGAGAGAGAUGUCUGGUGAUCAAGCAAAUGUUAUUGAUCAAUUCAAGCCUAAUAAAAAUGCUUCAUAUGGCAACACCUACAAUUCAAAUUGGAUGAACCAUCCAAAUUUCUCUUGGAAACCAAAGCUACCUCAAUACACACAACCUGCUCAAGCACCUUAGCAAUCCUCGAAUCUUGAACAAGCUAUUGUGAACCUUAGUAAGGUUGUGGGAGAUUAAAAGUCCAUCAAUGCUCAACUGAAUCAGAGAAUUGACAGUGUAGAGAGUACAUUGAACAAAAGGAUGGAUGAGAUGCAAAAUGAUCUGUCUCAAAAGAUAGACAAUGUCCAAUAUGCAAUCUCAAGGCUUACCAACCUCAACACAGUGCAAGAGAAAGGAAAGUUUAUUUCUCAACCUCAUCAAAAUCCCAAGGGUAUCCAUGAAGUGGAGGCUCAAGAGAGAGAAUCUUCAAAGGUGAGGGAAGUCAAAGCAGUUAUCACCUUGAGGAGUGGUAAAGAGGUUGAUCAACCCACAUCCAAGCCAAAGCAUAAUGAAGAGAGUUUUGUAGAAAAAGAAAAGAGAGGAAAAUAAAGGAAAGAGAAUAGAGAAAAGUACAAAGAAAGAUGACCAUGAGUCUAGUGUGGAUGAAGAGCCCAAGAGGAUAGUGAUCAAGGAAAAUAUGAUGAAGAAACACAUGCCUCCACCUUUCCCCUAAGCUUUGCAUGACAAAAAAGGAACCAAUAAUACAUCGGAAAUUUUUGAAGUAUUGAGGCAAGUGAAGGUCAAUAUCCCUUUGCUAGAGAUGAUCAAACAAGUGCCGACAUAUGCAAAAUUCUUGAAGGACUUGUGCACUGUAAAGAGAGGGUUGAAUGUGAACAAGAAAGCUUUCUUGACCGAGCAAGUGAGUUCCAUCAUACAGUGCAAGUCUCCAGUGAAGUACAAAUAUCCGGGCUACCCUACCAUCUCAGUGAGUAUUGGAGGUACUUGUGUGGAAAAAGCUUUGUUGGACUUGGGAGCAAGUGUGAAUUUGCUACCCUACUCUGUCUAUAAGUAGUUGGGACUUGGAGAGUUGAAGUCAACAUCCAUCACCCUAUCUCUGGCAGAUAGAUCAGUGAAGAUUCCAAGAGAGAUGAUAGAAGAUGUCUUGGUUCAAGUUGACAAAUUCUACUAUCCAGUGGAUUUUGUUGUUCUUGAUACGGAUCCGAUUGUCAAAGGAACUAAUUAUGUUCCUAUCAUACGAAGACCCUUCCUAGCUACAUCAAAUGCAAUCAUCAAUUGUAGGAAUGGAGUCAUGAAACUCACGUUUGUCAACAUGACAUUAGAGCUCAACAUCUUCCAUUUGUACAAGAAGCAUAUCCAUUCAGAAGAAAAAGAAGGUCUAGAGGAAGUGUGCAUGAUUGACACUUUAGUGGAGGAGCAUUGUGAUCGACAAUGCAAGAAGAUUUAGUUGAGAGUUUUGGGGAUCUUGAUGAAGGGUUACUUGAACCCUCAGAUUUGCUUGCUACCCUACUCCAUUGGAGGAAGAGAGAAGAAAUUCUACCCUUAUUCAAUGAGGAGGAGACACAAAGAGCUGCUAAAGAUAAGCCCCCAAAGCUUAUUCUUAAGCCACUACCCACAGAGUUGAAGUAUGCAUACUUGGAAGAAGACAAGAAGUGCACUGUUGUUAUAUCUUUAGCUCUUACCAUUCAUCAGGAGGAUUGUCUACUUGAAGUCCUUAGAAGAAGUAAGAAGGUAAUAGGGUGGCAAAUUUCUGAUUUGAAAGGGAUCAGCCCUUUUGUCUGCACCCAUCAUAUUUACAUGGAGGAUGAAGCUAAGCCAAUUCAUCAACCUCAGAGAAGGUUGAACCCUCACAUGCAAGAAGUGGUGAGAGUUGAAGUUCUUAAGCUACUUUAGGCUGGUAUUAUUUACCCCAUAUCAGAUAGCCCAUGGGUGAGUCCUACUCAAGUUGUGCCAAAGAAGUCGGGGAUCACGGUGGUGCAAAAUGAUAAGGGAAAAGAUGUCUCUACAUGUCUCACUAUAGGUUGGAGGGUGCGUAUCAAUUACAGGAGGUUGAAUGUAGUGACAAGGAAUGACCAUUUCUCGUUGCCCUUUAUUGAUCAAGUGCUUGAGAGGGUCUCUGGGCAUCCUUUUUAUUGUUUCUUGGAUGGCUACUCGAGGUAAUUUAAGAUAGAAAUUGAUGUUGAAGACCAGGAGAAGACCAUUUUCACAUGCCCAUUUAGAACCUAUGCAUAUAGGAGAAUGUCUUUCGGCUUAUGCAAUGCACCCACAACUUUCCAAAGAUGCAUGUUAAGCAUUUUCAAUGAUAUGGUGGAGCAUAUUAUGGAAGUCUUUAUGGAUGAUAUCACCAUAUAUGGAAGUGCAUUUGAUGAAUGCUUGGUCAACUUAGAAGUUGUUCUGAACCGAUGCAUUGAGAAAGACUUAGUGCUUAAUUGGGAGAAGUGCCAUUUCAUGGUACACCAAGGGAUUGUCCUUGGGCACAUCAUCUCCAAGCAAAGCAUUGAAGUUGACAAAGCAAAGGUUGAACUCAUUGUUAAGUUGCCAUUCCCAACAAAUGUCAAAGGAGUAAGGCAAUUCCUUGGCCAUGCCGGGUUCUAUAGGAGGUUUAUCAAGGAUUUCUCUAAGCUUGCAAGGCCUCUUUGUGAAAUAUUGGUGAAGGAUGUUAAAUUCAUAUGGGAUGAUAGAUGCCAAAGGAGUUUUGAAGAAUUGAAGCUAUUUUUGACAACCUCACCAAUAGUGAGGGCUCCCAACUAGCAACUGCCCUUUGAGGUAAAGUGUGAUGUCAAUGACUUUGCUAUAGGAGCUGUUCUUGGGCAAAGAGAAGAUGGAAAACCUUAUGUGAUCUACUAUGCGAGCAAGACAUUGAAUGAGGUGCAAAGAAACUACAUAACCACCGAGAAAGAAUUGUUAGCUGUAGUUUUUGCCUUGGAUAAGUUUCGUGCUUACUUGGUGGGAUCCUUCAUCGUGGUUUUUAUUGAUCACUUUGCUUUGAAGUAUCUAUUGACUAAGCAAGAUGCUAAAGCAAAACUGAUUAGAUGGAUUUUCUUGCUUCAAGAGUUCAAUCUCCAGAUCAAAGACAAGAAAAAAAUGGAGAAUGUGGUAGUAGACCACAUUUCAAGGCUAGCUAUCGCACAUAAUUCCCAUGCUUUGCCCAUUAAUGACGAUUUUCUAGAGGGGUCUCUCAUGUUGGUGGAAGUUGUCCCUUGGUACGCUCACAUUGCUAACUACCUGGUCACAAGAGAAGUUCCAAGUGAGUGGAAAGCACAAGAUAAGAAGCACUUCUUUGCAAAAAUUCAUGCCUACUAUUGGGAAAAGCCAUUUCUAUUCAAGUAUUGUGCGGAUCAGAUAAUAAGGAAGUGAGUUCCUGAAGAAGAGCAACAGGGGAUCCUCAGUCAUUGCCAUAAAAAUGCAUGUGGAUGCCACUUUGCUUAUCAGAAGACAACCAUGAGGGUGCUGCAAUCGGGUUUCUGUUGGCCAUCACUUUUCAAAGAUGCCCACACCAUGUGCAAGAGUUGUGAUCGAUGCCAGAGGCUUGGGAAGUUAUCAUGUAGGAACAUGAUGCCUUUGAACCCCAUUUUAAUAGUUGAUCUUUUUUAUGUUUGGGGCAUUGACUUCAUGGGACUUUUCCCUAUAUCUUUUGGCUACUCUUACAUCUUGGUGGGAAUAGAUUAUGUUUCUAAGUGGGUUGAGGCAGUCCCAUGCAAACACAAUGACCAUAGAGUGGUUCUCAAGUUUCUUAAGGAGAACAUCUUCUCAAGAUUUGGGGUGCCCAAAGCCAUAAUUAGUGAUGGGGGUACUCAUUUUUGCAACAAGCCUUUUGAAACUCUCCUAGCCAAGUAUGGGGUGAAGCAUAAGGUAGCUACACCUUACCACCCUCAAACUAAUGGGCAAGUUGAGUUAGCAAACAAGGAGAUUAAAAACAUAUUGAUGAAGGUGGUGAACACAAACAGAAAAGAUUGGUCAGUCAAGCUCUUCGAUUCACUAUGGUCAUGUAGAACAGCUUACAAGACCAUUAUCGGGAUGUCUCUUUAUCACCUAGUCUAUGGAAAAAAUGCCAUCUCCUUGUGAAAUUGGAAUACAAAGCUUGGUGGUCAAUCAAGAAGCUCAACAUGGAUUUGAGCAGAGCUGGGUUGAAGAGGUUCUUAGACCACAAUGAGAUGGAGGAAUUGAGAAAUGAUGCCUACAUCAAUUCAAAAAUUGUAAAAGAAAAAUUGAAGAGGUGGCAUGAUCAGUUGAUUUCCCGCAAGAAUUUUCAAAAUGGAUAAAGAGUCUUGCUCUAUGACUCUAAACUCCACAUCUUUCCGAGCAAGCUGAAAUCAAGGUGGAUAGGUCCUUUUACCAUUCACCAAGUGCAUUCAAAUAGAGUAGUGGAACUACUCAACUCCAACAACAUCGGGAGCUUCAAAGUGAAUGACCAUUGUCUCAAGCCCUUUGUAGAGUCUUUUUUCUCGCGACAAGGAGGAAUUCAUCCUCCUUGAUCCACAUCAAGCUUGACAAGACCAGUUUUUUUUUAUGGACUUAGUCUUUCUAAAGACUAUCGAGUCCAUAACUUUUUAUUUUAUUUUUUAUUUGAGAGUUUUUCGGUAUUAUUACUUGUUUUGUUUUUUAUUUUUCGUUUUACUUUUAUUUGGUUUGAUUUAACUUAGAUUUUUUAUGAUCAAUUGCAGGGGGGAUUUCAAAUAGAGGAAAAACCAAGAUAAUUCGCACACCCUGCGAAAAUUUCGCAAGGCAUGCGAAAUUUAUGGCUCAUUUCGCAUGGGAUGCGAAAUUUCGCACACCCUACGAACCAAUUUCGCACACUUUGUGAAAAUAAACCAACCCUACGAAAUCAUUUCAAAUACUCUACGAAAUUUUCGCAGAGCAUGUAAAAAAUUUCGCAGACCAAACACCAUUUCGCAUACUAUGCGAAAAUGUAAGGGGUCUACAAAACCAUUUCGCACCUCCAAAGCCAUUUCGCACAUUGUGCAAAAAUGAAAAGUCGCCCUAUCAUCCAUUUUUAAACCCCUUGAGCCCUGAAAUCCCCAUUUCGCAAGCACCCCUGUCCUUGCGAAUCCCUCAUUUUCCUCUGCCACCUUGCGACCUUGUCCCUCUCCAUUUGAUAUCGUGCCCUGCGCACAUCUCAUUUCAAAGACUCGCACUCUGCGCCCUCUCAAAGCACGAACCCAAGGCUCACAUUCCAUUUCCGACAUGGCACAGACCCGAGGAGCCCUUCCCGCCCCUUCAUCGAGACGCACACCAAGGUAGAGAGCCUCUUUUGCUCAGAUGCCAAGUGAUUCUCCAUUUCAGGCCACGGAGGCCCUGCGGAUUCCACAUUCCAAGGGUAGAACAGCCACUGGUCCUUCCUCUUCUAUUCCUCAGCGUAGAUAUGAGACGAGGAGACCACCUACUACACAAAGGGCGACUACUUCGCGCCAUGAGAAUUCGGUACGACACCCUCCUGCCAAGAGGGCCAGGACUUCAGGCCCAGGCGAGUCAUCCAAAGCUUCACAGCCUGAGCCUCCUGCAGAUUCCGAGGUUCCUACUGACAUAUCAUCGGAGUCUAUUAUCAAACGCCCGAUGCUCACAGCACCGCCCAUUGAGGGCAACUCUGAUUGUAGAGCGAGACCUUUCCACUUGGAGCUAUAUUUUAAUUAAGAGGCCAUGCCACAGCAGCCUGAGCUCCAAGACUCUUAUGGCUUACUACAGAGGUACCAUCUUGAGGACCUUAUGACUCCUCGUGAGUUCUUUUAUCCCAGAGUAGCACUAGACUUUUACCAGUCCAUGACUACUCGUGGCGUCCCGAGUCCUACCGCGAUGCACUUCACCAUUAAUGGACGUCAUGGUAUCCUCGAGGCCAGACAUAUUGGAGAGGCUCUACAGAUUCCUUUCGAGCUAGAGGACCCAUCUGUUUUCUGCCAAUGGUCCCCAAUAUCUCAGAGGGACAUGGUCCAUAUUUUAUCCAGGGGGACAUCUACAUAUUCGAUCCUUCUACGGAAGGAGCUUCGACCUGGGAUACUCCUCGUAGAUGUGGUGCUACUUUCCAACCUCUUUCCCUUUUAGCAUUCGAUACAUAGGCGAGGAGCUAUUUUGGACGCUUUAUUCUGUAUAUCAGAGGGCUUCUACUUUGGCCCGCACCACUUGAUCAUGGUUUCCCUCAUCCAUUUUGAGGAGAAGGUCCAUAGAAAGAAGCUUCAGAGGGCGAACACCAUUCCAUUACUAUUCCCGAGGUUGCUCUACUAGAUCUUGGAGUACAUGGGCUUUCCUACUGAGCCUCGGCUUGUGUGCCGCCGCCUUUGUCAAGAGCGAUCCACUCUCGACAAAUGGAAUCAGUUGGCGGGCUAUUCUACACCUCCAGGAGCCCCUCCCAUGGUAGCACCUCUAGUGUCCCCACAGGCAGAGUAGGGCAAGCUCCCGGUAGAGACUGCACCCCUAGUGCCCACACCUGAGGCUACUUCUGCUGUUCCGCCUACGACUCCUACUGUUCCACCAGUUGGUCCUUUUACAUCUGAGUCUUCCAUCAACAUCUCGACUUCGGAGUUUCGCGCCCUUGUGCAUACCUUUCAGACACUCACCACCACACAUACUGCUCUCUUCUAGAAAAUGGCUGAGAUGCGUGCCCAUCAGGACCAGCAGACUACUAUACUCCGCCAAAUUCAACAGCACCUGGGACUUCUGCCUCUGCCUCAGCUUGACCUUCCCACAUCAUCAGAGCCUCUAGCUCCAGUUGAGGAUACUAUUCCACCUGAGGACACUACCACAGUAGAGGUUCAGAUUCCACCACCUCAGGAGGCCACCACAGCUACAUUAGAGGAUGCAUCAUCUCCACCUGAGGCUCCCACUACUUGAUCAUAGGACAUCUCUUUAUCUUAUUGUAUUUACAUAUUAUAUUACUGGAGAUUUGUCUUUGUUUUGAUACUUUAUAUUCUGGCAUUGAAUGUAUUGCCUAAUGAUAUCUCAAUUGUACUUUCUCAUAUUAAUAUAUAGACAUCAAUUUUUUUUAGUAUACUUAGGAUUUUUCUAUUUACUCUACUCAUUACUCUUUUGUUUUUUUUUUUUUACUCAUGUGGUUUCUCCUAUACGACUCAGACUCCAUUUCACUCAGGAGGUACCACUUCUUCCCUUUAUUUUCAAUUGCUCUUGAAACAUUGAGGGCAAUGUUGAUCUUGGUUGGAGGGAGAGUUGAGGAAGGAAGUGAUUACUACUCAAAAAGUGCUAUUUCAUAGCUUGUAAUUAACUCUUUUAAAACACUUUUGAGUAGUAGUUAUCACCUUUUAACCCAAUUAACAUAUUAAGGACCCUUGCAAUCAAUUCUAAUCAAAUUGUGUUAAGUUUUGGUAUUUUGAUAGCUUUUUUAUCACCAAAGCAAUCCGAGAUUGAGGAUAUUUAUUUGGAAUCCAUGGCAAAAGAUGUUUGGACAGGACGUCCGGACACACCAUCGGAGGGCGGCGGAACGUGGGCUGUGGCAGGCUGUCGGAAUGACGUAGCAAGGCUUGUGCACUUUAGCCAAUGAUCGGGAUAACAUAUCCGAAAUUCUGCUCCGCCGACAUUCCACCCGGAUGUCUCACAUCCGGAAUUCUGCUCCGCCGACAUUACACCCAGAUGUCUCACAUCCAAAAUUCUUCUCCGUCGACAUUCCAUCCGAAUAUUUCACAUCCGACGCUUGACGCCGGAUGGGAGAGGAGGGCGUUUCAACUUCCCCGGUCAGACAUAUCCGAAUCCUUUGAUAACGCUUACCCGGAGAGUUUCGCAGCCAUUUUGCACAGUGCCGCGGUGUUCUCUUGAAGCUUCCCGAUAUGUGCGACCGACAUUUUGAGAUAUUUUGCUUUAGAUAUUUGAUGUCUAAAUCCCCAAACUCUCCUUGUAACCCACCAAUUAUAGGAUUCCUUAGUUAUUAAGUUUGGAAAAAUGGUGAAUAACCCCUUAUAUAUAGUUUGCAAUUUUCAUAAAAAAGAUAUGUAGAAUCUCGGGAGCUUGUUCCCAGAGAGACGCAUCCUUUGUACAGUUUUGGAAGGAAGUAAAAUACAGAGCACUUGCUCUGCUUUUCAUAUAUAUUUUUGUUUUCUCGUUCUUUUUAUUUCUAGCCAAUCAAAGUCUGAGGAUUUUUCCUCAGAGGAUGAGAGGCUAGGCUCUUCGUCUCUUGGAGUGAAGAAAACUAGGUAAGUUUCCACAUGCAUAAAUUGAAAGUUUUGUUGUUUUAGUUUUUAAUGAAGAGAAAGUGUGACCCGUUAAUGGUUUUUAUCUUUUUAGUUAACUUAAAACGCCUUUAAAUCACCCGGGCCAACACUUGAUAAGGCAAGUGGUCUCCAUCCAUUGAGAUGCACUAGUUUAUCUCUUGCGAGCCUUUGGGAGGUGGUUUGAAGGUAGGAUUUUCUAGAAUAACCAACACUUGAUAAGCUUUUGGACUCUAAGGAGACAUCCAUUAGUUAUCUCUUGCGAGCUUUUGACGGGUAAUCCAAGGUUAAAGAUCACCUUGAAUGGCAAGUACUAGGUGAGAGGUAUGAGCCAUUGCAAGAUGCAUUAGUGAGAGGGAUUUAGUGUUUGAACCCAUUAAAGGGAAGCAUCUGUACCACACCGGUUCGGGAAAUAACUAUAUGUUAAAUCCCCAAUGAGAGGAAAAGAAACAAGUGACCGGAACUCCCUUUUUGUAUAAGGAACCUGAGCCUAGUGAUCUAAACUCCAAGAAACACUUUUCUUUGUAAGUAAAAUCAGUUACUAUUUUUGGUUAGUUUAAAACCAAACCUUUUUCAUUCAAACAUCUUUAUGUUUUCUUUUAAAGCUAACCUUGAAAUGAAAAGGCACCAAUUCAUAUUUGAAUUAAUAUCAAUUGUGAAGUGAAAACCCAUCCCAGUGAACGAUCCUAGAGCCACUAUGCUAUAGUAGCUUUGUCUUUGCUACCCUAGUUCAUGGUUUAAUAGGUUAUAAAUUUUGUUGAUUACUCCCACAAUCAAAGGAGCACCAGUUGGACAUGAAUCAACUGAGACACUAAUUGGGCACAAAUCAGGAAGUUUUGUUAAUAAUGCUAGGUUAAUUUGUUAAUUUAGUUACUUUCUGCUUAAUUUUAAAAGUUUUCACUUUACUUUCCAUAGUUAUUAAGGAAAAAUUCUCAAAAUGAAAUGGGAGAAAUUGAAUUCUUACAUUUUUACUUGAAUUUUAGAAUUUGUAUUAUGCUUAUUGAAGCUGAUGAAUUAUUGAAACUCCUAUUGAAUUCAACCUUAUUUCUUCCACUUUAAUCUUACCACACACGGUGCACAUUAGGUUCCGAUUAUAAGAGGUGCGUUCUUAGCCUAUUGGAGGUUGGUCAAUUUGUUAAAGUUUGAGAAAGAUCUAGGUUAGGGGAGAGAGAAUAGUCUGACAUACUAUAAUCGAAAACUAAUAAACUUAACACUUAGAUCUUUGUGGAAGAGUAAGGAUUGGACCUUUGGGAGUGGAAAUUCGUUUGAUGCUUAAAUUUGCAUAAUGCUUACACUUUAUAAAUUGUGAUUAGGCAAGAGAUUUGAUGACUCUUGUUCAAGGUUGGGUUUUGCCUCUUUGAUGUUCCAUGAGAGAGUAUAAUCCUCAUCAUGCCACUUGAAAUUUUUUUUGGAGUGAUUAACAUGAUUUUGUAAAUUACUUUACUGUCUAUUUUUUUUUUAUCUCUCCUUCAUUGCUAAUGGACUAGCAAUAUGUCAGUUGAGGGGAGUGAUUACUACUCAAAAAGUACUCUUUUAUAGCUUGAAACUAACUGUUUUGAACACUUUUGAGUAGUAGUUAAUACCUUUUAACUCAAUUGGCACAUUAAAGAACCUAGCAAGGGUUACUAAUUAGUUUUUGGCAAGUUUUGGUGUUUUUGGUAGCUAUUUGAUCAUUGAAACAAGCCAAGAAUGAGGGAGAAUUUUGUGAAGUCCAUGGCAAUGCAAGUUAAAGCUCAAAUACAUGAAGAAUCCAAGCUUUGGAGCACUUCAUAGCCCUUUCCAAAGCCAAUCAGAGAUGCAAGGAAGAAAACCAGAGGAAGAAAUCCAACAAUUAGCAUUUUCGCAUGGCUGUGCGAAAUUUCGCACACCAUGCGAAACCACAAGAGGCAGCCAAAGAAUUUUGCACACUAUGCGAAAUUUCGCAUGGUAUGCAAAAUCUUCUUGUGCACCAACUCCGUUAUAUUUUUAUCUCAAAUAUUUUGUGUAAUUUCCUAGUUUCUCCUUGUAACCAACCUAGAUAUUUUCUUUUAUAUAUUUUUUAGGUAACAUCAUCUAUAGGGGGAGAGACAUAAGGAGGAUAUGGAUGUUUUUCAUAGAACACUUGUAAAUUUCCGGUAGUAAGAAAUAUACAGAGCUUUUUGCUCUACCUUACCUUCUCAUUUUGUUUUCACUUGUCUUUCUAGCCAAACAACCUCUGAGGAUGAUUUCUUAGGGAAUGAGUGGCUAGGUUUUACGUUUCUUGGAGUGAGGGAAGCUAGGUGAAAGACCCGAAUGCUAAGGUGGGAGUUGUCCUUGCUUUAAAUGAAAGUAGUUGUUAAACAUUAAUGGUUUUUAUUUUAAGGUUUAGCUUUAAAUCCCUUAAAAACAUCUUGAAUGGUCAAUACUUGGUAGGCUUUUUGGAUUCUAUGGAUGCUUAUUGCUAGAUCCCUGGAUGUCUAUUAGUUAUCAUUUAUGAGCCAUUGGAAGGUGGUUCAAGAUGAGGGUCUUUAAUGUUUGAAGCCAUUAAUAGGAAACAAUUACCAUUCUUUCAUGAAUCCUUUGGAUCAAAUCUUAAUUGCUAAAUAUAAAACUAGUUCGGGAGAUAACCAUCCUUUAUGUUAUUAUGCCCAACGCGAGGAGAAGAUUCGGAAUCUUCCCCUUUGUCUAAGGAACCCGAUCCUAGUGACCUAAAGCUCUAAGAGACCUUUUCUUUAUAGUUAACUUCACUUAUUGUUUUUUCUUAACUUAAAAUCAAUCUUUGCAACCACAAUUCCAUUUUCUUUGAAAGCUAAUUUUCAUAAGGAAAAUCACCAUUUUAUUUUCUUCCCUAAGUCAACUGUACGAUGAAAACCCAUUCCCAUGGACGAUCCUAGAGCCACUAUACUAUGUUAGCUAUGCUACCCUAAUGUGAGGUGAUUUAGGUUUUAUAAAUUUUGUUGAUAACACCUGUUUGAGCCAGAAUCAAAUGGCGCAACUGAACCAGGGACGAAUCAACAACUUAUAUGGGAGGGACACAAGUUUAAUUGAUUUGCAUUUCAACGUUAUAUAUAGGUAUGUUUUGGAAGAUUUGUUCUGGAAAUACUGCACCAAGUACGAUUCUUUUUGUCUUGAGUGGGUCUACUUGCAUGCCAAUUAACGAGUGGAAAAGUAGGAGCACCUACCUCAUGCUCGCGGAACCGAAGGUCAGUGAAGUGGGGCUCCUUUUGGCCUCUUGUGUUUCUAUUCCAACCAAGGCGGCGUAAGGAAAAACAACAAUAUGUUUGUGCUAAAUAUCAACGCAUGAUAGAUGUUUUUGUUUUUUGGUAUGUCAAGGCUAAUGAAUGAAAUGCUUUAGCUUGUUUUGUGACUGGAACUGCAAAUGUCCAAAUUGGAGUAUCUCCAUUUCUCACUUCGGAUGGUUAACUUAUAAACAAGAUAUAGGAAACAUGUGAACAUCUUGAGGAACAAUUUGAAUUAUUCAUUAGAAGUCCUGGGUUGAGUUCCAAGAUUUAAAUUAGACCCCUCUAGCAGCUUCAGGGGUACCUAGCAACCUAUAGCAUAUUAAUGAAGAUUUAGGAUUUAGACUCUAGAAUACAAAUUAAUAUGUAUCUCAUGCUUUGACUAGCUUCCCUACAUAUGCACAAAAUGGAGAUGACCUAAAAAAAUAGCAGAAUCUAGCUUCCCUACAUAUGCACAAAAUGGAGAUGACCCAAAAAAUAGCAGAAUUUCCUUAGUUUCUGUGGUUAAGGUGAUUCUCCGCUUAAUAUCACAUUGACUCAUUAUGCAAAAUCAACUGAGCUAAUUUUGUUUAUUUAUUUAAUGUCAAAUAGGAACUCCUAAUUAACCUAACCCUUGGCCUGUGUAAAUUGAUUUCACAUGCCCAAUGUUGAAGUAGAAGUCCAUAUUUUGAAUUUUAUUUUUGUAAAGGUAAGGAAAAUGAAGCAUUGUGUAAUUAUAAAAAUAACUUCAUUGGAAUUCACAAGGUUCACCCAAAAUGGAGCUACAUCCGUAUUCUAUCCUGCAGUAGACUAUAUAGAUUGUACAAUAGUAAAUUGCAAAUACAAUUAAUAAGUCUUGUGCUUCCUUACUAAUAAUCCUUUGACAUGAACAUUGCAGCACUAAGGUCCUCUUGGGAAGACACCUUGCACCCAUGAGAGCACGAAGAGGAAGCAAGGCAGAGUCAUGGGUGCAAUGUCAUGACUUGUUGUUGCACCAAGAGAGGCUUGGUGAUGGCAUGGUGUUGCAGUAGCAAGAAUGUUGCCUUGGUAGGGACAUAAUCUAGGGAUAGAUGCCAAGAAAGGCUUAGCACUCACAUGAGUUGCACAAAGAUGAAUGUAAUAGAGCAUCAGAGAGACGUCUUGGCAAGUAAAUGAAUGGAUCCAAGAGGCAACAACAUGAGGAGUUUCAAAUGGAUAAGGAAUGAGUCAAAGACAUUUGAAAGCUACAAGUUGGAUUCUAAUUACGAUUGCAAUUUGAGUUUGAGUAGGAGUUUAGAUUCUGAUUGUAAUUGUAGUAUGAGUUGGACUAGGAUUGCUUAUCCCUAGUCAAAAUAGGAGUGGUUCGUGUCACACCCUAUGAAAAGAGUUUGAGUAGGGACUAGGAUUGCUUACUCCUAGUCAAAUAUGGAGUAGGUGGUGCCACACCUAUAAAAAAAAAGGGACAACAUGAGAGAGAGAGAGAGAGAGAGAGAGAGAGAGAGAGAGAGAGAGAGAGAGAGAAAGAGAUAAUGAAUUCACUAAAGAUAUUGUGGGAGUUUUUCUUUGUUACGUCUUGUAUUAUUACUUAGAAUAGGAAUAAAAUACAAGUUUGGGCUAGAGCCCCAUAAUUAAUCUCGUGUGCCUUUGUGGUUAUUCUUUAUUUGUCAUCUCGUGUGGAUUGGAUUACAUUGACUUAGAGGGCUUCUAAGCACCACCUUUGUGGGUUAUUAUUUAUUUUCCAUUUCUUGUGGAUUAGAUUAGGUUGACUUUGAGGGCUUUUAAGCACCACCUUUGUGGGUUAUUCUUUAUUUUCCAUAUCGUGGGGAUUGGAUUAGGUUGACGAUGAGAAAAAUUAUGUGGGAAAUUUGUGUUGGGACACUUAUCAUAACCAGGUAAAAUCUGCCAAGUCCUUUGUAAUAUCUUCAACAAAUAUUUCAGACUAGUUCUUCACCAUAAACAUCAUAUUGUGUUUUGUUUUUCUCCUGGAUUCUGAGUUGAAUUGUUUCAAGUCAAUUGAAUGCAUCUGAAUAUUAUUAGCUUGUUUGAAGGCCUGGUGAUUUUCCAUUUAACUUUACUUUCUUUAGGUUAUGCUCACUAUAAGAAAAAUGAGAAAUAAUGACGCUUUUUACGCGUUAAGAAAGGCAACAGAUGAUGCUUCUCUAAAGCGUCCUCUUCGGCUCUGUCAUUAUAUGUGUUAGCCAAUAAUGACGCUUCUAGGAAGUGCCAUCUUUGAAUAAUGUUAAUAACGACACUCGUAAAAAGUGUCAUCUUUAAACAUAUUCUGGUCAAAUAAUUUUUACAAAAUUAGUAAUCUUCAAGCCGUUUCUGAAUCAUAUCUGAGCCUAUUUCUGGGGACCAGAAAACCAUCUUUUUUCCAUUCGCCUGAGAGGUCUGAUUAGCAUUUCUGGAAUCAAUCUCUAAACCCAAGCUUCCCUCAUCUACCCAUUUAACCCUCAUGCCCUCCUGUUUGAACAACUUUCCCACUAUAUACACAAAUUUUUUACCUUCUGUUGUUGGUAUUCGACCUCUUCCCAUUCCCAGCACAGAAUCCACCAUUAGUGCCACUUUGUGAAUAAAAUCAUCGAACCAGAUCUUUCGGGCGGAAGAUGAGCUCCAGAGAAAUAAAAUUUUUGGGGUCUUCCCAGCAUGAAAGUCAUAGGUAGCAUUAAUGACAUCAAGAAAUGGGGCACUGUUGAGAAAAAACAUGUUCCCAUCAACCACCCAAGAAUUGUACCAGACUCCAAACACUUCUGGAUUACAUAUGCCUUUACUAAGAUAUAUUUCUUGAUCUCCAUAUCAGAAUCUUGGAGACUCUUCAUUUUAUGAGCUCUGACACUACUGUGAAAUUGGUCCACAUCAAUCACAGGAUGACCCCUUCUAGCAAGAUCAAGCAGGAAGUCUGAAUUCGGGCCCAUAAAAAUGUAGUUCUGAAUAUUGAAACUCUCAAAGUGGCACAACAAAUUCCUUAUGACUCUUUCAGAUGCUCCAAACAGGCUCACAAGUAUAAUGGUAUCCUGUUUUUGCACAGAGUAAAGAAAAUAUCCGAGUUCUUCAAAACUCCUUACAACUAUUCCAGGAUGUACUUCUUUGAAACAGAAAUCGUACCACUUUAGCUUAGUCAGAGGUUGAAUCUAAAAUAACAAAACCCAAACUGAAAUCAAAAUCGAAAUCAACCCUAAUAGAUUUCAGAAACAACAAAUUAAAAGAGUAAAGCACAAAAGGGGGAAAACACAUAUGAAGCAAUCUCCAUACAAGCCCUAACCUUAGAUAAACCCAAAAAAAAAAAUCAAAGCAGAGAGUUACCAUAGAGCAUCUCUGUUUCAAGCUUAGAAAAUGUUUAAUGCCAUUGAUAACUAGUUGGCUAGUGGUGGACUUCAAGCUUCUCUAUUUCGGUGUUAGUAGCUCUCAAUGGCUAUGGUGAGAACAAAGAAAUGAGAGGCUUAGGGUUUGGGAUGUGAGGUUAUUGAUGAUGAUGAGGAUAAAGUUAUGGGCUCUUGGAGGGGUUAGGGAAAUUGAAGAUGGCUGAGAGUAAAGGCUAGGGUUUUUGAGAUAGUUAAUAGCUUUUUAGGGUGUGACUGUCCAUAGAUAGAAGAUAAAUGAGGGUGUGAGAAUUUAUAGAUCUCUAGGUGAUAUGGCGGGUGUGAGAAUGAAAUUUUAGAGGGAAUUGUGUGUUUGGUAGAAAUUUCACACAUGCAUAUAUAAUGUUUCAGAACAUGGCACUUUAAAAAUACGACAAGGAAGAAAUUAUUUAUUGACGCUUAAAUAAAGCGCCAAGGUCUCCAACAUUUUUGCAAUCAAUGACGUUUGUAAAAGGUGCCAUUGAAUAGGAGUGCCAUUGCUUUCCCACAAAGCAUCAUUGUUAAUCAAGCCUUUAAAAAACGCCAAGAUAUGUUGCCACUUAGGUUAAAUAUUGACGCUUUUAAAAAACGCCAAGGAAAAAAACGUCAUUAUUCAUGUUUUUUGUAGUAGUGGCUUGAUUCCUAAAAAGUAAAGGAAAGCAAAAAGUAAAAAAAUAAAAAUGUGGAGAGUUAGGACAUGCGUUAUCUAAUUGUCCUAGUCCCAAAUAUAUUAAGAAAGUCAUGUAGGUUACUUGGAGUAACGAGUCAAGUAAAGCAAGCCUUCUAGUGUUUAAGACAUUAGAUAUUACCGAACUGAUUAUGUCAUUAAUGUAUUGCAUUUGUUGUUUCUAAUAUAUAGAAGAAGAUGAAAUUAUUGGAAUAAGUGGGAAAUAGGAAUAAAUCCAAGGUACCAAAAAGUCACUUUAUCUUAGAUGUUGUUGGAAACAUAAGUGAUUUCACAAUAACGACUAUGAGACAAUCAAGGAUUAAUAAGAUAGACUUUAUAUGAUAUACCUCCCAAUUAGAGCCUAAAAAUAUGGAUGAAGCACUUAGAGAUGAAUCUUCAAUUUUUGUACUAUAGGAAGAAUUAAAUCAAUUUGUUAGCUAUUCUUUGGAUAUUUGAUUCAUCACAAGCUACAAAUCACUUUUGAUGACCAAACACGAAACUAAGAGGAUUGGGCCCAAUUCGAUGCCUAUCAACAAUGAUUUGUAUUCCACCUCAUUAAUUAUUCAAAGUUGGGAAGCUAGGUCUAACCACUUUCUCUACCUGUUCACCCUUAGAGGAGCAGAAGAAAAUUCUAACUUUGGUGCCUAAUGCCUUUGACAAUCUUUCGACAAAGAGAGUUCACUAAUUACUUUGAUUAUUUCUCUGUUGGUCACUGGGGGACAAGACUUUUGUAAUGAAGUCAACUAGAACUUGCCCUUUGAGGGCCAUUCAUGGACGAUAUUACACCAUGAAUUCCCUUAGGUCAUGUUUGGUAUGUGAGAAUGAGGAGUGGAAUGGACAUCUUAUUCAUUUUUUCAUCUAUUCAAAUGUUGGGAUAACUCAAGUGACCAUGAGAAUGAAAUCAAGAAUGAUUCAAGGGAAAUGAAAUCUUACUUAUAAGUGUGAUUUCAAUUAAUCUCUAAUAGAAAUUAUUUUGAAUCAAUAGUGCAAGUUAUUUUUAAAAACAUUUUUCCAAAAUUAAAAAAAUCAAUUUUUUUUUUUUCGAUAAGUUGUUUUUAAAAGGAUUUUUUUUAUUUUGUAAAAAGAAAAUUGUAAUUCAAUUUAUAUAAUAUAAACUAAAUUUUAUUUUAUUCAAAAAGAAAUAAUUUUUUAAUUAUAAAUAAAUUAAAAAUAAAUACUUUUAAUAAAAUAUAAAUAGUAUUAUUAUAAUAAAAUCAUAAAUAAAUUUAAUUUUUUUUAUAAAUAUUAUAAAAAUAUGGAUAUUAACAUUGGAUAAUUGAUUUAUUUUGUUAAAAUAAAAAAUAAUAAUUUUUAAUAUUAUUUUAUGUUAAAUGAAUUUUAAAAUAAAGAAAGUUUAAUUAUUUUAAGGUAUAGAAGAGCCAAAUUUUGCAUUACAUACAUAACAAACAAUAUUUAUUAGAAACAUUUCUCAAGGAGAAUCUUAUUCCAUCUCACAAAGAUACUCGUUUAUUCGAUGUUUGACCAUCCGUAACAAUCAUGUCAAUUCUACUGAUUUAAUAAUUCCUUUACAUUUAUUACUCACUUAUGAACAUGGUAUUGUGAUUUAUUUAUUUAUUUGAUGUAUAAUUAAUUAAUCAAUUUUUUAAAUUUCAAAUUAUUUUUAAAAACUAUUCAUUAAGGAAUUUAAAGCAUUAAUUAUGUCUAUUAUUUUUUAUAGUCAUUAUAUAUAUAUUGAGUUUUAAUUUAUUUUUAAAAAUUAUUAAACUUAUUAAUAAAUUCAAUAUAAAGUCUCGUUUCAUUUGAAAUUCAUUUCUUUAGUGAAAAUUUUGAAAAAAAAAUUGUUAUUUAUUUUACUUUGUUUUAAAAAAAUUGUUUCUAGAGAACAAUAAUCAAAUAAUGGUAUGAAUUUUUAAAAACAAUUUUGUUUUUAAAUCAUAUGCCCAAAUAAUUUUUUUUUAUUUAGCAAAAAACUUUGUUGUAGUAUGUGGCUCAUAUUGAGGGAAAGACAUAUAUGGAGAAAAAUGUGCAAAUGUUGGAGUGGAGCGGAGUGGAAUGACGACAUUUGUCAUUCAAACUUGUAUUUUUAUUGUUAAGGGUGACCGAUAGGUUGGUACGGUUUAGGGGUAUUUUUGGAAUUUCAUUACCUGAGGGUUAGUAUAAAUACCAUUUUAUGUAACCCUAAUUUUACAUAUAAUGUAAGUUUUCUUCCUUGUUCUUGUGGACAUAGGCAAUCCGUCGAACCACGUUAAAUCUGUGUGUUUUUUUUUCUUUUUUCUUUUUCUCUAAUUUCUUCACCAGGAAUCGUUACACUAAGAUCAACAAACUCUCAAAGAUGAUUUUUAAAAUGAAAAAAAUAAUGUAUAGUGUGAGAAUUUUUUAUUUUUUAUUUUUUUAAAAUGAAAAUAAAAAAUUGCUUUAAGGUAAAAGUGUGGAUAUUAUUGUUAAUUUAUUUCAUUUUUCAUUUUCAUUUCCAUUGUUACCUACAAUUGAAAUGGAAACAACUAAUCAUUACAACCUUACAUUCUUAUAUGCAUCCAAAUACAAAAAUUGAAAUCACCAAAUUCAUAUUCAAGGCAAAAUAGGAAUGAAAACAAAUAUUCAUUCUCAUUCUUUAUUCCCACGUGUCAAACAUGACCUCAAAGUUAUAAACAUGAACAAGAAGUCCUUGAAACACCAAUGAUCUCUUCUGGUAUAUAUAUGAGCUUGAUUGACAACUGUUUUAAAUACAGUUUUUUUUUUUUUUGUUUUCAAAAUCAAAACAAAUUUAUUUUUAUUUUUUAUAAAUAGUAGUUUUUUAAUAUUUUUUUUAAACCUUAUUAUGAAAAUAGGAUGUUUUCUAAUAUCAUAUUUUAAUUAUUUUCAAUUAUUUUCCCUUCUUUUAAGGAGGGCUAUUUUAAAAAUAUGAAAAAUGAUACAAAAUAAAGCAUUACAAAUAAAAAUCAUUUUUAAGAAAUAUAUGAAAAUAAUUUGAGAACAUUUGAAGUUCCUUAAUUAAACUUUUGUUCUAGAAAAUGCAAGAAAACUGUUUUUGAAAAUUGUUUUCAUAAUGAUAUGCAUUGAUCGUUUAAAAUUUAAUUACAUGAUAAAAAGACCUAUGUAAAAACCAGAGUUAUAUAAUCAGUCAUAGAUCAAAUCUACUAAAUAUGAAAAGUAAGUACAUAGUUGUAUAUGACUUAGAUGGAGCCUUCUCCGAAUGACAUUCUUUAGUCGGUACUCAUAUUUUUUUGUUUCGUGUCUUCAACAUAACACCUCAUGAUCCUUAAUAAAUCACCUGAAAACUAUAUUAGCACCUUAUUGUUUAAUAUUUCUCUAAAUUUUUUUAUUAAGCAAAUAAAUUCCAAAUUUAAAAUGACAAAUAAAAUUUAUUAAUUUUUAAAAAUAAUUUAAAACUCAAAAACCAAUUUAAUUGAUAUUAAAAGUCAUGAAACUUAAUAAUAUUAGAAAGUCAUGUAUCCAAAUUUAUUUUAAAUGACUUGUUUAAUUUCUUGUUUAUAUAUAUUAUAUUUUUAUAAUUUUUUUUACUAUACAAAUAAAUUUUAAAUUAAACAAAACUUAAUGCGUUGAAUUCAUUAACGAGUCUAAUAAUUUUUAAAAGUUACUUAAAAUUUAAAUACUAAAUCAAUUAGUACCACAAAUUCAUGGAAAAAAAUUGAUUUAUUACUACUAUAUUGUUUCUCUAUUGCAUAGAACCAUUAUUUUUCAAUUUUUUCAUUUGGCAAAUGAACAUCAAAUUAAACAAGACUAAGUGUAUUAAAUUCAUUAAUGGGUCUAGUAAUUUUUUAAAAUAAUUUAAAAUUCAAAUAUUGAUACUCCAAAUUAAACAAGACUUAGGUGGUGUUUGUUUUUUGGUUGAAUAGAAAAAGGUAAAAUAUUUGACUUUUUCUAUUUAGUUAAAAGUAACUUGUUGACAUCGUCCAAUAUAAUUAAAGUAAACCUAUUGAGGGCAAGUUCACUUUAAUUAUGUUGGACGAUGUCAACAGGUUACUUUUAACUCAAUAGAAAAAAUCAAAUAUUUUGACUUUUUUUUUAACUCAAAUAAUAAAUCCAUUAAUACAAAAAAAUUAUGGAUAAUUUGAAACUUUCUUUCUUUUUUUUUUUUUUUUUGCUACACAUAGCUAUAUUUUUAUAAAUUUUAUCAUUAGAGAAAUGGAUUUCAAAUCAAGUGAAACUUUGUAUUGAAUUAAUGGAUUUAACAUUUUUUAAAAAUAAUUUGGAACUAAAAAAAAAAGAUUUAAUUACUAAGAAAAUCAUAGAUCAAAACUAAUAUAUUCUGAUCCAUGAUUUUAUUAUUUUUCCUAUACAUACAAUUAUAUUUUUAUAAUUUUCUCACUAGGUAAAGAUAUUAUAAAUUAAGUGACACAUAAUUAAUAAUUUAAAUUUUUGAAUGAAUCUUUUAAUUUUAGGAAUAAUUUGAAAUUUAAAAAGUUGAUCCAAUUAAUUGUAAAUUAACUUAAAAUAUUAUAAAAUAUUAUGUUCAUAAUUAAGUACUAAAUGUAUAUAUGUAAUGAAAACUUAACUAGUUACAUGUUACAAAAGCCAAAAUUUAUUCAUUCUUUAUUUUAAAUAAAAUAUUAUUAAUAAUUAUUUUUUUUAAAAUAAUAUUUAGUAAUUAUUGUUUUUAAAUUAUUAUUAUUAAUUUUUAAUAAAAAAAUUGCAAAGUUAUUAAUAUCAUUAUAUUUCUAACAUAAAUUUAAAUAGUAUAUUUUUUAAUAUAUAUAUAUAUAUAUAUAUAUAUAUAUAUAUAUAUAUAUAUAUAUAUAUAUAAUUUAUGAUUUCAUUAUAAUAUUUUUAUUCAUGAUUGACGAAAAAUUAUUUAUUGUUUAAUUUAUUUGAAUUGCAAAACUAUUUUUCAAAAUUCAAGCGAGAAAAUAGGCCUGGAUUUGAAUUUCCUGUAGAAGAGAAGGAUGUGGAGAAUAUGUUGGGAGUAUUUGUGGAUAAAGAAAAGGCCAGGGUACUGAGAAAGGAGAGAGAACUUGCUCUUGCCAAAAGAGCCCUGCACAGGUAUUCUACUGAUUCUAAUUAUCGGUUCUUACAUGAUCAGAUUUCAGAUUUAUUUGCUGAGCUUCUGAAAUCUGAUACAGUAUUUAAACUCCGGUGAGCUUUACAAGAUUAGUCUCGCAUCCAAUUCCAAAUGGUGUCCCACAAUUGAUUCUUCUUAUGAUAAAUCCACCUUGAUAUGUGAAAAUAUUGCUCGAAAGGUUUAUCCUCGCGAGGAAUAUCCAGAAUACUAAGGAAUUGAGGAGGCUCACUAUGUUUAUAGAGUCAGGGAUAGGUUGAGAAAACAAGUAGUUGUUCCAUUACAUAAGGCCCUGGAGUUGCCAGAGGUUUUCAUGUGUUCGAACAAGUGGGGAUCACUUCCCUACAACCCUGUGGCUUCAGUGGCCAUGAAAUCAUACAAGAGCCUCUUCUCAAACCAUGAUACAGAGCGGUUUGGUGAGUAUCUUGAGAAAGUGCAAACUGGGAAGGCUAAGAUUGCAGCUGGUGCAUUACUUCCCCAUGAGAUUAUAGCUUCAUUGAAUGAGGAGGAUGCCGAGAGAGUUGCCGAGCUUCAGUGGGCAAGAAUGCUGGAAGAUUGAUCAAAGAAAGGGAGGCUCACAAAUUGCAUUGCAGUAUGUGACGUAUCAGGAAGUAUGAGUGGAACUCCAAUUGAGGUGUGUGUGGCUCUGGGGCAGUUAGUUUCAGAGCUCAGUGAAGAUCCAUGGAAAUUAAGGUAAUGUAAUUACUUUCAGUGCAAAUCCUGAGCUUCACAAGAUCCAAGGAGACAGCCUUGUAUCCAAGACUGAAUUUGUGAGGAUGAUGGAAUGGGGUGCCAACACUGACUUUCAGAAAGUUUUGACAGAAUCUUACAAGUAGCAGUGGAGGGAAAUAUGAGUGAAGAUCAAAUGAUAAAGAGGGUUUUCGUUUUCAGUGAUAUGGAGUUCGAUGAAGCUUGUGGGAGGUAUAACUAUUGUGACUAUGACUAUGAUAUGGAGGAAAUUGACGAGAGUCAGAAGGCAUCUCAGAAGUGGGAGACAGAUUAUGAAGUGAUACAGAGGAAAUUCCAGGAGAAAGGAUACAGAAAAGUUCCAGAGAUAGUGUUUUGGAACCUUAGAAACUCAUCAGCGACUCCAGUGACGGCCACAGAGAACGGGGUGGCCUUAGUAAGCGGGUUUUCAAAGAAUCUGUUGACCUUGUUUUUGGAAGGAGGUGGAAUUCUGAUCCCUCAGGAUGUGAUGGAAUUCGCCAUCUCUGAUGAAGAUUACAAGAAACUUGUUCUAUUUGAUUAAGAUAUCAAGAGAUUUAUCAAUAAUAAUAUAUUUUUUUUCUAUGUGAAAUACAUAUAAUAUUAACUGUGGAGUUAUCAAAGUUCUGGAGGUUUAAUUAUUUCUUCUUUUCAAGUUUUGUUUAUUUAAGGUUUUCUUUGUCUUUGUUAGGAAUUCCCCUUGGGUGGACCCAGCUGGGGAGUUGGAUUGAGGAAGUAAGCAGGCGAACUUGUGUUCUUCUAUGGACAGAGAAAAAAAAUAAAAUAAAAAAAUAAAAAAGGAGGUUAUUUGCAUUUGGAUGUCGUGGUUUGAGGGUACAACUACAAGCUCGAAAUUGUACAUAAUGUGAAAACUCCUGUGUCCAUUGCUGAGAACAGCAUAAAUGAUGGUGAUUUUCAAGUUGUGCCUGGUAUUCUACAGGAUGAAACAAGAAAGGAUCCAGGUGGUAUAUUGAACAAUAUCCCAAUCAUGUUGGUGGCAUCUUUAUUUAGUUAAUGGUAUUCAUUUGGUGGAAGCUGGUUGUUUAUGAUGUUUUUAAUUUUUUUUAACAUGAAGUUCGAUCAAAUACGUAUCUUAGUAUGUUUUGUUUGAGCUAAUUGGCAAAUGCGCUUUAAACAUGGUCACAUGGAUGCAGUUUUAUUUGUGAAAUGAUAAUAGUCGAUUACUUGGUCAGUAAGGUUUAUAUCUCUAACUUCAACAUCUUAUUGUAGUCUUUUAAAAUGUCAAAAGUUUAAUGCUUGAGAAAUUUUGGAAUGGAGACAUUCUAAACAAAGUUAAUAAUCCACAAGACUUGGUAAAACCGAUCAGAUGAUGCUUACGUACAUCAAUGCCUUCUUUAAGCCAUAUCCUAUUUUCAUUGAACGGGAUGUGCCAUCUAGUUUGGUUCUUUAAGCCUCCAAAUCCUAAACCUAGUCUCAAUUUAGAGCAAAUUUAGGGUGCAGGGCCUGCAUGCCUCCCCCUCCCCCUUCCACAAAUAGUAGUGACCUUGCUAUGCCUAUGCAUUGUCAAUGCCUCAUUUUCUAUGGUCUCCAAUGUAAUAUCUUAGUUUCAAUGUCUCUUUCCUUACUAUCUCCAAUGCAAUAGAUUGAUUUCAAUACCUCUUUACAACUAAGACCUCCAAAUUUUCUUGGUUCAAACCUACCAGAAUUUUUCUUCUCCUUUGCUUUCUAUCAAUAUUAGUUCCCCUAAUUUAAUAUAUACUUCUUUAUUACCUUCAACUCUACCUCUCUUUCUUUCUCUAAAAGCUUCCUCAAAGAUUUAAUUGCUUUCUUGCAUGUUUUAAGAAAACAAACAUGCUCAUAUUACAUUACCUCUACUUGAGAUCUACCUUAUACUCUACCUUCUUUCUUUACCUCCUAUAUCAUCUACUACAUUAGCUUCAAAAAUAUUAUUUAGUUUGAUACUAAAUAAGGCUCCUAAUCCUACUCUUCCUUCAACAAACUUUCUUUUUACAAGUUCCUUAAACUUUAUUUUUUAUUUUUUAUUUUUUGGAAAUUCGGGUUAGAAAGAUUCCAUUACUCUUACCUAAUAUUUCAACCAUCAAGUUGAAUCCACUUAUUGCCUAAAUCCAAGGAGUCUGCCCUCCACAAAAACAAGGAAAUUGAUCCCACAAUAACAAGGAGAUUGCCUUCCACAGAAACAAAGAGAUCUCCCUUCACAGAAGCCGAAUACAUUGCAAUCUAUUUUCUUUCUUGUAAGAUCAAAUCUUCAAUCGAGCUCCAUCUUAUGGGGGCAUAUUAGAGAAAUUUAAUAUUAUCCUUAAUUUACAUAUUAAUAUUUAUCUAUUUAUUAUAUAUUGAAUUAAAAUAGAAUAUAGAAUUUGAAUCAUAGUAGAAGUUUACUAUAAGAUUGAAUUACAAUAGUUAAUAGAGUUUAAAUUAUAAUAACUCAAAUACAUUUAUAUAUAUUUGACCUUACGAGAUUUUCUAUUUAUGUAUUUGAACUACAAUCCUUAUGAUCCUUAGGUCUCUAUACCUUCGUGAUGGGCUCCUUGACAUUUCAUAGGUUGUGCUACACAUGCAUUUGAAAUUUAGAGUGCAUUUGACAGUGAUUCUGGGAAGUGUUUUUGGCAUUUCUAACACUUAAAAUUUUUUAUUUUUCAAGUAUUAGAAAUGCUACAAACACUUUUGAAAAUUACUGUCAAACACACUCUUAGGAGCGCAUAUAGUAGAAAACUAGAAAUUGUGGUUUUUUUAGGAUUUACUGUAAUGUCAUUAGGAGGGUAGUAAGUUGAAACUGAGUAUGAAUAAAUAUUUCUUUCUUUGGGAUGUUCUUCUGGUAGGUGCUGAUGAAACUGUUCUUUUUACUGCCAAUGUCACAUAUCAGCCAGAAAUUGAAAAUUUCAGUCAAGGUGUCCUCGGUUUUAGUGGUGAGGAAAGCUAGAAAUUUUAAGGUGAAGUUCUGUUAAAAACCUUAAGUAGCUGGGAUAUCAGGCCUGUUUUGCUUGAAAAAAAAAGUUGCAAGAUAACUCAUAUGCCAAACAGGUUCUGAUAUUGUGAAUCUAUCGGCAGACAUCAGUAAUCUCAUCUUCUGAGAUGGAUGUUGGGGGUGCAUGUGGUGGUGGAGGGGCAAGGUUUCAUUUGGUUUAUUUUGUUGAUGGAUAUUGUCUAGCCCCCUGCGCCAAGUUUGAGGGGUGGUGGGUUGUGAUGGCCCUACAAUUACUAUUAAUUUCUUCCUCUUUUACCGAUUAAAGUGUCCGAACAGUCGAAGUUACCCUUAUGCAUGUCAACUUGAUCACUUACCUCUUCAAUGGAGUUUAUGCUGGUUCAUUUAGGAACUGAUUUUUAUUGUUAUGCAUUCUAUGCUGAUGUUUAGGCCUCUCCAUCAUCACUAUAUACAAAAAUUCUAGGUUGAUACUAUAGGUUGAGAUUUAUUUUUUAAAUAAAAAAUAAUAAAAAUAAAAAUUAUGGUGAUGUUUAGUUGUUUUAUGGAAAAUUUUAACAAGUUAUUUUUGGGCAAGUUUUCAAACAAAAAGAAAAGUAAAAGUUGUUUUGACAAAAACAUAUAGAAAAAAAAAAUCAUAGAAAAGAAAUAAUUUCCCCAUAUUCUAACUUUUUUUAAUUUUUCUCAAUGGGCAAAGGAAUAUCAAAUCAAGUUUGAGUAGGAUUUCUUAAUUUUUAAAAUAACUUACAAUUAAAAAAUUUUGGUGUUUUCAUUUUUGGACAAUUUUUUAUUAAGCAAAUGGACUCUGAGUCAUGCAAGAGAUAUGGUUGAUUAAUGGGUCAAACAAUUUUUUUAAAAUAAUUUAAAACUCAAAUACAUAAUCAAUGUCACAAAAUUUAUAAACAAAAAUAGGUUUAGAGAAGAUCUACACAUAAUUUUACUUUUCUAAUUUUAUUUUAUUUUAUUUUUUUGUUGGAAAAUAGUCUUCAAAUCAUGUAAGAUUUAAUAGGUUAAAUUUGUUAACAAUAAAUUUUAAAUUAUAAAAUAUAAUCUGGAACUUAAAAAUCAAUUCAAGUAAUGCUAAAAAAAAUCAAAUUUGGUAUAGAAUGACUACGUAAAAUUUUUUACAAAACAAAUGAAUUUUAAAUCAAGUGAGAUUUAAUGCAUUAGAUUUUUAUCAAAUAUAGUAAUUUUAAAAUUUAAUUUGGAACUCAACAAUAGACACAAUAAAUACCAAAAAAUAAUGAACCAAAAUUGGUUUGGAAUAACUCCACAACCUCUUUUUUUUUUUUUUGGUGCACACGAAUUUUCUUACUAGGUAUAUUGCUUUCAAAUUGAGAAAGAUUUACUAUUUAGAUUUUUUUUUUUAAUGAGUUUAAUGGUAUUUUAAAAUAAUUCAAAAUUUCAAAAAUUGACUAAUUACUAUUAUAAAUUCAUAAACCAAGACUAAUUCAAAAUGCAUUGGGGGCUAAGGGGGUUGAAAAUAGGGACAAUGGGAUGGGUUUGGGACAUGACACUCAUAUCUCAUUUCCAUUCCAAUUACAUAGUUAUCUCCCAUCCUUAUCCCAAACUUGUGUUGGAGCAAGUUGAUUUGUUCCCAUCUUUGUUGAUGAAAUGACUAAUAACCUCAUCCCCUCCUUAUCUUAGAUGUACAUUUUGUCAAAUUUGAUCAGGUAUGAUUGAUCCAAGCCCUAACCCUAAUUGGUAAUGACUGGAUACUACACCUAAUUGCAUUCUUCUUUCGUCGCAAAAUAAUGAGAUUAUAAUAAUCUAGCAAAUAAGAAAAAAUAGUAUGGAAGUUCAAUUUAACACCAUAACUAUCAAUAAUUUUAAGCUUAUAGAUGACUUAAAUGAUUAAAAACUAAUGCAAAAUACCAAAAAAAAAAGUUCAUAUAAAGAAUUCACAAGAGAACAAAAUGAACAAAAACCAAAUAUGAACAUGGGUCAACAUUAGUUAUGGAUUUGGAUUCCUUUCAAGGCCAAUCUUUGAACCAAGACUUCAUCAAAUCUACUACUUCAAAGGCUUUUGUGUUCUUCUUGGGUUGUGCUCUCAAACAAAGACUUCAAGGUGAUGCUCUAGAUGAUUGCAUUACACAUAUUUAGGGUGGAGAGAUUGGAGAAGCUUGAAGAUGCCAACGAUGGGUACAAUUGAGUGGUCAAUAAGAACAAUGUAGCCUAUGACUAGUUUGAUGUCGUGGUACAAGAGUUUUAGGCAUUGAGGUUAAAGCAAGAGCAACAUGGAAUUGAUUUUGGAGUCUUUCAAUUAGUGUAAAGGAGGAAGAAGUGGUAUUGAUUCUAGAAAUAGGGUUUUAGGUGGUGCGUUAGAGGAUGAAGAAGAAGAAAAAGAAGGAUCUGUUGGAAUUAGUGUGAGUGUGAAGAGAGAAGUAUAUAAAUAAGGGGAAGUAAAAGCAAAGUUCUAAAAGCUAUAUUUUUUUUUAUUGUUGGUGUAUGGUUGCAUGAUUAUCCCUAUAAAUAAUAGGAGUUUUUUUGGUAUUCUACUAGUAGUUGAAGGAUAAUUUCAUAAAUUUAUAUUUAGAGUGGGGUGGGGUGAGUUGUGACAAAAUUCAUACCCGUCCUAAACCUUGGUUCAGAUUUUUAAAAUAUCCUCAAACUUAUCAUAUACCCAACUUUUAUAUUUCAUACUUGUCUUGAUAGAGGCAGGUUAGGCCGGGUUACUUGAGUAACCUACAUAAUUGUCAUCCCUAGUUGAAAUACACUUUUUUGGCAGUGGCCACCAACUGAGCUAGAAGCUUGAUCGAUUGACCUACAAGAUUAGUUCUCAUCAUUUUAAAAAAAGUUUUGGCCUUGGUUGUGAGUGCAAUUGAAUCUAAACUGGCAUUUCCUUAAUGCAUCUACUUCAAUCCUAAAUUUCUUACUUCCUAAGCCUCAAUUGUUGUUAGGAUUUUGGAAAGCCCAUUUCCUUAAAUUGUAAAUUUAAGAAAAAAUAAAAUAAAAGUGAGACAUUUCUUGAUUGAAUAUUGUUAAAGGUCCCUUGGCAUUAAGACUUGGUUGAAGCCUUGGAAGAUUAGUGGAACUCUCAACUUGUGUUUGAAUCUUGAGGAGAGUGGACGUAAGCCAAAAUUUUGUCAAACCAUUAAACAAAUUGAGUUUGAAUCCUCAUUUCUUGAUUUCUUAUUUAUUUGCUUUUUCUUAUUAUUACUUGAAUUGUCAUUUGCAUUCAUUAAUGUUAAAAUUGGUUAUAAUUAACCAACACUAAUUCUCUUUCCCCUUCCCUUUCUUGGGUGUAAACCUAGGUUGGAUUAACUAGAUUAAUUUAUAAAAUCUAUUAAGAUGGUAAAAGAAUAAUUAUUCUUAACACACAUAAGAUCAUCUUCAAUCAAAUGACUCAUUGGCUAAUAUGUUGAAUUUGCUUAUUACUUGCAACUCAAAAUUGUGUUCUAGUUGAUAUGUCAAGUCCCCAGUGUAUGGACAUUAAAUUUGUAGUACGUGAUGGUAAUUAGAUGGUCCAACUCCAAGAAAGUGAUUGAAAACUAGUUCAAGAAAGGUGCAAAAGGGAAUUGUUUUGGUAUUUUCGUUUUUAUUCUUGAAGGUGGCAGAGCUAAAAUUUGUGAAAUCAAGCAAAACAUACUGAAAUUACAUUGAAAGAAAGAAAAUGGGAGUUAAUGUCUUGCAGUAGAUGAUAAGGACUUCAUGCAUGUAGUAUGACCCAUGUCUUGGACUGAUGCCAACUCACGGUUACACUUAUACCCUUGGUUCUCUCUUUACUACCUUGGCUAACCUAGAUCAGGCUAUGAGAUAGGCUCCUCACCACACCAUUACUUGCCCAUUAAUUAGAGACAUUUUCAAGCACUGAGGUAACAUGGUGACACCAAGAGGGUUUAUUCCUCGCCCUCCUCGCCCUCAACAAGUCUAGACUUGGUCUCAAAAAAAUGGAGAAAAAUGAGGUGUCGUUAUGUAGAAAUACAACAACCAUGCCUUCCUCAUUACUUUGAUUCAGAAUGUGAAGGUGAAAUUGAGAAACAGAAACUCUUGAAACCAAAAUGAAAAUUGAUACUUUUACGAAGAAUUACAACAACAUUGGAGGAAGACUACAUUCUUCCUCUUUAUUCCUACAUUUCUACACUACUUCUACUCCACUCCAUAUUUCUACAUACAUCUUUAAUCAGUCUUCCCUCCUUUAUAUAGAGCCAUCUUCACACAAAUUCCGCAAGGUAGAAAAGAGGAAUGAAACUUGGAGCAAGGUUCGACUACUGGCUGUAGCUUGUCAAGGCUGGAAGUGAACCUUUUUUCUUGGCUUUUCUGGGCAUGGGUAGUAACUUGUGGGUUCCUUUUUGGGAUACAAAUGGCUAGAACAUGUGGCACUAUCUUGUUGGAUGAUGUGUCAAGCAUGUGGCAGCCAUCUAGUGGCGAUUAUGUCAAUUUUGGGAUGGAGAGUUGGCAUCCAAUUGCAAAGAAAUAUGACGUCUACCAACAGGCAAUGUAAACCUAUGUAGAUCAUAUGAAGAUAGAGAGGAAAAAUAUAGAAAUGGAUAUAUACCUAGAACUAGCUUUUUAUUAAAUGAAACGGAGAGCCAACAAUGAAGGAAAAUAAAUUUUUUUGGCUUAUAUCAAAGAGUUCACAUUGUGCUACCCUAGGUUUUCUUAAAACUUACUUUUAUGAUAACAAAAAAAAAAAAAAACAUUAUUGUUUAAUCCUUUGUUUUAAACGCAUGUUUAGCAAGUUAUAAAAUGUAAAAAUCUUUCUAAGUUCAAAUAUGAAGAUAUGACAUCAUUUCAAGCAAGAUAGUCUCUAGGAAUUAAUGUAAAGCUAAAUUAAGGUGAAAUUAAAUUAGUUCAAUGCAUUAAUUUAAGAAACUUGACCUAUCAAAAGUACAAAAUUAGAUGAAAUCCAUUUCAAUGGUUAAAAUGAUCAAAAUCAAACUUUUUCUAAGUAUUUUUUAAAAGUAUCAAUAUUGAAAGACAAUUUUAUAUUUAGUCAGAGUUUGGACAAAACCAAAAAGCACACAAAAUCCAAGCGACCAUCUCUAGCUUGGAUGGUCGCUUGAUCUCUAGCUUGUGUACUUGGAAAGCAACAUCGAGAUGAUAUAUAUAUAUAUAUAUAUUUUAUAUAAUAUUGUUUGUCCAAAUUCCCUAAAAAUUAGGCCACCACAUGUUCAUAAUUCUCCCUUCUUGAAUUUGAAAACUCGGACAAUUGGACAAUGCGACACCUAAGUCCGGUUUCUAAAUGCUAAAGUGAAAGGGUAGGUAUGGACCAUUGAAAUGUGAUCACAACUUUUCUCUGUAGCCAUGUUGUCUCUUUUUUCUUUUGCAUGAUUUUCUCACCUUAACAGAAUCAUAGACUUGUUUAAUCUCUAAAUGGGAUUAAUUUCAUCCAGCUUUAAGCUACUAUAUUAUAUCUAGGUGGAGGACUUUUAAGAGUGCAACCGACAUAGAGCACAUGCAAGUGGGUAUAUGGGACAUGAAAUUUCUUCUUAUAAAGAUUGCAUGAUUUUUAUAUUAGAGUUGUUGGGGCGCAAUGUAUGUAGCUUGUUUUGCAGUUAAAUUAAUUGGAUAAGUAGACAUUGGCGUUUCUAAAUCUACUGUGAAGUGCUUCAUGUACGUGUGAAGUAUUAGAAAUUUCUUUCUUGGCAACUUGUUUUUUCUUUGCGGUCUACUGAUAGGUUUGACUAAAAUUAUAUUCCCUGUCAUGCUAAUUAAUUUUCACGUGCAUGCUCAAAAGAAGAGUAUGACCUUAGUGCACCAAAAUCACUUUGAUUAAUUUGUGAUAGGUUUUUGUGCAUCAUGACAUUAGCCUUAUUCAUUUAGAUAAUGUUUAGUUUUUAGAAAGUAUUAAGAAAAGGAAAAUAAAUAUUAAGAAAAAUAUUCUUAUAUUUGAUUGUAUUAUGAAAAAUGUCAUAAAAAAAUCAAAUAUAAUUUAAAUUAAUUAAUAAUUUAUACAUUUUCAAAUUAUUUAAUCUUUAUAUUGAAGAUAUAAUAUAAAUGAAAUGAGUUUUAAGUAUUAUAUAAAAGUGAUUUAUUGAUCUUGCAUAUAUGUAUUUCUUUUUUUUUUCUUCUAUUUUUUUUCUUUAUUUUAUUUUCCUUAUGUUUUCCUCAACAUUUUCCGGAACCAAACAUAGCCUUAGGAAAUCCACAAUUACCUUCAACUGAGUAUAUUCGGUUGUUUUAGCAAUGUUAGGCUGCUAACUUGUGUUGGUACGAACCUGUUAAGCCUAAAGAUGUAAUUAGUUAGGAUAUUCUUUUCCCUCUAGUCUUGUAGCUCCACGUGUAUAGUUGGUUAGGACCUCAUUGUAUAUAAUGCCUGCCCUGUUAUUGUUGAAGACAACAGAGAUAAAUAAUAUUAACAUUUUUCCUCUCAUCUCUCUUUGUUUCCCUCUGUUUUCAUCUCCUCUCUCAUCUUGGUAUCAGAGCCUCCAUGGAUUCUUUCAAAGAAACCUCCGAAUCACCUUCUGCUAGCAUUGUUAAUGUGCAAAACCCAUUAUCUCAGUCAAACAACCUUCCUUCACCAGCAGCCACACCCUCUUUUUCUUUCUUGUCUAUGAAUCAACCUCUCACAGUGAAGCUGGAUAAUGGAAACUACCUCAUCUGGAAGAAUUAGCUUCUGAAUGUCAUCAUUGCGAACAGACUCGAUGAUUUCAUUUAUGGAACUCGACCCUGCCCUCCUUGAUUUCUCAAUCUGCAACAACAAACCCUCACUCCAGAGUACUCGGUCUAGCAGAGAUACAAUCGACUUCUAAUGAGUUGGCUGUACGCAUCCUUGUCCGAAGAUAUAAUGACUCAGAUUGUUGGGUAUUCAACAACUGUGGAGAUUUGGAACGUCCUUAAUCAGAUUUACUCUGCCUCUUCAAUGGCGUGGGUUACCGAGCUUCACACCAAGCUUCAAACGCUCAAGAAAGAUGGACUCUCAGUUGGUGAAUAUAUUCAAAGGCUCAAAUCCAUUUGCAAUAGUCUUGCAGCAAUAGGAGAACUAGUUUCUGAGAAAGACCAGCUUAUCUAUUUGUUCAAUGGAUUAUAUUGUGAGUAUAAUUCUUUUGUUACCUCCAUUCAAAAUCGAUCUGACCAACCAACUAUUGAGCAAAUCCAUAGCCUAUUGCUUAGCUAUGACUUUCGGCUUGAACAACAAAACUCUGUUUCUCUCCAUUAUGCCCAAGUCCGUAUGGCUCAUCUGAACAAGAAACCUUAUAAAUCAACUCCUCAACCUACAUUCAAUCAUAUUCACAUUCAACCUAGAUACUCUUCUCCACCUUUUAAGCCAACCACUAGUCAAUAUCAACCCAGGAUUUUGGGCAAACCACAACCACAACCAUGACAGCCUCAACCUCAAUGGAAACCACAUUUUUCAAUCCAGAAUCAAAAGCCUCAGUGCCAAAUUUGUGGUAAAUUUGGACACACUGCUCUUAUUUGCUUCCAUUGCACAAAUUUGAACUAUUCACCCCAACCUUCUCCUAAAUCUUUCAAUACUGUUCUCACCACAAAUUCCCAGCUCCCUAAUCCUCCAAAAUUUUCUUACCCUACAAUGGCUCAUCCUGCUGCUACGCAUAACACGAUUCCUGAUACAAAUUGGUACAUGGACUCAGGUGCUACACAUCACUUUACUCCGGACAUCAACAUGCUUGACACUGUGACACCAUUUAGUGGUUUAGAACAGGUGACAGUUGGGAAUGGUAAGCAACUCUGUAUCUCACAUCUUGGUACUGCAAAACUACCAUCCUCGUAUUCUCCUCUUGUUCUACAUCAGGUAUAUCACACUCCAAAAAUUUCAAAUAAUCUUAUUAGUGUUAGAAAAUUGUGUUCUGAUAAUAAAGUUUUUGUUGAAUUUUAUGCCACUCAUUUUCUUAUCAAAGAUCAAGUUUCGAAGAGAGUUCUCUUUCAAGGUCAACUUGAUAAUGGCUUAUACAAAGUUCAGUCGUCAUGCUCUCCUUCUACUAUUUCCUUUCAUCCUCAAGUUUUCAUAGCCAACAUCAAGGAUCAAAAUUUGUGGCACAAGAGACUAGGCCACCCAGCUUUAUCUGUUAUUAAUCAAAUCUUGGAUUCUUGUAACAUUGCUCGAACACAGAAAAUUGGUUUUAAUUUUUGUAGUUCUUGUCAAUUAGCAAAAAGCCACAGGCUUCCUUUUUCUCUGUCUCCAUCCAUUGCAGAAAAACCUUUUGAGUUAAUUCAUACAGACCUAUGGGGUCUUUCUCCUGUUCGCUCUAUUUCUGGUGCUCGUUAUUUUUUACUUUUCAUUGAUGAUCAUACUCGUUUUACUUGGUUUUAUUUGCUCAAAACAAAAGAUGAAGCAUAUCCUACUUUUCUCAAGUUUCAAGCUCUCAUUGAAAAUCAAUUUAAUACCAAGAUUAAGGUUGUCCAAUCUGAUUGGGGAGGUGAGUUUCGAUCUCUCUCCAUACUGUUUUCAAAUAUGGGCAUUGUCUAUCGUUUAUCAUGUCCAUACACCUCACAACAGAAUGAGUGGGUUGAGCGAAAAAAUCACCAUGCGGUUGAAAUGGGAUUGUCCUUUCUUGCUCGCUCGGGUAUGCCCUUAUCUUAUUGGCCUUAUGCCUUUCAAACUGCCACUUACCUUAUUAAUCGUCUCUCUACCCCUGUGCUGCACCAUCAAUCCCCUUACUUCGCACUCUAUCACAAAUUCCCAGCUUAUACUCAUCUUAAGGUCUUUGUUCCUCUUGUUUUCCAUAUUUACGCCCUUAUAAUACCCAUAAACUCCAAUACAGGUCACUGGAGUGUGCUUUUCUUGGUUGCAGUUCACACCACAAAGGUUAUCUAUGUCUUGACAUUCAUUCUAGCAGGGUGUAUAUUUCUCGCCAUGUGAUUUUUAAUGAAGAUUCUUUUACAUUCAAGAAUUUGAAAUCUUCUCUCUCUUAGUCUAUUUCUUCUUCCUCUUCUUUAUUAGUUCCUCUGUUCAUUUCCUUGCCUCCCCUCUCCCCAUAUCCUCCUAUUUCUCCAUCUAUAUCUCAUUCUUUUCUCUCUUCUUCUUCUACCUCUAGUACUUGUUCCCCUCUCGUUGCUCCUACCUCUCUUCCUCCCUCUUCACACUUUGUGUCCCAUCUAUUCCACCUCCUUCUCCACCUUCUUCGAGUGUGGACCUGCUUGUACCUUGUGUGAAUACAAAUUUACUUACUUUUUCUCGCACUCACAAUAUUCAUCCUAUGGUGACCAGAUCUAAGGGUUUGUAUCUAUAAACCUAAGUUGCUAUUGAGUGUCUCCAUAGGUUCUCUCACUAAGCCUACUUCCUUUCUUCAAGCUAUUAAAGAUCCUUCAUGGAAGCAAGCCAUGGAAUUGGAGUUUGCUGCCCUUCAACACAACAAGACCUGGCAUCUAGUUCAUUCACCUUCCUCAGGCAAAGUAAUUGGUUGUAAAUGGGUCUAUAAGAUAAAGCUUUAGCCUGAUGGCUAAUUGAGAGAUACAAGGCCCGCUUAGUAGCUUAGGGUUAUCAUCAAACUGAAGGUAUUGACUACUUCGAAACAUUCAGCCUGGUUGUCAAGCCUUCUACUACCGUAUUGUGCUCAGUCUUACUUUUUCCCAGAAUUGGUGUAUUAGACAGCUGGAUGUUCAUAAUGCCUUCUUACAUGGUGACUUAGCUGAAGACGUUUUCAUGGAACAACCACCUGGAUUUGUUGAUCCUCUCUAUCCUACUCAUGUCUGCAAGUUGGAUAAGUCUCUCUACGGUCUUAAUAGUCACCUCGGGCUUGGUAUACUAAGCUGAGUACUUCUCUACUACACUUGGGAUUUGUUACUUCUAAGAAUGACUCUUCCUUAUUUAUUUGUCAUUCGUCUCAUGGGUUACUUCUUGUUCUUGUCUAUGUGGAUGAUAUAAUCGUCACUGGGAGCCACUCUCCUCAAGUUACUCACCUUAUCCAAUAGUUGCAUCAUCAGUUUUCUUUAAAGGAUCUUGGUCAUUUACACUAUUUUCUGGGCUUGGAGGUUCAUCACACCCCUACUGGUAUUCACCUCAGCCAAGCAAAGUAUAUCACUGAUCUCCUUACCCGGGCGGCUAUGUUGGAUGCCAAGCCAUGUCCCACUCCUAUGUCCUCCAACACAUAUCUUUCUCUUCAUGAUGGAGUGGCUCUUGAAAAUGGUUCAGAUUAUUGAAGUUUUGUUGGUGCCCUUUAGUAUUGUACCAUGACACGCCCAGAUAUAGCUUUUGCAGUAAAUAAAGUGUGUCAAUUCAUGCACCAUCCCUCUGAUGUUCACUGGCAGGCUAUAAAACGUAUUCUCCAGUACUUAAAGGGCACAUCUCAUUUUGGUCUCUUCCUACAGCCUUCCUAUGACUUCAACAUCACUUGCUAUACAGAUGCCGACUGGGCUUCCUGCCUUGAUGACAAGUGUAGCACCAGUGGCUACUGCCUCUUUCUUGCCUCUAAUCUGGUUUCUUGGUCAUCUUCCAAACAAAAAGUGGUCUCCCGCUCCAGCGCCAAAUCAGAGUACCGAGGGGUAGCAAAUGGGGCUGCUGAAAUUGCUUGGACUGAAUCUCUUCUUUGUGAACUUUCCACCCACUCGACCUCCCCUCAUUGUCUGUGACAAUAUCAGUGCCACAUACUUAGCUGUCAAUCCUAUUUUGCAUGCCCGCACCAAAACAUGUGGAAAUCGACUAUCACUUUGUCUCGGAACGUGUUCUUCAACGCUCUCUCUCUCUCCAGUUUACACCUUCGGAUGAUCAACUUGCUGAUUGCAUGACCAAGCCUCUCUCCACCCAACGUUUCAUCACUCUACGCUCCAAGCUCACUGUUCUCACUAGACCAAUGAGCUUGAGGGGGGAUGUUAAGCCUAAAGAUGUAAUUAGUUAGGAUAUUCUUUUCCCUCUAGUCUUGUAGCUCCACGUGUACAGUUGGUUAGGACCUCAUUGUAUAUAAUGCCUGCCCUGUUAUUGUAGAAGACAACAGAGAUAAAUAAUAUUAACAUUUUUCCUCUCAUCUCUCUCUCUGUUUCCCUCUGUUUUCAUCUCCUCUCUCAUCUGAACCAAAUGAUCCAUGUUAACCUUGGCUUGGUUUGAUUUGGCUCUAUCUUAGAGAGCUCAAGGAUCACGUCAACUCUGGUUUCUACUAUUCAGGUCCAUUCCCAUAUGAACUGGUUCAAAUUUGAGAAAAUGGUAACAGACCUUUAGUGAUGUUGGUUUGGAGCCAGUUGCCAAACCCGCCCUGAGCUUUACCACUAAUGUCAAGGGAGAAAGCCUUUUGAACAAAAACAAUAGCUUCAAGAGACUGAAUCGUGGAUGAAAUCUGAUCCACAUUUCUUCUCAUUUUGGAAACAAAUGAGAACUUAACUAAGAAGAUUCUACGGCCUCAUAGUGCUUUUCCUGAUCUAAGGUUGGUUCGUUUCCCAAAUUGUGAGAUGCACGGGCCAGACUUCAGAACUCUCACGCUCAGGAGUGUAUCCACGUGGUGGACAUAAGAUGGUGGCUUAAGAUCUGGUGUCGGUGGCUUUACUUUACUAGGAGAGUAGUGUGUCUUCAUCUCAUUCACUGCCGGAGGGUGGCGUAAGCAGUGACGCUAAGGUGGGGCAUAGUCAAUAUCAUUUGCAUUUGACCAUUAUAGUUUUCUCCCGGCUUGAAAGUAACCUUAUCGUGAUAAAGGAUUACUAGCACUAGUUCAGAUGACAGUCAUGUUAAAUUCGGACCAUGUUUGUGUCACAUUAUCAGCAACCAUGUGUUUAUGGUUCAUGCUUUCUGCAACUGAAAUUGAAAUUGAUAUAUAACCAGGUGAACUUCAAUCUAAAUUCUGGAAGUACUCAUGUGAGCGAUGGUGCCCAUCUGCAGAGUCCAUCAAUUGAAAAAUGGAGUGAGUGUAUCUAUAAGAGGGAAGGCUUGGCAAAUGUCCAGUUUUCUGGGAAUUCAACAAGGAUCUAAAAUAGAUUGUUUUCUUUGCUGAUUUCAAUGGUUGAAAUUUGAGAAGAUUGUGUCCCACAUAACACAACUAUUACUGGUCCUUCUGUUGCAAUUUAUCCUCUAAGGCUCUAGCAUGUCUUCCAAUUCCCACUUCCCUGUUACUCCAGGAAAGCUAUUUCUGUCAUUGUGAAGAAGAAAAGAGAAUGUAGAUAUCGAUGCUUUUAAGUGACUGGAGCAUUCAUAUCAGGUGGUCUGCAGCCAUAUAUGCCACUUUGUGAAGAUUGGAACAGUCAAUCACUAGGCUAUAUAUUAGUGUGGCCCAGCCACUUUAAUCAAGGACAAUUCUUCAUACUUAAAAGUCAAAUUCUGCCUUUAGUCUCAUUAUAAAUUGCUGUUUAAAUAUUAAGCAAACAUUUGUUUAAUGCGAUUAAGACAGUACUAACUCAAUACUUGUUCUAUUUUUGGAUGGAAAUGCUUGAUGGUUUCAUCAUUGGAUGGGAUAAAGGUGCAUUCAUGAUUAUGAAUACUUGUAGUUAUAUUUUCAUUCUCUUUUUUCUCAAUGAGACUUGUUGGCACAAUUUUUCUGUUCAGAAACCUACCUCUCCAUGGAAAAUAAGUUGUGAUUGAUAGUACUGGAUAUAUUCAAGAAAGCUAAAUAUAGAUAGCACAAAAUAUUAUCGACAUAAAUAGCAUUAACAGCGUACGUAUGUCUCAGUGCUCAUCAGCCAUAAGCAUGGGGCAAACACUUACGAUGAGCAACUUACGUCAAAAUUCCAGAAUAGGACAUAGAAGUGACAGAUCUAUAUAUAUAGAACACUGCAUAAGAGUCACAAGAAAGGAAAUUACGGGUGCAUAGCAGCUCUUAUUUCACAUACUACUCAUACUGAUCAAAGUCACUCAGUUGGGAUGGGUGGGAGUAGGAGGUUUGUGGGGUGGCUUGUGCGGAGGAGUUGGCAGCUUCUUUCCAGGACCUGGUGGCUUCUCUCCCUUAGGUGGUUUGCCAACUGGGGUUGGUGGCUUGUAUGAGUCUUCAGCAUUCUCUGCAGGAGGGUGACCAGGGUUGUGACCAUAAUGUGGUGGCUUCUCUCCCUUAGGUGGUUUGCCAACUGGGGUUGGUGGCUUGUGUUCUGGGAGUGGCUUCUCCCCCUUGGGAGGUUUUUCCAAUGGGGUUGGUUUGUGUUCAGGAGGUGGCUUCUCCACUGGAGGCUUGUGUUCAGGAGGUGGCUUCUCCACCGGAGGCUUGUGUUCAGGAGGUGGCUUCUCCACCGGAGGCUUAUGCUCUGGUGGUGGCUUCUCCACCGGAGGCUUAUGCUCUGGUGGUGGCUUCUCGAAUGGGGGAUGCUUAGGGUAAUCAGCAAGUGAGGGGGCGGUGAGAACCACCAGGCCAAGCAAGACCACUAGCAAGUAUGUAGGAGACAUCUUUGGGUUUAGACUCAGAUGGUGCAAAACUAGGAGAAUUGUCUUUUAUAGCGGAUCGCACCCAAUAAUGAAAUGACACGUGUCUUUAUGACCCAUGUGUAAUGGGGUCGAUUUGGGUCCUACAGUGUUGAAAACUUCGACAUCCACUUUUGGCCUUUUGCUUUCUCUACAGCCGCCUUGCUUUUUCCCUCUUUCCUUUUGUUUUCCUCCUGCCCCAUUCUAUCAACUAAACACAAUUAUGUAGUUGUUUAAUUCUUAAAUGAGAUAUUAUCCGUCAAUCGUAUCAUAUUUUAUCAACAGAGAACGGAGUGCAAUGUGGCAAUCCAAAGAAAGAAGAUCCAUAAUGCAGCUGUAAUUUUAUCGUUUACUUUUAUCUCUUGGACCACUGCAUUUUUGUUAAGAGGUGCAAUAAUACACGUCUUUAUCUGCCAUUCAAUGUUUACAGUAAAGAGAGGGCACAAAACUCUUCACUGCUCUGCAUGUGUCCCAAAAAUGCAAUUGGACAAAUUAUGAUUUGCAUGCUAAAAAGAGGCAAAUGAGGUUAAUUCGCACCAUAAUUAUUUUGUUUUCUGGACCCCGGGGCCCUUUGGUUGGUUUGGGGGUCAGAAAAUGAACAUCAUAGGGGGUUUUUCCCUUAUGUGCAUUUGUAUCUGAUGGCUUUAACUCGCCUUGUUACUACAAAGAAAUUGUCACAUAUAGGAACUUAUUCCAGGCUGAGUAUCUCCGCAUAGACCCUAUAAAAGAAGACAAGUCAUAAUGAACAUCUAACCUUUGUUCAAUUUGAUUCAAUGCCCCAUUGUGUCCACCUCACAAAUCUGAAUUAUUAUAUCCAUUGAAUACAUAAAUUAAUGAAGAAAAUAUGAAACCCAAGAUACAUCUCUGCACAACCUCAACCCUGGUUGCUAUGUUUCCCUUCUAUUCACAUGAGGAUAUUGAUUACGGAAUAGGGAAACCUAGCAAGGGUUUACUCGGCUCUGGUUUGAUGCUAAUUGCCAAACUUGCAACAAGCCCUGAGUUUGAAGCUCACAGAAGAUGUUAUACAGGCAGGGAAAAACCUUCAGAGUUCGCUGCCAAAGAUAAUUAUUAAGGAGAUAUCACCAAGAGAAUUCCAAGGAGUCUGAAUCAAAGACAAAUUGGUCGUUCGUGGAGGUUCUUACUUUCUUUUGGGUAUAACUCACUGAGGGCACUGUCUUUUUUAUUUUCAUUUCACAUUUAGAGUUCUGUUCUGGAAACAUAUAAAAGGAGCAUCAGUUUGUUCUUGGGUAACCCAUAGUCGUGAGUGGGUCCAUUUGCAUGCUACUUAGUUGAAAAGUUGGACCAUUUGCUCCGACGCCUACCUCCUGGAUUCCAUGCUCGGAUAAAACAAGAAUAAAAAAAUAUUUAUAAUUUACAAAUGGGGGAAAGAAAAAAAUGUCAACAACAAACUAGGAAAAAAGAGUAGUAAAAUUCAUGUCACAUGCUAGUGAGAGAAGGGGUUGUUACACUCACUCGAAGUUCUUUUCAAAAUAUCGCAUGGUAUUUUAUUUUAUGUGUGAGCGCAGUUGUGAAUGGAACGUGCAAAAGUCCAAAUUGGUGACCUUUAAUAAAUAUUUAAAACAAAAAACGAAAAAAAGGAGGGAAAAGGGAUCAGAAAAGAUAAAACAAUGUGUACAAAAGCUCAAUUAGUUUGCAAAUUACUGUUUGGAUUUUGAUAGUAUUUUAUUUGAUGUAAAAGAGAAUUUAAGAUAUUUCCGAAACAAAAGCAUUAGUUUGCUCCAUGUCAAUUUCGGCAUUUCUCAUAUGUUUCACACAUACACAGAAGAGCAUCGUUUUUUAAAGCAUGCAUUUAUGUUGGAUUAAUUUGGAUUUUGUGGGAACUGGGGCAAGGAUCACAUGGAAGAGAGGUUGACUUUUUUCAGUACUUCAAUGGUUGAGACAGGUGAAGGCCUGAUUGAUACUGAAGCCUGAAAUUGCGACUCCGUCAUUUGUCAAAACAUAUGACAGCUUCCAUGCUCUCGUUUGGUUGCAUUGUUCUGUGGUCAUGCAUACAUGCCACUUAGUGAUCAGUCUGUAACUGUCAAUCAUUGGGCUUUGACUGAACAACAUCAGCCAUGUAUAAAUACUUGCAAAUCAAACGGUCUUCUUCCUCCCAUAAGGAAUUUCGGUUUAAUUAUGAAGCAUGCAUUUGGCUGACCAUCAUAAACCACUUCUUUAAAUUGAUGAAUGAUAGUUUUUCAUUCAUUCUUUCAUUCGUUCAUAUACAGAGUAUAUAUAGAGGGUAAUCAUCAUUCUAAGAAUGGGAAAGAAUGAUACAAGGAAAUAAUGAUAUAAAGAAAUAACAACUAAUAUUCUAAUAUCUCAACUUUCCUAAUAUCUAAACAUUCCUAAUAUCUCAACACUAAAUGAUAUAAAGAAAGAAUGAUAUAAGGAAAGCAUUCCUAAUAUCUCAACACUCCUCCUCAAGUUGGUGCAUAGAUGUCAAACAUGUCCAACUUGUCUAAAAAUUUUGAGAACAGUUGACUUGAGACAUCUUUGGUGAGGAUAUCGGUCAAUUGAUCUUCUGAUCGAAUCUUAGGCAAUUCCACAAUCUUAUCAUCCAACUUUUCCUUAAUGAAAAAUCUAUCCAUCUCGACAUGCUUUGUACGAUCAUGUUGUACUAGAUUAUGAGCAAUGUCACAUGCUGCUUUAUUGUCACAAAACAAUCGGAUUGGUUGCCUAGAUAGGUAACCUAAAUCCUAUAAGAGGAGUCUUAGCCAUAAUGCCUCACAAAGUCCUAAAGUCAUACCUCUAAAUUCCGCUUCUGCACUUGAACGAGCGACGACAUUUUGCUUCUUACUUUUCCAUGUCACAAGAUUACCACCUACAAAGGUAAAGUAACCAGAUGUAGAUCGCCUAUCAUCCACUGCACCGACCCAAACAGCAUUAUACUUCUAUACUCUGAUGAUCAACAUUUUUAGCGAACAAAAUUCCCUUCCUAGGAGCAUUCUUCAAAUACCUCAAAAUACGCAUGACUACAUUCAUAUGUUGCUCUCCAGGAUUAUGCAUGUAUUGACUCACUACACUCAAUGUAUAAGCAAGAUCUAGUCUUGUAUGAGCUAAGUACAUUAAUCUCCCCACAAGUCUCUGGUAUCUUCCCUUAUCGAUUGAUACUUGAUUAGGCUCAACACACAAUUUCAGACCUUCUUCUAUUGGUGUAUUAAUAGGUUGACAUCCCGACAUUCCAGUUUCCUGUAGAAGAUCUAAGGCAUACUUUCUUUGAGACAGAAAAAUUCCUUCACUUGAUCGAGAAACUUCAAUCCCAAGAAAGUAUUUCAGACGACCAAGAUCUUUCAUUUCAAAUUCUCUAGAUAGAUACUUUUGCAAAGCUUUUCUUUCUUCAGGAUCAUUUCCUGUAACUACAUGUCAUCCACAUAUAUCAUAAGUGUCGUAAUCUUACCAUGUUGCUUUUUCAAGAACAAAGUGUGAUUUGAAUUACUUUGAUGAUAGCCAAAAGCUCUCAUUGAUUUUGUGAACCUUCCAAACCAUGCUCUCGGGGAUUGCUUCAACCCAUACAAUGACUUCUUCAAUUCGCACACCUUCUGACAUUGCUUUUCUGACACCAUGCAUCCUGGUGGAAGAUCCAUAUAUACUUCUUCAGAUAAAUCGCCAUGCAGAAAGACAUUUUUUACAUCGAACUAUUGUAAUGGCCAAUCUAGGUUUGCAGCUAAAGACAAUAAUACUCGAACUGUGUUGAUCUUAGCUACAGGUGCAAAUGUCUCUGUGUAGUCAAUUCCAUAAGUUUGAAUGUACCCACUAGUCUUGCUUUAAAUCGUUCAAUACUACCAUCUGCCUUGUACUUCACAGUAUAGAUCCAACGACACCCAACUAGCUUCUUUCCUGGUGGACAUUCUACGAGUUCCCAUGUUUCAUUUUUCUGCAAUGAUUUCAUCUCUUCAUUCAUGGUUGCUUUCCACUUUGGAUCAGCUAAAGCUUCCUGCACACUAUUAGGAAUAGCUACAGUAGAUAAUUGAUUUACAAAUGACUUAUUUGAUUCAGACAAACCAUGGUGUGGACCCGCAUUUUUCACGUGCGCCUCUACUCGAUCGGCGAGACUCGCUUUCUAUUUGUGAAAAAUUAAUUUUAGAAAAGUUGGAGUCGCCACCUAUUUUAUUUUUAUUUUGAAGGGAAAAUAAAACAAGAAAGAAAAACCCUAAAAAGUGACUCCAUAGUUUUGGAAAAAGCAUGUCUUUGGGAAACCUGAGUCUAGGUCCGGGGAUCAUGUUACUUAUUGGGAAGGUACCUCUAGGAGGUAGCACCCCUCUAAGCCUUAUGAAGGUCUCUACUAACUAAAUUAAGGGAAGUGUGGCAAUAAAUCGAUUGAUCAUAGAUACCUAAGUAGACUAGGUGAUUUUAAAGUGUGGCAUGUCAAACACAAUCAAAUUGCAAUAAAGGAGAGUUAGGGCGCGUACCUGAACCGCUUCUCAAGCGCUAUCAUAAAACAUCAAUGGUUAAUUUAAAUAAUAUAUCAUCCAGCAUGUAUUUUAUUAGAAAUAAUCAAACAAUGAAACAUGUAUAUCAGAACACUCAAGCAUUAUUAGACAUAAGCAUUAUUUCACUAUUCACAGAAUUCAGAAAGUAGGUGAUAGAGGACAUACCUGGAUAGCAUAGAUAAUUUGUAAUGUGCUUCCUCAAGUUGUAAGGGGUUAGAUAACAAAUAAUAAAAUAUAGAAAUCCUAGCAUGCUCGUUAUCUAAUUAGCAUAGCAAAAGUGAUCACAGUAUACAGAAUCAUCAAUUAUCACAUACAUCUUGUAUAUAAUUCCUAAAAAAAAUAGAUAGACAUGAUUUCAACAAGUGUCAAAUGUGGCAACAAAAAUAAAUUUUGAAAAGAUUUUCUUAUGUAGGGGUUUCACCAAUUCCCCAAAUUAAUAUACACGAAUUUAGCUUAGAAUUAUCCCAUUUAUUUGGGACUACAAGCUUUGAUUCGUGUUUUUGUUCAAAACCAAAAAUUUUUGUUGAAAAUCAAGAAGGAUGCGAACCGAACAAGAUAUGGUUGCAUAUUAUUUUUAAAUAAAUAAAUAAAUAAAUAAAGGAGAUUUUGAUCCUGAGGACUUUAAUGAGUUUUUUUUUUUAAAAUAGAUUUUUAAAAUGAUUUUUUUGAGAAAAGUAUUUUAUUUUAAAAUAAAAGGGAUUAAUUUGGGAAAAAAAUAAAAUAUAAGAAAUAAAAUACCAAACAAAACAAAAAUGAAACCUCAAAGUAAAAUUUUUUUAGUAAUUAACAAAAAUGAUAAUGGUGAUGGUAGAGGGCAAUCUUCAUGAUUUUCCAAUGGCCUCAGAAAGAAAAUCAAAUUAAAUGAAGGAUCACUAACAGGCAAGACAUUCUAAAUUAGACAAACUAACAAAGUAUCAAUUCAUGAACUAACCGCUAGGAUUUUGAAAGCAUAUAAGCUAAGAUAAGGGUGAUCAGGAACUAAUAUUAAUGAUUUUGAAAUAAAAACUAAAAAAAAGGAUCAAUUCGGGUAAGGAACUAAAAUUAUAAAAGUACCUAAACUAAUUAUGACGAGUUUGACUAAAUUAAACUAAAAACAUGAACUUUCAAACAUAGAAUUAAUUUUACUAAUGAACCAAAGCAAACUAAAAAUAUGUACUUUCAAGCAUAGAAUUAAUUUUAUUGAUGAACUAAACUAUAACAAAUAUCUAAACUAAAUAUAAUGAAUCAAAUUAAAUUAAAGCAACUUAAAAACGCAAACUUUCAAACAUAGAAUCAAUUUUAUCAAUGAAUUAAAACUAUAAAUGUAUUUGAACUAAAUAGAUGAAUCAAACUAAAUCAGAGCAAAAUUAAAAAAAAAAAAGAACUUUCUAACAUGAAAUCAAUUUUAUCAACAAAUAAAUGAAUGAAUAACAAGUAAUUAAAAGAAUAGCUACUACAUGAAUAACUGAAUGAAUAAAAUUCAAAUGUUUUCAAUCUGAAGCAAUCAAUCAAAAUUAAAUAGGGAUCAAAUCAAAAUAAUCGAAAUCGGAAAAACAAUAUGCAAUCUUUCUAAAGGUUUAACCAGACAAUUGAAUUAAAAUUAUGAAUAGAAUAAAUUAAUAAACCAAAUCGAAACCUAAAUUGUACCUAAAAAGAUUAAUUAAUUAAACUAAGAAAUCAAAAUCAAUAACAAAACUAAACUAAGGAGUAAAUUAAGACAAGACUAAUUAAAUUAAACUCACAAACACGUUUUAACUAUCAUAUGGAUUAAAACAAAAUUAGCAUGGACUUAUGAAUUACGAACAAAAAUAAUCAAAACUAUUUUAAAAAACUCACCUCUAUUAUAAGAAAAAAUCUGCCUUUGAUGCGUUGAGGUGGCUCCCCUCUCUGUGUGGAUCUCUCUGCUCCCCAGAAAAAAAAUGUCUCUUCCUCCGUUCUCUUUUGUUUCAGCAAAAUAAUAUAUCCCCUGCUGUGGAUCUCUCUACUCCCAGAAAAUAAUAUAUUCUCUCCGUGUCCUAAAGUGGACCUAGGGUGCCUAAGUGGACCUAGGGUGCCUAAAUGGGCCUAGGGUGCCUAAAUGGGCCAAGUGUAUCUAAAUAGGCUUAGGGUGCCUAAGUGGGCCUAAGUCUAAGUGAGCCUAAGUCUAAAUCAAGACUACCAAGGAUCAUAAUAAGGGGUUAGGCAAUCCCUUAACCAAAGUCUCCAAGGUGGCUAAAAAAAAGUAAGUAGUAUGAGUAGCUAUGGGUCACCAAGGAACUACUGUGGAGCAUUGAAAACGAAUUUAAAGACAUGUGCCAAAGGGACAAAAUUGAGGGUCUACAGAUGGUUAGACACAUAGUUGCUCAUGGGAUAUUUGACUUUGGUAAACAAUUCAGAUUCAUAUGUGGGUUUAGGAAUACCUUUAUUAUGACGGUGUGGUAAUCGUUUCAUGAAUGGAUCAGGUUGCAAAUUAAGAACACCCUCAGCAAACAACGAUUGGUUUGGUAUUUCAGUGAAGACAUCUUCGAACCCAAAUUGUUGACCACUCAUAUCCAACUCACCCGCUUCCUGGUUCACUAGUUCAGAUUGUCCAAAUUCAUCAUUCUCAUAGAUAUGAUAAUCAUAAUCGAGAGUCUGAAUUUCCUUAUGGUACUCCCCCUGAAGUUCAGACUUAGAUGAAAAAUACAUCGAAUAUUCAUGAAACAGCNNNNNNNNNNNNNNNNNNNNNNNNNNNNNNNNNNNNNNNNNNNNNNNNNNNNNNNNNNNNNNNNNNNNNNNNNNNNNNNNNNNNNNNNNNNNNNNNNNNNNNNNNNNNNNNNNNNNNNNNNNNNNNNNNNNNNNNNNNNNNNNNNNNNNNNNNNNNNNNNNNNNNNNNNNNNNNNNNNNNNNNNNNNNNNNNNNNNNNNNNNNNNNNNNNNNNNNNNNNNNNNNNNNNNNNNNNNNNNNNNNNNNNNNNNNNNNNNNNNNNNNNNNNNNNNNNNNNNNNNNNNNNNNNNNNNNNNNNNNNNNNNNNNNNNNNNNNNNNNNNNNNNNNNNNNNNNNNNNNNNNNNNNNNNNNNNNNNNNNNNNNNNNNNNNNNNNNNNNNNNNNNNNNNNNNNNNNNNNNNNNNNNNNNNNNNNNNNNNNNNNNNNNNNNNNNNNNNNNNNNNNNNNNNNNNNNNNNNNNNNNNNNNNNNNNNNNNNNNNNNNNNNNNNNNNNNNNNNNNNNNNNNNNNNNNNNNNNNNNNNNNNNNNNNNNNNNNNNNNNNNNNNNNNNNNNNNNNNNNNNNNNNNNNNNNNNNNNNNNNNNNNNNNNNNNNNNNNNNNNNNNNNNNNNNNNNNNNNNNNNNNNNNNNNNNNNNNNNNNNNNNNNNNNNNNNNNNNNNNNNNNNNNNNNNNNNNNNNNNNNNNNNNNNNNNNNNNNNNNNNNNNNNNNNNNNNNNNNNNNNNNNNNNNNNNNNNNNNNNNNNNNNNNNNNNNNNNNNNNNNNNNNNNNNNNNNNNNNNNNNNNNNNNNNNNNNNNNNNNNNNNNNNNNNNNNNNNNNNNNNNNNNNNNNNNNNNNNNNNNNNNNNNNNNNNNNNNNNNNNNNNNNNNNNNNNNNNNNNNNNNNNNNNNNNNNNNNNNNNNNNNNNNNNNNNNNNNNNNNNNNNNNNNNNNNNNNNNNNNNNNNNNNNNNNNNNNNNNNNNNNNNNNNNNNNNNNNNNNNNNNNNNNNNNNNNNNNNNNNNNNNNNNNNNNNNNNNNNNNNNNNNNNNNNNNNNNNNNNNNNNNNNNNNNNNNNNNNNNNNNNNNNNNNNNNNNNNNNNNNNNNNNNNNNNNNNNNNNNNNNNNNNNNNNNNNNNNNNNNNNNNNNNNNNNNNNNNNNNNNNNNNNNNNNNNNNNNNNNNNNNNNNNNNNNNNNNNNNNNNNNNNNNNNNNNNNNNNNNNNNNNNNNNNNNNNNNNNNNNNNNNNNNNNNNNNNNNNNNNNNNNNNNNNNNNNNNNNNNNNNNNNNNNNNNNNNNNNNNNNNNNNNNNNNNNNNNNNNNNNNNNNNNNNNNNNNNNNNNNNNNNNNNNNNNNNNNNNNNNNNNNNNNNNNNNNNNNNNNNNNNNNNNNNNNNNNNNNNNNNNNNNNNNNNNNNNNNNNNNNNNNNNNNNNNNNNNNNNNNNNNNNNNNNNNNNNNNNNNNNNNNNNNNNNNNNNNNNNNNNNNNNNNNNNNNNNNNNNNNNNNNNNNNNNNNNNNNNNNNNNNNNNNNNNNNNNNNNNAACCAAAGGAAGCAUGUUCCAGACGUCGAUGCCACAACCAAAUUUCAGACUUUUUCUUCUCCUCCUUAGAUCCAUCUGCCAUCAAGGCUUGUUGCAACUUAUUUGAAUCCUUUGAUUGCAAGUCCAAGUAUAGAGUUUCCCCCGCUUAAUACGACAACCAAUCGUCUGUCUUGUUUGAAUGUCCUUAAUCACACAAAAUUCAGGCCAAAAAAUGACAAUACAAGAUAAGGCUGCAGUGAUUUGAGAAACUAACAAAAGAUUGUAAUCUAAAGAUGGAACAACUAAAACAGAAUCCAAAUUCAAAGUAUCAGUAAGAGUUAAGGAUCCUUCCCCAAUGACUGGGGUUGUGUUACCAUUGGCUGUGGAAACAAUUUUUUGUGAGGAAGGUCUAAGGGGUGAAACCUGUCUAGAAUCAAAAGUCAUAUGAUCUGUAGCACCAGAAUCAAUUAUCCAUGCACUAUUAAUAACAGGUGUAAAAGUAUUUAAAAACUUACCACAAUGAUCUGUAGCGGCUACUAAUGCAGAGACUUUCUCAACAACAUUAGUCUUUGUUUUUAUUUCGGUAACAGUUGCAAUCAAGGUUUUCUUGGAAUUCUUCUUCCGUUGAUCACGAUUAUUAUCAUUAAUAACAAAGUGUUGAUAGCCUAAACAUGAUCUAAAGGUCCAUGGUGCAAACCCUCGGUUCCUCAUUGUUUUCCUGGUCAUACCAAGAGUUGUUGCUUUGAAAUUGUGGGAUAUCCAGACUGGUGGGAUCAGUUUUAUUGCAGUGAGUGCAUUUGAAUGUUGACUUAUCAAUAUUAGGGCUUGUCUUCGGAUGGUUGAUUGCUGUUGGACUACCAUAGCGACAAAAUAUCCAGGAUUUCAAUUCCAGGGCUCUGAUACCAUCUUCAAAUUGAUGAAUGAUAGUUUUUCAUUCAUUCUUUCAUGUACAGAGUAUAUAUAGAGGGUAAUCACCAUUCUAAGAAUGGGAAAGAAUGAUACGAGGAAAUAAUGAUAUAAGGAAAUAAUAACUAAUAUCCUAAUAUCUCAACUUUCCUAAUAUCUCAAUAUUCCUAAUAUCUCAACUUUCCUAAUAUCUAAACAUUCAUAAUAUCUCAACACUAAAUGAUACAAGGAAAGAAUGAUAUAAGGAAAACAUUCCUAAUAUCUCAACACCACUUCAUGAUAUAUAUAGUUUCUUACCCUUAAUCAAUGGUUUCUAAGUGAAUUUAUAUAGAAAGAAAUCCAAACUGUAGACAGCAGUAUUGGUAACACUCAAUAUUCUGUAUAUAAUAGAAUAAAUAGCGUCACAGUGAUCGUCGCCUACAAGCAAGGUACAAAUACCACAAAGAGUGACCCACAUAGACAUUCCCCAACAAGAUGUAGUAGUGACUGACACAUAGCCACAAUUAACACGUAGAAAAGGAUAAGACCGGUGCACAGUAGCUCUUAUUUUACAUACUACUUAUGCCAACCAAAGUCACUCAGUUGGGAUGGGAGGGAGAUGGAGGUUUGUGCGGUGGCUUGUGGGGCGGAGUUGAUGGCUUCUUUCCAGGAGCUUCUGGCUUUUUCAUCGGAGCUGAAGGAGGCUCAAUCUUAUGAGGCGGCUUGUACGAGUCUUCUUUGCUCUCGAAAGGAGGGUGGCCAGGGUUGUGACCAUAAUGUGGUGGUUUCUCUCCCUUGGGAGGUUUACCAAUUGGGGUUGGUGGCUUGUGUUCUGGGAGUGGUUUCUCUCCCUUGGGAGGUUUAGUGGGUGACUUGUGUUCUGGAGGUGGCUUCUCCACCGAAGGCUUGUGCUCCGGUGGUGGCUUUUUGGUUGGAGGGGGCUUGGGGUAAUCAGCAAGAGAUGGGGUGGUGAGAACCACCAGUCCAAGGAACAACACUAGCAAGUAUGUGGGAGACAUUUUUGAGUUUGGGCUGAUCAGAUGAUGCAAAACUAAAGCAUUACGUGACCUUUUAUAGCAAGUAGCUCCCAAUACCUACUUGACACGUGUUACUGUGACCCAUAAAUAUUAUGGGGUCUAUUUGUGCCCUACCGGGUUGAAAACUUGGACAAUUGGGCAAGGACCCGCCUGACUAUGGAGGACUACUGAGGUGUGAUCACAGCUUUAGGAUUUUUCUUCCUCUGCAGCCGUCUUGCCGUUGGCAUGAUUUUCUUAAUCUCAAAUAAAGGCAUAGUUAUAGAGUUGUUUAAUCUCUAAAUGGGAUUUUAUAUAUCUUCAGAUAGCCAUUAAUACAUUUGAUGAAGAAAGAAAGACAAGUGCAUACAACAUGUAUACGACUAGCUUUCAUGGAGUUCAUUUAUGAUCAGUUUUCCUGUACAUGUAAACCAAGAUCAUAUAUGUUUUUGUUCCACAACAAUUUUGGAAUCUUGUUUAUCCGUUUUUAUCAUUAUAAUGUCACAUAGGCUGCCAACUUGGGCGCUAAAUUAAAGAUCCAGUUGGGCAAGUUCGUUUCAGAAUUUCAAUGGUGGAUUCAGGAAUUGUUUUAUAAGAUAUGCAAAAUAGUAGAGGGAUGAAUAGUGUUUCAUUAAGAAAAGAGCCCUGUAAAAAUAUUGUUUAAAGGUGCCAUAGAAACUAUAAUCAAUAAAUAACUUUUUUUCCCCAUGGGUGGUGUUUCUUGUGGGGAUCAGUGACUGGUUUGAGUCAACGCCGUGUCUCUUUAGUCCAGAAAUCAACUAUUUUAUGCAUUGAAUACAUCAACAAAGAAAAUAUGAAAGCCAAAUGACACCUCCCCCGCAAAAACUAAACCCUGGUUGCUAACUUUCUAUGUUUCAGUUCCAUUCACACAAGAAUAUUAGUUCAAGUUUGAGAAAAAUGGCGACUUACCUAGUGAUAACUCGGUCUUGGUUUGCGAUUUGACUUUAACGUCAUGGGUUGAAGCCUCCUACAAUCAUCGUGUAUGCUAGUUCAAAGCUCGUGGAAGAAGUUAUACAGGGAGGGAGAAACCUCCACAGCAAGCUCCAAAAGAGAAUUAUCACAUUGAAAGCUCCAGUUGAACACUGGGUGAAAGCCAUAACAAGAUUGGUUUUCUAUCGCUCUUUUAAGUAAUGGAAGAUUAUUAUCUCUGCUUGUCACUACAACCGUGCAUGCUGCUAGAUCUUUCUAGACACUUCAAACAGUGAAACCAAGUAUGAUUCUUUUUCUCUUGAGUGGGUCCACUUGCAUGCCAAUGAACGAGUUGAAAAGUUGGACAAUUGGCCACAGCGCGCACUUACCUUCUGGAACCGAAGGUCAGUGAAGUGGGGUUCCUUUUGGCCCCUUGUGUUUCUGUUCCAACCUACUCCAGGAACCGAAGUUCAGUGAAGUGGGGCUACUUUUGGCCUCUUGUGUUUCUGUUCCAACCAAACAAAAAUGGGAGGGAAAAAUAGCAUUAUGCUUGUGCUAAAGAUCAACGCAUGAUAGCUGAAUAAGGGAGAAAAAGGCAUUGCUAUCUCAAUUUCAUAAACUUGAUAAGUAGUGACAUUAAUAGUCUUCCUCAUAGAUGGAUACAUGGUUUUAUUUUAUUUAUUUAUUUUUAUUUUUUUGUUUUAUGUCAAUGCUAAUGAAUGAAGUGCAUUAGCUUGUUUUGUGACUAGAACUACAAAUGUCCAAAUUGGAGCUUCUCCAAUAUAUUUCUCAGUGAGUUAUUGAUUAGAACUCUUGGAUUGAGUUCCAAGAUUUGAAUCAGACCCCUCUAGCAGCUUCAGGGGUACGUAGCAACCUAUAGCAUAUUAAUGAAGACUUAGGAUUUAGACUUAGGAAUACAAAUUAAUAUGUACCUCAUGCUCUGACUAGCUUCCCUGCGUAUGCACAAAAUGGAGAUGACUCCCAAAAAAAUAGCAGAAUCGCCUUAGUAUGUUUUUGUGGUUAAGAUGAUUCUCCACUUUAUAUAUCCACAUUGGUUCAUUAUGCAAAUUAAUCAACUAAGCUAUUUUUAUUUUUUCUUAAAUGUGAAAUAGGAGCUCCAAAUUAACCUAACCAUUGGCCUGAUUGAAUUGAUUUCACUUGCAUAAUGUUAUAGUAGAAGUCCGUAAUUUGAAUUUUAUUUUUGCAAAAGGUAACGUAAAUGAAGCAUUGUAAUUAAAUUUAUUUGUAAUUACAAACUAAUUUUAUUUUAUUAAGAAUUAAUUUAAUUACUCAUUUAAAAUAAAAAUCAGUUAUACUUUUACCAAGAUGAUAAUAUUCAUAUUUUUCUAGUUAACAUAUAUAAAAUAGUACACUUUUUCAUAUAAAAAAAUAAUUUAUGAUUUAUUAUAAUGUUACUAUUCACAUUUUACUAAAUUGAUGGUACAUGAUAGUGAGAGAAGGGGGUGUCACACUCAGCUAAAGUUCUUUUCAAAAUAUUGCAUGGUGUUUAAUUUUAUGUGUCGGCGCGCGUGUGAAUGGAACCUGCAAAAGUCCAAAUUGGCGUUUCUCCAUUUUCCACAUAGGAUGGUGACGUUAAUAGACAAAGAUACAAUAUCUGUAGACAUUGCUUAAAAAUCGAUGUGAAGUAUUAGAAAUUACAGGGCACUGUACUGGGGGAGCGGCUGCCCCGCCAAAGGAGGAAGAAUGUAGCAAUUUCUUCUGUUAGCCAGGCCUUAGGAUUUAUGCAUGGGAUGCCUAAUAACAAACAGAGAAAAUAUACUUUUGGGGAAGGUAUCCAACAACAGACACCAUCAUUCAGAUGGUGGGAAGGUAUCCAACAGAUGCCAUCAUUCAGAUGGUAACAUAUAUAUACAUUUAUUAGUGAGUUUUUUUAAUACCUAUAAAAAAAAAUAUACACUUUGAUAUUGUGGCUGAAUCCAUUACAUACUCAACUAACCUUGCUCAUUAGGGAUUUGACUUAACAAGGGCAACGUUGCAGUACAAGCUCAAAACUUUAUGCAGGUGACAUUACAUUUGGUAAAGAAGAGGAAAAUAACGAAAGCCAUCCAUAAAAGCAAAAUUCCACAUGGGAUGAAAUUCACAAGCUUCAUUUACGAUAGAGUCGCAUCCAGGCAAUUAAUUCCACAUUAGACCGCCUGUUGACAUGUGUACCAAUCUUUUUUCAAAAAAUAUUUAUAAAUAAUUGAUACUCACAAAAAUAAUUUAAUAUUUAUAAAGGAUAAAAAAAUAUUUUCAAAUCUAUAACAAUUUAUAAAAUAUUAAUAAAAAAUUAUCUCUUAAACUUAGUAUAGUUUUAUCAGAUUAAACUUUUAUUUUGAACAAAUAAUUUUAAUCUAAGUUUUAAAUUCUAAAAUUAUUUCCUUAAAAUAAAAUUUUAAAAUUCAACACUUCAAUUGAAAUUGUCUUUUUAAAAAAUAUCUUCUUAUUUUAAUCCUUAUAAACUAUAGUUGAUUGAAAAUACUAUUGAAGUUCUCUCUUAAAAAAAAGUCUUAUUUUAAUCUUCAUAAAUUGCCCUUGAUUUGAAAAUAAAUUUUCAGUUAUCAUAUUUUAAAUAAUAUCUAUAUUUAAAAUACUCUAUUUAAAAAAAAAUGAACUAAUUUUAAUUAUAUUAUAUUUUAUUUUUUUAUAUAUUUUUAAUGAUAAACCAAACAUAGAAAAUCAUUUUUCUAAAUAUUUUAAAAUUUCUAAGCAACCAAACAUAAUCUUCAAAAUAAAAGGAAAAUAAGGAGGGACAUUUGAGAAAUGGCGAUUAAAAAAAAGUGUACAAAAGCUCAAUUAAUUUUCUUCUAGUCUUUUAUAUAAAAAAGUAAAGGAAUUGAAAAGUAUUGAUAUGUAAAUUAAUAUUUGGAUUUUAAUAGUAUUUUAUUUGUCUUUCUCUAUCUCAUGUAAAAGAGAAUUUAAGAUAUUUCCUAAAGCAAAGCAUUAGUUAUCUGCAAUCAGUGGUGAUCAUGCCCCAUGUCAAUUUCGGACCCAUAUCUUAAAACUGUAUAAUUUGCAUUCAAACAUUACUGAUUUCUCAGAUGUUUCAUACUCCACAGAAGAGCAUUGUUUGUGAAAGCAUGCAUUUAUGUUGGAUUUUGGAUGAUGUGGGAACUGGGGCAAGGAUCAUAUGGAAGAGUGGUCGAUUUUGUUCUGUACUUUAACAUUUGAAAUAGGAGAAGCUCGGGCAUUUGUGGGGCUUAAUUGAUUUUGAAGCCUGAAAUUGCGUUUCUGUCAUUUUGUAAAAAAUAUGGCAGAUUCCAUGCUCUCAUAUGUUUGGUCUGUGGCCAUGUAUAGAUGCCCCUUAGUGACCAGUUUGUAACUGUCAAUCAUAGUGUUUUGACUCUGGCUCAACAACAUCAGCCAUUGACGGAUUUUCAUACUUGCAAAUCAAAUAGUCUUCUUCCUCCCUUAGGAAUUUCGGUUUAAAUGUUAUUAAGCAUACAUUUGGCUGACAAUUAUUAACCACUUCAUGAUAUGGUUUCUUACCCUUAAUCAAUGGUUUCUAAGUGAAUAUAUGCAGAAGGAAAUCUGAACUGUAGACAGCAGUAUUGAUAACUCUCAAUAUUCUUUAUAUAAGAGAAUAAACAACGUCAUAGUGAUCGUCGCCUACAAGAAAGGUACAUUUCCCAACAAGAUGUAGUUGUGACUGGUACAUGGACGCAAUUAACUCGUACAAAAGAAUAAGACCAGUGCACGGCAGCUCUUAUUUUACAUGCUAAUUAUGCUAACCAAAGUCACUCAGUUGGGAUGGGAGGGAGAUGGAGGUUUGUGCGGUGGCUUGUGGGGCGGAGUUGGUGGCUUCUUUUCAGGAGCUUGUGGCUUUUUCGGAGCUGAAGGAGGCUCAAUCUUAUGAGGCGGCUUGUACGAGUCUUCUUUACUCUCGACAGGAGGGUGGCCAGGGUUGUGACCAUAAUGUGGUGGCUUCUCUCCCUUAGGUGGCUUGCCAACUGGGGUUGGUGGCUUGUGUUCAGGAAGUGGUUUCUCUCCCUUGGGAGGUUUACCAAUUGGGGUUGGUGGCUUGUGUUCUGGGAGUGGUUUCUCUCCCUUGGGAGGUUUAGUGGGUGACUUGUGUUCUGGAGGUGGCUUCUCCACCGGAGGCUUGUGCUCCGGUGGUGGCUUCUCCACCGGAGGCUUGUGCUCCGGUGGUGGCUUCUUGAUUGGAGGGGGCUUGGGGUAAUCAGCAAGAGAUGGGAUGGUGAGAACCACCACUCCAAGGAACAACACUAGCAAGUAUGUGGGAGACAUUUCUGAGUUUGAGCUGAUCAGAUGAUGCAAAACUAGAAGAAUUACGGGACCUUUUAUAGCAAGUAUCUCCCAAUACCCACAUGACACGUGUUACUAUGACCAUAAAUAUUAUAGGGUCCAUUUGUGCCCUACCGGGUUGAAAACUUGGACGCUUGGCCGAGGACACACCUGACUAUGGAGGACUAUUGACGUGUGAUCACAGCUUUUGGAUUUUUCUUCCUGUGCAGCUGUCUAGCGGUUGGCAUUAUUUUCUUAAUCUUAAAUAAAGGCAUAGUUAUAGAGUUGUUUAAUCUCUAAAUGGGAUUUUAUAUAUCUUCAGAUAGCCAUUAAUAUAUUUGAUGAAGAAAGACAAGUGCAUACAACAUGUAUACGGCUUGCUUCAAUCGAGUACAUUUAUGAUCAGUUUUCCUGUGCAAGUAAACCAGUUUUUUGUUCCACAACUAUUUUGGAAUCUUGUUUAUCAGUUUCUAUCAUUAUAAUGUCACAUAGGCUGCAAACUUGGGCACCCAAAGAUCUAGGUGGGCAAAUUUGUUUCAGACUUUCAAUGGUGGAUUCAGUAAUUGUUAAAAGGUGUUUCUUCAUUAAGGAAAGAGUCCGGUAAAAAUAUUGUUAAAAGGUGUCAUAGAAACUAUAAUAAAUAAAUAACUUCUUUUCCCCAUGGGUGGUGUUUCUUCUGGGGAUCAGUGACUGGUUAGGGUCACCCAAAAUGAGUCCAGAUUAAAAUUGGUUCGAGUCAAAGCAGUCUCUUUUGUCCAGAAAUCAACUAUUUUGCGCAUUGAAUGAAUCGAUAAAGAAAAAAUGAAAGCCAAAUCACACCUCCCCUGCAAAACCUAAACCCCGGUUGCUAACUUUCUAUGUUUCAGUCCUAUUCAUAUAGGAAUAUUGGUUCAAGUUUGAGAAAAAUGGCAACUUACCUAGGGUUUACUUGGUUUUGGUUUGCGACUAUUUACGCAACCAACCAUGAGUUUGACUUUAACGUCAUGGGUUGAAGCCUCCUACAAUCAUGUAUGAUAGUUCAAAGCUCGUGGAAGAAAUUAUACAGGAAGGAAGAAACCUCCAAAGCUAGCUCCAAAAGAGAAUUAUCACAUCGAUAGCUCCAGAGAUUCCCAAGGGAACUGAAUCAAAGACAAGUUCCUCACUUUUUCUUCUUUUGAGGCCAAAUAUGAACCAAGGAUCACACGACCUCAUUCAACUUCAUAAGUUUGAUUUCAUGCAGUUGAACACUGGGUGAAGGCCAUGACAAGAAUUGAUUAAAAAAUUCUACCACUCUUUUAAGUAAUGGAAGAUUAUUAUCUCUGAUUGGCACCACAACAGCACAUGCUGCUAGAUCUUUCUAGACACUCCAUGCAAUGAAAGCACAAUGGAUCUUGUAAUGAUAGAAACUAAGCCAUGCUACAGUACUAGAUGAGGGGGUAAAACUAGUAGACAUCUUUCUAGACACUCCAUGCAAUGAAAGCACAAUGGAUCUUGUAAUGAUAGAAACUAAGCCAUGCUACAGUACUAGAUGAGGUGGUAAAACUAGUAGACAUGGCUGGCAGUUGAUUACUACUCAAAAAGUACUCUUUUAUAGCUUGAAACUAACUGUUUUAAACACUUUUGAGUAGUAGUUAAUACCUUUUAACUUAAUUGGCACAUUAAGGAACCUAGCAAGGGUUACUAAUCAACAUUUGGCAAGUUUUGAUGUUUUUGGUAGCUAUUUGAUCAUUGAAACAAGCCAAGAAUGAGGGGGAAUUUUGUGAAGUCCAUGGCAAUGCAAGUUAAAGCUCAAAUACAUGAAGAAUCCAAGCUUUGGAGCACUUCAUAGCCCUUUGCCAAGCCAAUCAAAGAUGCAAGGAAGAAAACCAAAGGAAGAAAUCCAACAAUCAGCAUUUUGGCAUGGCUAUGUGAAAUUUCGCACACCAUGCGAAACCACAAGAGGCAGCCAAAGAAUUUCGCAUGGUAUGCGAAAUCUUCUUGUGCACUGACUCUGUUAGAUUUUUAUCUUCAGAUAUUUUGUGUAAUUUCCUAGUUUCUCCUUGUAACCAACUUAGAUAUUUUCUUUUAUAUCUUUUUUUAUAUUUUUUAGGUAACAUCAUAUAUAAGAGGAGAGACAUAAGGAGGAUAUGGAUGUUUUUCAUAGAACACUUGUAAAUUUUUGGUAGUAAGAAAUAUACAAAGCUUUUUGCUCUGCCUUACCUUCUCAAGGGAUGAGUGGCUAGGUUUUCUUGGAGUGAGGGAAGCUAGGUGAAGGACCUGAAUGCAAAGGUGGGAGUUUUCCUUACUUUAAAUGAAAGUAGUUGUUAAACAUUAAUGGUUUUUAUUUUAAGGUUUAGCUUUAAAUCCCUGAAAAACACCUUGAAUGGCCAAUACUUGGUAAGCUUUUUAGAUUCUAUGGAUGCUUAUUGCUAGAUCCAUGGAUGUCUAUUAGUUAUCAUUUACGAGCCAUUGGAAGGUGAUUCAAGGUGAGGGUCUUUAGUGUUUGAAGCCAUUAAUGGGAAGCAAUUACCAUUUUUUCAUGAAUCCUUUGGAUCAAAUCUUAAUUGCUAAAUAUAAAACCGGUUUCGAGAGAUAACCACCAUCCUUUAUGUUAUUAUCCCCAACGCGAGGAGAAGAUCCGAAAUCUUCCUUUUUAUCUAAGGAACCCGAUCCUAGUGACCUAAAGCUCCAAGAUACCUUUUCUUUGUAGUUAACUUCAUUUAUUGUUUUUGCUUAACUUAAAAUCAAUCUUUGCAACCACAAUUCCAUUUUCUUUAAAAGCUAAUUUUUAUAAGGAAAAACACCAUUUUAUUUCCUUCACUAAGUCAACUGUACGAUGAAAACCCAUCCCUGUGGACGAUCCUAGAGCCACUAUACUAUGUUAGCUAUGCUACCCUAGUGUGAGGUGAUUUAGGUUUUAUAAAUUUUUUUGAUAACACCCAUCUGAGCCAGAAUCAAAUGGCACGACUGAACCAGGGACGAAUCAAAUGACGCCGCUACCAAGGAUGGUGCCAAAGUACAUUGACAUGACUUUUGGUGAACACUUGUGAUCUUCACCACAAGUUUGGUGAUUUUUCUUUUACUAAUUUUUUUUAUUUUAGCUUAUCUUUUAUUUAGUUUUUAGUUAACCUUAAAUUUUUCCUAGAAUUGUAUUUCUUUUGUUUUCUUUGUUUUUGUUUCAGUGAUCUUUAGUUGUGCAUGCCCUAUUGGAUAAGAGAUAUUGAGGGAAUACUUGUGAAGAUUGAAACUCCUCGAGAAACUGAGUUAGAAGUGUGCUUGAACAUCAUGGAUGUUCCACCUGAAGACCAGAAUAGCCAACAUGGUUAAGAGGAUAAUUUCAACACAUACCGAUCCAUGAGGAACCGCAUACAUCCACCUUGUAUGAGUGCACCGUCAGGCAUAAUGCCUCCCACUGAGCAGCUAGUAAUCUGACCUCACAUUGUGCCACUCCUACCUACUUUCCAUGGGAUGGAGAGUGAGAAUCCCUACUCGCAUAUUAAGGAAUUCGAGGAGGUUUGUAAUACAUUCCAAGAAGGAGGAGCUUCAAUUGACUUGAUGAGGCUCAAGCUAUUUCCUUUCACUUUGAAGGAUAAGGCCAAGAUUUGGCUUAAUUCUUUAAGGCCAAGAAGUAUCCAAACUUGGAUUGAUUUGUAAGCCGAGUUUCUUAAGAAGUUCUUCCCUACCCAUAGGACCAAUGGUUUGAAAAGGCAAAAUUUGAACUUCUCAGUUAAAGAGAAUGAGAAAUUCUAUGAGUGUUGGGAGAGCUACAUGGAAGCUAUUAACGUUUGUCCUCACCAUGGCUUUGACACAUGGCUCUUAGUGAGCUAUUUUUACAAUGGUAUGUCUUCUUCAAUGAAGCAACUCCUAGAAACUAUGUGUGGAGGAGACUUCAUGAGUAAGAAUCCGGAGGAAGCCAUGGACUUUUUGAGUUAUGUGGCUGAAGUUUCAAGAGGAUGGGAUGAACCAAAUGCUAGAGAGGUGGGAAGAAUGAAGUCUCAACCUAAUGCUAAGGGUGAGAUGUAUGUUUUGAAUGAAGACAUUGACAUGAAAGCAAAGGUUGCAGCUAUGGCAAGGAGAUUGGAAGAGCUAGAAAUGAAGAACAUACAAAAAGUGCAAGCCAUUUCUGAGACAUCAAUGAAAGCUAUGCCUUGUUCCAUUUGUCAAUCUUAUAAGCACCUAGUGGAGGAGUGUCCUACAAUUCCAGCAGUGAGAGAGAUGUUUGGUGAUCAAGCAAAUGUUAUUGAUCAAUUCAAGCCUAAUAACAAUGCUUCAUAUGGCAACACCUACAAUUCAAAUUGGAGGAACCAUUCAAAUUUCUCUUGGAAACGAAAGCCACCUCAAUACACACAACCUACUCAAGCACCUUAGCAAUCCUCGAAUCUUGAACAAGCUAUUGUGAACCUUAGCAAGGUUGUGGGAGACUUUGUGGGAGAUCAGAAGUCCAUCAAUGCUCAACUGAAUCGGAGAAUUGACAGUGUGGAGAGUACAUUGAACAAAAGGAUGGAUGAGAUGUAAAAUGAUCUGUCUCAAAAGAUAGACAAUGUCCAAUACGUAAUCUCAAGGCUUACCAACCUCAACACAGUGUAAGAGAAAGGAAAGUUUCCUUCUCAACCUCAUCAAAAUCCUAAGGGUAUCCAUGAAGUAGAGGCUCAAGAGGGAGAAUCUUCAAAGGUGAGGGAAGUCAAAGUAGUUAUCACCUUGAAGAGUGGUAAAGAGGUUGAUCAACCCACAUCCAAGCCAAAGCAUAAUGAAGAGAGUGUAGCAGAAAAAGAAAAGAGAGGAAAAUAAAGGAAUUAGAAUAGAGAAAAAUACAAAGAAAGAUGACCAUGAGUCUAGUGUGGAUGAAGAGCCCGAGAGGAUGGUGAUCAAGGAAGAUAUGAUGAAGAAACACAUGCCUCCACCUUUCCCCUAAGCUUUGCAUGACAAAAAAAGAACCAAUAAUACAUCAGAAAAUUUUGAAGUAUUGAGGCAAGUGAAGGUCAAUAUCCCUUUGCUAGACAUGAUCAAACAAGUGUCGACAUAUGAAAAAUUCUUGAAGGACUUGUGCACUGUAAAGAGAGGGUUGAAUGUGAACAAGAAAGCUUUAUUGACCGAGCAAGUGAGUUCCAUCAUACAGUGCAAGUCCUAGUGAAGUACAAAGAUCCGGGUUGCCGUACCAUCUCAGUGAGUAUUGGAAGGACUUGUGUGGAGAAAGCUUUGUUGGACUUGGGAGCAAGUGUGAAUUUGCUAUCCUACUCUGUCUAUAAGCAGUUGGGAUUUGGAGAGUUGAAGCCAAUAUCCAUCACUCUAUCUCUAGCGGAUAGAUCAAUGAAGAUUCCAAGAGGGAUGAUCGAAGAUGUCCUGGUUCAAGUUAACAAAUUCUACUAUCCAGUAGAUUUUGUUGUUCUUGAUAUGGAUCCGGUUGUCAAAUGAACUAAUUAUGUUCCUAUCAUACUUGGAAGACCCUUCCUAGCUACAUCAAAUGCAAUCAUCAAUUGUAGGAAUGGAGUCAUGCAACUCACAUUUGUCAACAUGACAUUAGAGCUCAACAUCUUCCAUUUGUACAAGAAGCAUAUCCAUCAGGAGGAAAAAGAAGGUCUAGAGGAAGUGUGAAUGAUUGACACUUUAGUGGAAGAGCAUUGUGAUCGAGAAUGCAAAAAGAUUUAGUUGAGAAUUUUGGGGAUCUUGAUGAAAGGUUACUUGAACCCUCAGAUUUGCUUGCUACCCUACUCCAUUGGAAGAGAAGAGAAGAAAUUCUACCCUUAUUCAAUGAGGAGGAGACGCAAAGAGCUGCAAAGGAGAAACCCCCAAAACUUAUUCUUAAGCCACUACCCACAGAGUUGAAGUAUGUAUACUUGGAAGAAGACAAGAAGUGCCCUAUUGUUAUAUCUUCAACUCUUACCAUUCAUCAGGAGGAUUGUCUACUUGAAGUCCUUAGAAGAUGUAAGAAGACAAUAAGGUGGCUAAUUUCUUAUUUGAAAGGGAUCAGCCCUUUAGUCUGCACCCAUCAUAUUUACAUGGAGGAUGAAGCUAAGCUAAUUCAUCAACCUCAGAGAAGGUUGAACCCUCACAUGCAAGAGGUGGUUCGAGCUGAAGUUCUGAAGCUACUUCAGACCAGUAUUAUUUACCCCAUAUCAAAUAGCCCAUGGGUGAGUCCUACUCAAGUUGCGCCAAAGAAGUCUGGGAUCAUGGUGGUGCAAAAUGAUAAGGGAGAAGAUGUCUCUACACGCCUCACUACAGGUUGGAGGGUGUGUAUCAAUUACAGGAGGUUGAAUGCAGUGAUAAGAAAGGACCAUUUCUCAUUGCCCUUUAUUGAUCAGGUGCUUGAGAGGGUCUCUGGGCUUUUUUUUUUAUUGUUUCUUGGAUGGCUACUCCGGGUACUUUCAGAUAGAAAUUGAUGUUGAAAACCAAGAUAAGACCAUUUUCACAUGCCCAUUUGGAACCUAUGCAUAAAGGAGAAUGCCUUUCGGCUUAUGCAAUGCACCCGCAACUUUCCAAAGAUGCAUGUUAAGCAUUUUCAGUGAUAUGGUGGAGCGUAUUAUGGAAGUCUUUAUGGAUGAUAUCACCAUUUAUGGAAGUGCAUUUGAUGAAUGCUUGGUCAACUUAGAAGCUGUUCUGAACCGAUACAUUGAGAAAGACUUAGUGCUUAACUGGGAGAAGUGCCAUUUCAUGGUACACCAAGGGAUUGUCCUUGGGCACAUUAUCUCCAAGCAAGGCAUUGAAGUUGACAAAGCAAAGGUUGAACUCAUUGUUAAGUUGCCAUCCUCAACAAAUGUCAAAGGAGUAAGGCAAUUCUUUGGCCAUGUCGGGUUCUAUAGGAGGUUUAUCAAGGAUUUCUCUAAGCUUGCAAGGCCUCUUUGUGAAAUAUUGGUGAAUGAUGUUAAAUUCAUAUGGGAUGAUGGAUUUGAAAGGAGUUUUGAAGAAUUGAAGCUAUUUUUGACAACCGUACCAAUAGUGAGGGCUCCCAACUGGCAACUGCCCUUUGAAGUAAUGUGUGAUGUCAAUGAUUUUGCUAUAGGAUUUUUUCUUGGGCAAAGAGAAAAUGGAAAACCUUAUGUGAUCUACUAUGCGAGGAAGGCAUUGAAUGAGGCACAAAGAAACUACACAACCACCGAGAAAGAAUUGUUAGCUGUAGUUUUUGCCUUGGAUAAGUUUCGCGCUUACUUGGUGGGGUCCUUCAUCAUGGUUUUUACUGAUCACUUUGCUUUGAAGUAUCUGUUGACUAAGCAAGAUGCUAAAGCAAGGCUGAUUAGAUGGAUUCUCUUACUUCAAGAGUUCAAUCUCCAUAUCAAAGAUAAGAAAGGAGUGGAGAAUGUGGUAGCAGACCACAUUUCAAGGCUAGCUAUCGCACAUAAUUCCCAUGCUUUGCCCAUUAAUGACGAUUUUCUAGAGGGGUCUCUCAUGUUGGUGGAAGUUGUCCCUUGGUACGCUCACAUUGCUAACUACCUGGUCACGGGAAAAGUUCCAAGUGAGUGGAAAGCACAAGAUAAGAAGCACUUCUUUGCAAAAAUUCAUGCCUACUAUUGGGAAGAGCCAUUUCUAUUCAAGUAUUGUAUGGAUCAGAUAAUAAGGAAGUGCGUUCCUGAAGAAGAGCAACAGGGGAUCCUUAGUCAUUACCAUGAAAAUGCAUGUGGAGGCCACUUUGCUUAUCAAAAGACAGCCAUGAGGGUGUUGCAAUCGGGUUUCUGUUGGCCAUCACUUUUCAAAGAUGCCCACACCAUGUGCAAGAGUUGUGAUCGAUGCCAGAGGCUUGGGAAGUUGACACGCAGGAACAUGAUGCCUUUGAACCCCACUUUAAUAGUUGAUAUUUUUUAUGUUUGGGGCACUAACUUCAUGGGACCUUUCCCUAUGUCUUUUGGCUACUCUUACAUCUUGGUAGGAGUAGAUUAUGUUUCUAAGUGGGUUGAGGCAGUCCCAUGCAAACACAAUGACCAUAGAGUGGUUCUCAAGUUUCUUAAAGAGAAUAUCUUCUCAAGAUUUGGGGUGCCCAAAGCCAUAAUUAGUGAUGGGGGUACUCAUUUUUGCAACAAGCCUUUUGAAACUCUCCUAGCCAAGUAUGGGGUGAAGCAUAAGGUAGCUACACCUUACCACCCUCAAACUCAUGGACAAGUUGAGUUAGCAAACAGGGAGAUUAAAAACAUAUUGAUGAAGGUGGUGAACACAAACAGAAAAGAUUGGUCAGUCAAGCUUCUUAAUUCACUAUGGGCAUAUAGAACAACUUACAAGACCAUUCUCGGGAUGUCUCCUUAUCGCCUAGUUUAUGGCAAAGCAUGCCAUCUCCCUGUGGAAUUGGAAUACAAAGCUUGGUGGGCAAUCAAGAAGCUCAACAUGGAUUUGAGCAGAGCUGGGUUGAAGAGGUUCUUAGACCUUAAUGAGAUGGAGAAAUUGAGAAAUGAUGCCUACAUCAAUUCAAAAAUUGCAAAAGAAAAAUUGAAGAGGUGGCAUGAUCAGUUGAUUUCCCGCAAGGAUUUUCAAAAUGGACAAAGAGUCUUACUUUAUGACUCUAAACUCCACAUCUUUCCGGGCAAGCUGAAAUCAAGGUGGAUAGGUCAUUUUACCAUUCACCAAGUGCAUUCAAAUGGAGUAGUGGAACUACUCAACUCCAACAAUAUCGAGAACUUCAAAGUGAAUGGCCACCGUCUCAAGCCCUUUGUGGAGUCUUUUUCUCACAACAAGGAGAAAUUCAUCCUCCUUGAUCCACAUCAAGCUUAACAAGACCAAUUUUCUUGAUGGACUUAGUCUUUCUAAAGACUAUCGAGUCCAUAACUUUUUGUUUUAUUUUUUAUUUGAGAUUUUUUCGGUAUUGUUACUUGUUUUGUUUUUUAUUUUUCGUUUUAAUUUUAUUUGGUUUGAUUUAACUUAGGUUUUUGAUGAUCAAUUACAGGGGGGAUUUCAAAUAGAGGAAAAACCAAGAUAAUUCGCACACCCUACGAAAAUUUCGCAAGGCAUGCGAAAUUUAUGGCUUAUUUUGCAUGGGGUGAAAAUUUUCGUACAUCUUACGAACCAAUUUCGAACACUUUGCGAAAAUAAACCAACCCUGCGAAAUCAUUUCGAUUACUCUACGAAAUUUUCGUAGAGCAUGCGAAAAAUUUAGCACACCAAACACCAUUUCGCAUACUAUGCAAAAACCUAAGGGGUCUGCGAAACCAUUUCGCACCUCCAAAUCCAUUUCGCACAUUGUGCGAAAACCAAGAGGCGCUGUGCGAAAAUGAAAAGUCGCCCUGUCAUCCCUUUUUAAACCCCUCGAGCCCUAAAAUCUCCAUUUCGCAAGCACCCCUGUCCUUGCGAAUCCCUCAUUUUCCUCUACUACCUUGCAACCUCGUCCCUUUCCAUUUGAUAUUGUGCCCCGCGCACAUCUCAUUUCAGAGACUCGCACUCCGCGCCCCCUCAAAGCAUGGACUCGAGACCCACCUUCCAUUUCCGACGUGGCACGGACCCAAGGAGCCCUUUCUGCCCCUUCACUAAGACACACACCAAGGCAGAAAGCCUCCUUUGCUCAAGUGCCUAGUGAUUCUCCAUCUUAGGCCUCAGAGGCCUCGGAGGCCCCGUGGAUUCCACCUUCCGAGGGUAGAGCAGCCAUUGGUCCUUCCUCUUCUACUCCUUAGCGUAGAUACGAGACGAGGAGACCACCUACUACACAAGGGGCGACUACUUCGAGCCUUGAGAAUUCAGUACGAUGCCUUCCUGCCAAGAGGGUCAAGACUUCAGGUCCAAGUGAGUCAUCCAGAGCUUCAUAGCCUAAGCCUCCUGUAGAUUCCAAGGUUCCUACUGACAUAUCACCGGAGUCUAUUAUCAGAAGCCCGAUGCUCAUAGCACCGCCCAUUGAGGGCAACUCAGAUUAUAGAGCGAGAUCUUUCCACUUGGAGCUAUAUUUUGAUCAGGAGGCCAUACGACAGCAGCCUGAGCUCCGAGACUCUUAUGGCUUACUGCAGAGGUACCAUCUUGAGGAACUUAUGACUCCUCGUGAGUUUUUUUAUCCCAGAGUAGCACUAAACUUUUACCAGUCCAUGACUACUCGUGGCGUCCCGAGUCCUACCACGAUUCACUUCACCAUUGAUAGACGUCAUGGUAUCCUCAAGGCCAGACAUAUUACAGAGGCUCUACAAAUUCCUUUCGAGCUAGAGGAUCCAUCUGUUUUUCGCUAAUGGUCCCCAGUAUCUCAGAGGGACAUGGUCCGUAUUUUAUCUAGGGGAACAUCUACAGAUUCGAUCUUUCUACGGAAGGAGCUUCGACCUGGGAUGCUCCUCUUAGAUGUGGUGCUAUGCUCCAACCUCUUUCCCUUACAACAUUCGGUACAUAGGUGAUGAGCUAUUUUGGACGCUUUAUUCCGUAUAUCAGAGGGCUUCUACUUUGGCCCGCACCACUUGAUCAUGGUCUCCCUCAUCCACUUUGAGGAGAAGGUUCAUAGGAAGAAGCUUCAGAGGGUGGACACCAUUCCAUUACUAUUCCUGAGGUUACUUUGCCAGGUCUUGGAGUACAUGGGCUUUCCUACUGAGCCUCGGCUCGAGCUUUGCCGCCUUUGUCGAGAGUGAUCCACUCUCGACAAAUGGAAUUAGUUGGCGGGCUAUUCUGCACCUCCAGGAGCCCCUCCCAUGGUAGCACCUCCAAUGUCCCCACAGGCAAAGUAGGGCGAGCUCCCGGCAAAGACUGUACCACCAAUGCCCACACUUGAGGCUAUUUCUGCUGCUCUGCCUAUGACUCCUACUGUUCCACCAGUUGGUCCUUUUACAUCCGAGCCUUCCAUCACCAUCUCGGCUUCGGAGUUUCGCGCCCUUGUGCAUACCUUUCAGACACUCACCACCACACAUACUCCUCUCUUCUAGCAAAUGGUUGAGAUGUGUGCCCAUCAGGACCGGAAGACUACUAUACUCUGCCAAAUUCAGCAGCACCUAAGACUUUUGCCUCAACCUCAACCUAACCAUCCCAUAUCAUCAGAGCCUCUAGCUCCAACUGAGGAUACUAUUCCACCUGAGAACACUACCACAGUAGAGGUCCGGUUUCCACCACCUUAAGAGGCCACCACAGCUACAUCAGAGGAUGUGUCAUCUCCACUUGAGGCUCCCACUACUUGAUCAUAGGACAUAUCUUUAUCUUAUUGUAUUUACAUAUUAUAUUACUAGAGAUUUGUCCUUGUUUUGAUACUUUAUAUUCUGGGAUUGGAUGUAUUGCCUGAUGAUAUCUCAAUUGUACUUUCUCAUAUUAAUAUAUAGACAUCAAUUUUUUUUAGUAUACUUAGCAUUUUUCUAUUUCCUCUACUCAUUACUCUUUUGUUUUUUUUUACUCAUGUGGUUUCUCUUAUACAACUCAGACUCCAUUUCACUCAGGAGGUACCACUUCCUCCCUUUAUUUUCAAUUGCUCUUGAAAUAUUGAGUGCAAUGUUGAUCUUGGUUGGGGGGAGAGUUGAGGAAGGAAGUUUUGUUAAUAAUGCUAGGUUAAUUUGUUAAUUUAGUUACUUUCUGCUUAAUUUUAAAAGUUUUCACUCUACUUUCCAUGGUUAUUAAGGAAAAAUUCUCAAAAUGAAAUGGGAGAAAUCGAAUUCUUGCAUUUUUACUUGAAUCUUAGAAUUUGUAUCAUGCUUAUUAAAGUUGAUGAAUUAUUGAAACUCCUAUUGAAUUCAACCUUAUUUUUUCCACUUUAAUCUUACCACACACGGUGCACAUUAGGUUCCAGUUAUAAGAUAAAAAACUAUCUCACCCCCUAAACUUAGAAAAAUUUACACUUGGUACCUUUGACAUCGUUUUAAUAGUGUUGGGACACCUUAUAAAAGGCCAAUGAGCCUUUAAAAAAAAAAAAAAAAAAAAAAAGAGAAAGAACAAAGUAUUGCACUUGCCUUGAAACCUGAGCAAGAUCCGAGGGGUAUACAGUGAAAGUCUUUAAAACCUGGUGCCCUAAGCCUUGAUUGGUUGGGAGUCACCGACCUCAAUGCUCGUUAUAAGGGUGAAUAGGUGGAGUUUAACAUAUUGUAGGUGCUUGGGUAUUGAAUUUCAAUCUCAAAAGUCCGGGAAAAAAUCUAAGGAGUUAGUGGUCAAAAGAUCCUUAAAGCUUGAUGCCCUAAACCUUGAUUGGUUGAGAGUCAUUGAUGGAUCCCCGCUACAUGGACAUUUUAGAAAACAAUACCUUUAGCAUUGCACGCCUACAAUGAAAAAAAAAUGUGAAAUAAAAGAGGUGCGUUCUUAGCCUAUUGGAGGUUGGUCAGUUUGCUAAAGUUUGAGAAAUCUAGGUUGGGGGGAGAGAAUAGUCCGACAUACUAUAAUAAAAAACUAAUAACCUUAACACUUAGAUUUUUGUGGAAGAGUAAGGAUUGGACCUUUAGGGGUGGAAAUUCUUUUGAUGCUUAAAUUUGCAUAAUGCCUACUCUUUAUAAAUUAUGAUUAGGCAAGAGAUUUGAUGACUCUUGUUCAAAGUUGGGUUUUUCCUCUUUGAUGUUCCAUGAGAGAGUAUAAUCCUCAUCAUGCCACUUGAAAUCUUUUUGGAGUGAUUAACAUGAUUUUGUAAAUUAUUUUACUGUCUAUUUUUCUUUAUCUCUCUUUUAUUGCUAAUGGACUAGCAAUAUGUCAGUUGGGGGGAGUGAUUACUACUCAAAAAGUACUCUUUUAUAGCUUGAAACUAACUGUUUUAAACACUUUUGAGUAGGUGUUAAUACAUUUUAACUCAAUUGGCACAUUAAGGAACCUAACAAGGGUUACUAAUAAGUUUUUGGCAAGUUUUGGUGUUUUUGGUAGCUAUUUGAUCAUUGAAACAAGCCAAGAAUGAGGGAGAAUUUUGUGAAGUCCAUAGCAAUGCAAGUUAAAGCUCAAAUACAUGAAGAAUCCAAGCUUUGAAGCACUUCAUAGCCCUUUGCGAAGCCAAUCAGAGAUGCAAGGAAGAAAACCAGAGGAAAAAAUCCAACAACCAGCAUUUUCGCAUGGCUGUGCGAAAUUUUGCACACCAUGCGAAACCACAAGAAGUAGCCAAAGAAUUUUGCACACCAUGCGAAAUUUCGCAUGGUAUACGAAAUCUUCCUAUGCACCAACUCCGUUAUAUUUUUAUCUUCAGAUAUUUUGUGUAAUUUCCUAGUUUCUCCUUGUAACCAACCUAGAUAUUUUCUUUUAUAUCUUUUUUUUAUAUUUUUUAGGUAACAUCAUAUAUAGGGGGAGAGACAUAAGGAGGAUAUGGAUGUUUUUCAUAAAACACUUUUAAUUUUCUGGUAGUAAGAAAUAUACAAAGUUUUUUGCUCUGCCUUACCUUCUCAUUUUGUUUUCACCUAUCUUUCUAGCCAAACAACCUCUGAGAAUGAUUUCUCAGGGGAUGAGUAGUUAGGUUUUACGUUUCUUGGAGUGAGAGAAGCUAGGUGAAAGACCCAAAUGCUAAGGUGGGAGUUGUCCUUGCUUUAAAUGAAAGUAGUUGUUAAAUAUUAAUGGUUUUUAUUUUAAGGUUUAGCUUUAAAUCCCUUAAAAACACCUUGAAUGGCCAAUACUUGGUAAGCUUUUCGGAUUCUAUGGAUGCUUAUUGCUAGAUCCAUGGAUGUCAUUAGUUAUCAUUUAUGAGCCAUUGGAAGGUGGUUCAAGAUGAGAGUCUUUAGUGUUUGAAGCCAUUAAUGGGAAACAAUUACCAUUUUUUCAUGAAUCCUUUGGAUAAAAUCUUAAUUGCUAAAUAUAAAACUGGUUCGGGAGAUAACCAUCCUUUAUGUUAUUAUGCCCAAUGCAAGGAGAAGAUUUCGAAUCUUCUCAUUUGUCUAAGGAACCCGAUCCUAGUGACCUAAAGCUCCUAGAGACCUUUUCUUUGUAGUUAACUUCAUUUAUUGUUUUUGCUUAACUUAAAAUCAAUCUUUGCAACCACAAUUCCAUUUUCUUUAAAAGCUAAUUUUUAUAAGGAAAAGCACCAUUUUAUUUCCUUCACUAAGUCAACUGUAUGAUGAAAACCCAUCCCUGUGGACGAUCUUAGAGCCACUAUACUAUGUUAUCUAUGCUAUCCUAGUGUGAGGUGAUUUAGGUUUUAUAAAUUUUGUUGAUAACACCCGUCUGAGCCAGAAUCAAAUGGAACCACUGAACCAGGGACAAAUCAACAGCCUAUAUGGGAGGGACACAAGUUUAAUUGAUUUGCAUUUCAGCGUUAUAGAUAAGUAUGUUUUGGAAGAUUUGUUCUGGAAAUACUGCACCAAGUACGAUUCUUUUUCUCUUGAGUGAGUCCAUUUGCAUGCCAAUUAACGAGUUGAAAAGUAGGAGCACCUACCUCGUGCUCAUGGAACCGAAUGUCAGUGAAGUGGGGCUCCUUUUAGCCUCUUGUGUUUCUGUUCCAACCAAGGCGGCGUAGGGAAAAACAACAAUAUGUCUGUGCUAAAUAUCAACGCAUGAUAGAUGUUUUUUUUUUUUUUUUUGGUAUGUCAAGGCUAACGAAUGAAAUGCAUUAGCUUGUUUUGUGACUAUAACUGCAAAUGUCCAAAUUGGAGUAUCUCCAUUUCUCACUUCGGAUGGUUAACUUUAUAAACAAGAUAUAGGAAACAUGUGAACAUCUUGAGGAACAAUUCAAAUUAUUCAUUAGAAGUCCUGGGUUAAGUUCCAAGAUUUAAAUCAGACCCUUCUAGCAGCUUCAAGGGUACUUAGCAACCUAUAACAUAUUAAUGAAGAUUUAGGAUUUAGACUCCGGAAUACAAAUAAAUAUGUAUCUCAUGCUUUGACUAGCUUCCCUACAUAUGCAUAAAAUGGAGAUGACCCAAAAAAAAUAGCAGAAUCUAGCUUCCCUACAUAUGCACAAAAUGGAGAUGACCCAAAAAAUAGCAUAAUCGCCUUAGUUUCUGUGGUUAAGGUGAUUCUCCGCUUAAUAUCCACAUUGACUCAUUAUGCAAAAUCAACUGAGCUAAUUUUAUUUAUUUAUUUAAUGUCAAAUAGGAACUCCUAAUUAACUGAUUACUGUCGAAAAGUGCUAUUUUGUAGACCUAAUUAUAAGGGUUUUAAGCACCUUUGAGUAGUAAUCAUAUUCAUUUAACCUAAUUAAUUCAUUAAGCUCCUUAGUAAUUAGUUCUAACCAUUUUUAGUGGCAAGUUUACAUGUUUUUCAUCAGCUUAUGAACCAAUUCAAGCAUGCCAAUUGAUGGAGGAGCUACUUGGGCGAGUUAAGCAAGGAUUUUGGACGUUUACAGGCUUGAAUUUCAAGUGGAAACACGAGCACAAGCAAUGGGAACACCAUUUCGCAAGGGGAGGCAAUUCACCUUGCCAAAUGACCAAUUUCGCAAGGGGAUUUUCCUCAUGGUGCAAAAUUUGGUCAUUUCGCACCAUGAAGAAACCACCUUGCAAAAUUUCGCAAGGUGGAUUUAGGCACCUUGCGAAAUGCCAAAUUUCACAAGGUGGCUUUUCACCUUGCGAAAUUUGGACCUUUCAUCUUCCCCCCUUGCGAAAUGCCUUUGAAAUCCCCUGUUUUGAGACGCUGUUGAUGAUAUUCCACUGCCGGUUCUCCAAGAUAUUUUGCUUGACUUUUAGCUUUAUAAAUACCUAUUUUACCCUUGUAAUCAACCAAUGAAAAGGUUGCUUUUGUAAUAGCUCUUGUAAUUUAGCUUUUUAUUGUCUUUAAAUAGAGGUGAAGAGCCUCAGACACGAUCAUCUUGUAACCUGUAACUUUAUAAGUUAUAAGAGCACUUUUGUUCAUACGCUUCUUUUCUCUUUUCUUUCUCAUUUUCUUAGUAGCCAAACAUCCUUGGAGGAUGAAAUCCCCAAGGAUGAGAGGCUAAAACCUUUUAGUUUCUUGAAGUAAUGGAUGCCAUGUGAAGCUCCCGUGUCAGGAUGGAGAUUUCCAAGCCAUAAAUGUAAGUAGCUGAGCGUCAUAAAUGUUUUCAUUCAAAGUAAAGCUUUUAAUCCCUCUGACUUGCUUUGAAUGGCCAAUACUUGAUAACCUUUUGGUCUCAAUGGAUUCUUAUUGUUAGAUCCACUGACGUUCAUUAGUUAUCUCCUACGAGCCAUUGUAUUGCAAGUCGAGGAGAUGACCUAUACCAAUAAAAGAGCAUUUAUGAGGUUCAACUACCCUUUUUGUAAGUUUUCAAGGACUAAAACUCAGUUGUUAAACUCAUACCGGUUCGAGAAGUAAGCAUCACCUUAGUUGCUUCCCCAACUCGAGGUGAAAAGUCCCAAAAUCUCCAUUUUUACACAGUGAGUUAAGCAUGGCUAUCCAAAGCUUUAAGAAACUUCUUUUUCCAUCUUUUAACCUAUUUUCAUGUUAGUUUAGUUUACAACACCUUCAUCUUUUUAUGUUUUCAUCUUAACCUAAUUUUUAUUAAGAAAAGUUCACUCCAUCCUCCGAACUUCACCAGUUAAAGUAAAAACCCUUCCCAGUGUUCGAUCCUAGAGCCACUAUGCUAUAGUAGCUUUGCUACUUUAGUGUAAGGACCUUAGGUAUAAAUUUUGUUGAUACCCUUACAUGCCAAGCUACCAAGAGUCGGGUUAUCAUUAACCUAACCAUUGGCCUGUGUAAAUUGAUUUCACAUGCACAAUGUUGUAGUAGAAGUCCAUAUUUUGAAUUUUAUUUUUGUAAAGGUAAGGAAAAUGAAGCAUUGUGUAAUUAUAAAAAUAACUUCAUUGGAAUUCACAAGGUUCACCCAAAAUGGAGCUACAUCUGUAUUCUAUCCUACAGUAGACUAUAUAGAUUGUACAAUAGUAAAUUGCAAAUACAAUUAAUAAGUCUUGUGCUUCCUUACUAAUAAUCCUUUGACAUGAACAUUGCAGCACUAAGGUCCUCUUGGGAAGACACCUUGCACCCAUGAGAGCACUAAGAGGAAGCAAGGCAGAGUCAUGGGUGCAAUGUCAUGACUUGUUGUUGCACCAAGAGAGGCUUGGUGAUGCCAUGGUGUUGCAGUAGCAAGAAUGUUGCCUUGGCAGGGACACGAUCUAGGGAUAGAUGCCAAGAAAGGCUUAGCACUCACAUGAGUUGCACAAAGAUGAAUGUAAUAGAGCAUCAGAGAGACGUCUUGGCAAGUAAAUGAAUGGAUCCAAGAGACAACAACAUGAGGAGUUUCAAAUGGAUAAGGAAUGACUCAAAGACAUUUGAAAGCUACAAGUUGGAUUCUAAUUACGAUUGCAAUUUGAGUUUGAGUAGGAGUUUAGAUUUUGAUUGUAAUUGUAGUAUGAGUUGGACUAGGAUUGCUUAUCCUUAGUCAAUAUAGGAGCGGUUCGUGUCACCCUAUGAAAAGAGUUUGAGUAGGGACUAGGAUUGCUUACUCCUAGUCAAAUAUGGAGUAGGUGGUGCCACACCUAUAAAAAAAAGGGACAACAUGAGAGAGAGAGAGAGAGAGAAAGAGAGAGUGAAUUCACUAAAGAUAUUGUGGGAGUUUUGCUUUGUUACGUCUUGUAUUAUUACUUAGAAUAGGAAUAAAAUACAAGUUGGGGCUAGAGCCCCAUAAUUAAUCUCGUGUGCCUUUGUGGUUAUUCUUUAUUUGUCAUCUCGUGUGGAUUGGAUUAGGUUGACUUAGAGGGCUUCUAAGCACCACCUUUGUGGGUUAUUAUUUAUUUUCCAUCUCUUGUGGAUUAGAUUAGGUUGACUUAGAGGGCUUCUGAGCACCACCUUUGUGGGUUAUUAUUUAUUUUCCAUCUAUUGUGGAUUAGAUUAGGUUGACUUAGAGGGCUUUUAAGCACCACAUUUGUGGGUUAUUCUUUAUUUUCCAUAUCGUGUGGGUUGGAUUAGGUUGACAAGGAGAAAAAUUAUGUGGGAAAUUUGUGUUGGGACACUUACCAUAACCAAGUAAAAUCUACCAAGUCCUUUGUAAUAUCUUCAACAAAUAUUUUAGACUAGUUCUUUCAGUUAGUGUAAAGGAGGAAGAAGUGGUAUUGAUUCUAGAAAUAGGGUGUGUGUAUUUGAACUACAAUCCUUAUGAUCCUUAGGUCUCUAAACCUUCGUGAUGGGCUCCCUGACAUUUCAUAGGUUGUGCUACACAUGCGUUUGAAAUUUAGAGUGCGUUUGACAGUGAUUCCGGGAAGUGUUUUUGGCCUUUCUUACACUUGAAAAUUUUUAUUUUUCAAGUAUUAGAAAUGCUACAAACACUUUUGAAAAUUACUGUCAAACACACUCUUAGGAGCGCACAUAUAUAGUAGAAAACUAGAAAUUGUGGUUUUUUUAGGAUUUACUGUAAUGUCAUUAGGAGGGUAGUAAGUUGAAAUUGAGUAUGAACAAAUAUUUCUUUCUUUGGGAUGUUCUUCUAGUAGGUGCUGAUGAAACUGUUCUUUCUACUGCCAAUGUCACAUAUCAGCCAGAAAUUGAAAAUUUCAGUCAAGGUGUCCUCUGUUUUAGUGGUGAGGAAAGCUAGAAAUUUUAAGGUGAAGUUUUGUUAAAAACCUUAAGUAGCUGGGAUAUCAGGCCUGUUUUGCUUGAAAAAAAAAGUUGCAAGAUAACUCAUAUGCCAAACAGGUUCUGAUAUUGUGAAUCUAUCGGCAGACAUCAGUAAUCUCAUCUUCUGAGAUGGAUGUUGGGGGUGCAUGUGGUGGUGGAGGGGCAAGGUUUCAUUUGGUUUAUUUUGUUGAUGGAUAUUGUCUAGCCACCUGCGCCAAGUUUGAGGGGUGGUGGGUUGUGAUGACCCUACAAUUACUAUUAAUUUCUUCAUCUUUUACCGAUUAAAGUGUCCGAACAGUCGAAGUUACCCUUAUGCAUGUCAACUUGAUCACUUACCUCUUCAAUGGAGUUUAUGCUGGUUCAUUUAGGAACUGAUUUUUAUUGUUAUGUAUUAUAUGCUGAUGUUUAGGUCUCUCCAUCAUCACUAUAUACAAAAAUUCUAGGUUGAUACUAUAGGUUGAGAUUUAUUUUUUAAAUAAAAAAUAAUAAAAAUAAAAAUUAUGGUGAUGUUUAGUUGUUUUAUGGAAAAUUUUAACAAGUAAAAGUUAUUUUUGGGCAAGUUUUCAAACAAAAAGAAAAGUAAAAGUUGUUUUGACAAAAACAUAUAGAAAAAAAAAUCAUAGAAAAUAAAUAAUUUCCCCAUAUUCUAACUUUUUUGAAUUUUUCUCAAUGGGCAAAGGAAUAUCAAAUCAAGUUUGAGUAGGAUUUCUUAAUUUUUAAAAUAACUUACAAUUAAAAAAUUUUGGUGUUUUCAUUUUUGGACAAUUUUUUAUUAAGCAAAUGGACUCUGAGUCAUGCAAGAGAUAUGGUUCAUUAACCGGUCGAACAAUUUUUUUAAAUUAAUUUAAAAGUCAAAUACAUAAUCAAUUUCACAAAAUUUAUAAACAAAAAUAGGUUUAGAGAAGAUCUACACAUAAUUUUACUUUUCUAAUUUUAUUUUAUUUUAUUUUUUGUUGGAAAAUAGUCUUCAAAUCAUGUAAGAUUUAAUAGGUUAAAUUUGUUAACAAUAAAUUUUAAAUUAUAAAAUAUAAUCUGGAACUCAAAAAUCAAUUCAAGUAAUGCUAAAAAAAAAUCAAAUUUGGUAUAGAAUGACUUUGUAAAUUUUUUUACAAAACAAAUGAAUUUUAAAUCAAGUGAGAUUUAAUGCAUUAGAUUUUUAUCAAAUAUAGUAAUUUUAAAAAUAAAUUUGGAACUCAACAAUAGACACAAUAAAUACCAAAAAAUAAUGAACCAAAAUUGGUUUGGAAUAACUCCACAACCUUUUUUUUUUUUUUUUGGUGCACACGAAUUUUCUUACUAGGUAUAUUGCUUUCAAAUUGAGAAAGAUUUACCAUUUAGAUUUUUUUUUAAUGAGUUUAAUGGUAUUUUAAAAUAAUUCAAAAUUUAAAAAAUUGACUAAUUAAUAUUAUAAAUUGAUAAACCAAGACUAUUUCAAAAUGCAUUGGGGGCUAAGGGGGUUGAAAAUAGGGACAAUGGGAUGGGUUUGGGACAUGACACUCAUAUCUCAUUUCCAUUCCAAUUACACAGUUAUCUCCCAUCCUUAUCCCAAACUUGUGUUGGAGCAAGUUGAUUUGUUCCCAUCUUUGUUGACGAAAUGACUAAUAACCUCAUCCCCUCCUUAUCUUAGAUGUACAUUUUGUCAAAUUUGAUCAGGUAUGAUUGAUCCAAGCCCUAACCCUAAUUGGUAAUGAGUGAAUACUACACCUAAUUGCAUUCUUCUUUCAUUGCAAAAUAAUGAGAUUAUAAUAAUCUAGCAAAUAAGAAAAAAUAGUAUGGAAGUUCAAAUUAACACCAUAACUAUCAAUAAUUUUAAGCUUAUAGAUGACUUAAAUGAUUAAAAACUAAUGCAAAAUCCUAAAAAAAAUAAAAAUCAUAUAAAGAAUUCACAAGAGAACAGAAUGAACAAAAACCAAAUAUGAACAUGGGUCAACAUUAGUUAUGGAUUUGGAUUCCUUUCAAGGCCAAUCUUUGAACCAAGACUUCAUCAAAUCAACUACUUCAAAGGCUUUUGUGUUCUUCUUGGGUUGUGCUCUCAAACAAAGACUUCGAGGUGAUGUUCUAGAUGAUUGAAUUACACAUAUUUAGGGUGGAGAGAUUGGAGAAGCUUGAAGAUGCCAACGAUGGGUACAAUUGAGUGGUCAAUAAGAACAAUGUAGCCUAUGACUAGUUUGAUGUCAUGGUACAAGAGUUUUAGGCAUUGAGGUUAAAGCAAGAGCAACAUGGAAUUGAUUUCGGAGUCUUUCAGUUAGUGUAAAGGAGGAAGAAGUGGUGUUGAUUCUAGAAAUAGGGUUUUAAGUGGUGCGUGAUUACUACUCAAAAAGUGCUAUUUGAUAGCCUUUAAUUAAUCCUUUUUAACACUUUUGAGUAGUAGUUUAGGCCUUUUAACUCAAUUGGCAUGUUAAGGAUCCUUUAAAGCAAUUUUGAUCACUUUGUGCAAGUUUUGGUGUUUUUGUUAGUAUUUUGAUCACCAAAGCAAGUCAAGAAUGAGGAGAACUAUGAGGAAUCAUGGGCAAAGCUUAGAAUUCAAUUGCCAAGAGUGAAUCCGGAUUGCAAGGAGAAAAAGCAAAGAGAAUCUGUCAUGAAGCCUAUUCUUGAUGACAGUCGUAGCAGCCACUUUUGGAGCACUUUCUGAAGUCCAAAUGAUGCAAGCUAUAUACCAUUUCAAAGAUCAGGAAGUCAACAAUCCAAUGCUUCAAACGGUGCGCGAUUCGGAGUUGAAACGAAGAAGUUGCAGCCAUUACAAGCCAGUCACUCUAAAGUGUUGCGGAAUCAGCCUUUUGUUGCGAGAAUUUCGCAGCACUUUUGUACAGUAAGGUGUUUCUCCUUCUGACGAUGCACGAACCAUGCCGCGAGAGGGAAGCUAGGAACUUCAAGAUGGAAGCCAACUUUGCAGCCUGGUGAAGAUAGCUUGGUCUUGCGAAAUAAUUUCGCAGCCCUCUUGGGUGUCUGCGAAAUUUCGCAGGCACCACUUUUUUCCUGCGAAAUGGCUCCGGAAGCCUCCCGAAGCUUGCUACCGACAUUGGGAGAUAUUUUCCAUUAGAUUUUUGUUGUCUAAAUUCCAAAAUACUCCUUGUAAACCACCAAUUACAUGAUUCCUUAGUUUUUAAGUUAGUAAAAAGACCAAAUAUCUAUGUAAUAAUUAGUUUUAUAUUAGUUUGCUAUAAAUACCUCUCGGGAGCAUGUUCUCAGAGAGGAGUUCCUUCUGUAACCAUUUUGGUAAGCAAGUAAAGUCUUUUCUUUCUACUGCCUUACCUUCUCACUUUGUAUUUUCAUUUUAUUUCUAAGUUAUGAAUUCUCUGAGGAGCUUUCCCCAGAGAAUGAGUAACUAAACCUCCAAUUCCUUGGAGCUAAGGUUGCCGGGGAAGGUUCCAAGUGCAAGAAUGCAAAGCUCUGUGGUUUUAGCUAGUAAUGAAGAGGAAGUGAAAUCCUUUAGUGAUUUCAAUGUUUUUAGUUAACUUAAAACACCUUGGAGUCACCUGGGCCAACACUUGGUAAGGCAAGUGAUUUCCAACCGUGGAAAUGCACUAGUUUACCCCUUGCGAGCCUCUGGUAGGUGACUUCAAGGUAGGAUUUUCUGGAAUUACCAACACUUGGUAAGCUUUUGGACUCCUAGGAGACAUCCAUUAGUUAUCUCUUGCGAGUUUGUGAAGGGGAAUCCAAGGUUAAAGAUCACCUUGAAUGGUAAGUGCUCGUGAGAGGCAUGAACCAUUGCAAGUUGUAUCAGUGAGAGAAUUAAAGUGAAAUCUAAUUGAAGGAGUCUCUGUACAUCACCGGUUAGAGAAUUGACUAUAAGUUGAAUCUCUAAUGCGAGGAAAUGAACCAUCUGACCGGAGCUAUGUCUUUUGCAUGAGGAACCACCCCAGUGAACCUAAAUCUCCAAGGAAUGCUUUUCUUCCUAAAUUAUUCCAAACUUCUGUUAAGUUAGUUAGUUUAAGUCUAAACCUUUACCAAUCAAACUUUGUGUUUUAUUUCUUAAGCUAACCGUGAAAUGAAACAAAACCAAUUCACUUGGAAUUGGUAUCCUUGAUUGCUUGCAAAUCAUUCCCAGUGAACGAUCCUUAGAGCCACUAUACUAUAGUAGCUUUGUAUUUGCUACCCUAGUGUAUGGUGUUAUAGGUAUAAAUUUUGUUGAUCACUUCCUCAAUCAAGGAACACCAGCUGAACACAAAUCAGCUGAGACACCAAUUGGGCAUGAGUCAAAUGGCGCCGUUGCCGGGGAAUGAGUGUCAAGAUCAUUGUGAUACCAUUUUUGAGCACUUGUGAUUUUCAUCACAAGUUGGUAAAGUUUCUUUCACUUUACUAAUUUUCAUUCUCUCUUUGUUUAUUUACAAUCUAAGUUUAUCUUUUUAAAAUUUAGUCUAGUUUAAUUUUGCUAUUGUAGCCUUGUUUCUCUUGUUGUCCUCUGUUCUUGUUGUCCUCUGUUUUCAUUUUAGUUGCAGCUGAAUACUAGUUGUGUAUGCCAAAGUGGAUACGAGACAUUGGAGGUAGGCUUAUUAAGUGUGAUACACCUCAGAGAGGAGAAUUGGAAGUAAUCUUGAAUAUCAUGGAGGCUGCACCUGAAGAUCAGCAUAGUCACCAAGGUCGUCAAGACAAUCUCAAUGAAUUCAGAUCAAUGAGGGACCGUAUGCAUCCACCUCGUAUGAGUGCACCAUCAUGUAUAGUGCCCCCUACAGAGCAACUAGUGAUCAGACCAUAUCUUGUUCCACUUCUACCAACUUUCCAUGGGAUGGAAAGUGAGAAUCCGUAUGCACACAUCAAGGAAUUUGAAGAUGUUUGUAAUACAUUCCAAGAGGGAGGAGCUUCAAUUGAUUUGAUGAGGCUUAAGUUAUUUCCUUUUAAUUUAAAGGAUAAGGCCAAAAUUUGGCUUAAUUCUUUAAGGCCAAGGAGUAUCCGCUCUUGGACUGAUUUACAAGCUGAAUUCCUCAAGAAAUUUUUUCCUACUCAUAGAACAAAUGGCUUGAAAAGGCAAAUUUCAAACUUCUCAGCUAAAGAGAAUGAGAAAUUCUAUGAGUGUUGGGAAAGAUACAUGGAAGCUAUAAAUGCUUGUCCUCACCAUGGCUUUGAUACUUGGCUACUGGUGAGUUAUUUUUAUGAUGGUAUGUCCUCCUCAAUGAAGCAACUCCUCGAGAAAAUGUGUGGAGAAGAUUUCAUGAGCAAAAAUCCAGAGGAAGCUAUGGAUUUCUUGAGCUAUGUAGCUGAUGUUUCAAGGGGAUGGGAUGAACCAACUAAAGGAGAAGUGGGAAAGAUGAAGUCUCAGUUGAAUGCUUACAAUGCAAAGGCUGGGAUGUAUACUUUAAAAGAGGAUGAUGACAUGAAAGCAAAGUUGGCAGCUAUGACAAGAAGAUUGGAGGAGCUGGAGCUGAAAAGAAUGCAUGAAGUGCAAGCUGUUGCUGAAGCACCAGUGCAAGUGAAGUUGUGUCCCAAUUGUCAAUCGUUUGAACAUUUGGUAGAGGAAUGCCCUGCAAUUUCAGCUGAAAGGGAAAUGUAUAGAGAUCAAGCAAAUGUUGUUGGACAAUUCAGGCCCAAUAACAAUGCUCCUUAUGGAAAUACCUACAAUUCAAGUUGGAGGAAUCAUCCAAAUUUUUCAUGGAAGGCCAGAGCAACUCAAUACCAACAGCCGGAUCCACCAUCUCAACAAUCUUCAAGUAUUGAACAAAUAAUAGCUAAUCUCAGCAAGGUAGUGGGAGAUUUUGUGGGAAAGCAAGAAGCCACCAAUGCUCGAGUGGAUCAAAGAAUGGACAGAGUGGAUCAAAGAAUGGACAGAAUGGAGAGUAUGUUGAACAAAAGAAUGGAUGGAAUGCAAAAUGAUAUGAAUCAAAAAUUUGAUAACAUCCAAUAUUCAAUUUCAAGGCUUACAAAUUUGAAUACACUGCAAGAAAAGGGAAGAUUUCCUUCUCAACCUAACCAAAAUCCCAAAGGUGUCCAUGAAGUGGAAAGCCAUGAGGGAGAAUCAUCACAGGUGAAAGAUGUGAAAGCUUUGAUCACUCUAAGGAGUGGUAAGAAAAUUGAGCAGCCAACACCCAAGCCACAUGUUGAGAAAGAAGAAGAGAUGAAGAAAGGGAAGGAAAUGGAAGAUAAAGGCAGUGAGAUCAGUGAAGAAAAGAAGGACUCUGAUGCAACAAUGAAAGUAAUUCCAGAGAAGGAGCUUCUGAAGGAAGAAAUGCUGAAGAAAUCAACUUUUCCACCUUUUCCUCAAGCAUUACAGGGGAAAAAGGGGGUUAGAAAUGCAGCUGAAAUCCUAGAAGUAUUGAGGCAAGUGAAAGUUAAUAUUCCACUGCUGGAUAUGAUCAAACAAGUUCCAACGUAUGCAAAAUUCCUAAAGGACUUGUGUACUAUCAAAAGAGGGUUGACUGUAAACAAGAAAGCCUUCUUGACUGAGCAAGUAAGUGCAAUCUUACAGUGUAAGUCUCCUUUGAAGUACAAAGACCCUGGAAGUCCUACCAUUUCAGUCAUGAUUGGAGGAAAGGUAGUGGAGAAAGCCUUGCUAGACUUGGGAGCAAGUGUGAAUUUGCUUCCAUAUUCUGUCUACAAGCAACUGGGACUUGGAGAGUUGAAGCCAACAGCAAUCACUUUGUCUCUGGCAGAUAGAUCAGUGAAAAUUCCAAGAGGGGUAAUUGAGGAUGUAUUGGUUCAAGUAGAUAAUUUCUACUAUCCUGUAGAUUUUGUUGUUCUUGAUACAGAUCCUACUGUAAAGGAAGCUAAUUUAGUUCCUAUCAUCCUUGGAAGGCCAUUUCUUGCAACUUCAAAUGCAAUCAUCAACUGUAGAAAUGGGCUUAUGCAACUCACUUUUGGUAACAUGACACUGGAUCUAAAUAUUUUCUAUAUGUCUAAAAAGCAAAUCACUCCAGAAGAAGAAGAGGGUCCAGAAGAGCUAUGUAUUAUUGAUACUUUGGUGGAGGAGCACUGCAAUCAACAUAUGCAAGAUAAGUUGAAUGAAAGUUUUGUGGAUAUUGAGGAAGGUUUUUCUGAAUCUCCUAAUGGGCUUGCUACUCUACAAAGUUGGAGAAAGAUAGAAGGAAUUCUACCUUUGUUCAAUGAAGAAGAGGAGGCAGCUGUUGAAAAAGAAAUUCCAAAACUCAAUCUGAAGCCUUUACCUAUGGAGCUGAAAUAUACAUAUCUUGAAGAAAAUAAUCAAUGUCCUGUCGUAAUAUCUUCAUCUCAAACCAAGUCUCAAGUGAAGGAUGCAAGCUUCAAAUGGGAUCCGGGCAAACUGAAUCAGGAAGGGCAAAAAGUUUUGAUGUAUGACACAAGACUCCAUAUCUUUCCUGGGAAGCUCAAGUCAAGGUGGAUUGGUCCAUUUGUUAUUCACCGAGUAUAUUCCAAUGGAGUGGUGGACUUAUUGAAUUCCAAUGGCAAGGACAGCUUUAGAGUCAAUGGAUAUCGUCUUAAGCCGUUCAUGGAGUCAUUCAAAUCAGAAAAGGAGGCAAUCAACCUCCUUGAACCUCAAAAAGCCUAAGUGAAAUGGGUUUGCUGGACGUGGUUUUACCACAGUCCAAAAAUUUUUGUAAAUUUUGUAAAUUUUCAAGUUGUUUCCAUGCUUUUAAUCUUAGUUUUUGAUUUUAAAUCAUGUUUUUAGGUGUGUUUUAAUCGUUUUAUAUGAUCCCAGGCGGAAGAAAUUUCAAGGGGAUUGAAAAGAAAAAAAUCGGGUCGAAAUUGGAGCCGAAACAGAGCAAAAACAGGGGAAAAACAGAGCUCUGCGAAAUUUCGCAGGGUGAAGGAAACUUCUGCGAAAUUGGCAUUUUGCUGCCAAACCAUUCCGCAGCACUGUAGAAGCCUCUGCGAGUGUAUUUCGCAAUUGCGAAAGUGGAUUUGGCACACGAGUGCCACUUCGCAGCACAGUGACAUCAAUUUCGCAGCUGCGAAACUCACUGCGAAGUUGCUGCGAAAAUGGCAAGUUGCUGCGAAAUUGGCGUUUUGUUGCGAAACGUAAUCUGACCCCUGGGCUUCCGUUUUUCCUAUUUAUACCUGUCAAAAGUGCUGCGAAAAAGGUUUCAAAAAUUAGAGCACCAUUCUCGCAGCCCUUUCAUCUUCUUCGCCAAGCCACGCCGUCCGUUUCUCCGGUCGUCUUCUCCGUUUAGCAGCGCCGGCCAAAGAUCGAUAGCCCAAAAAUGGCACGAACGCGAGGGGCAAAGUCUUCAUCCCCUUCGAACCGCAAAAGGAGUCUGCGAAAGGAGCCAAGUUCAGGCUCUGUUCCAGAACCUGCUCCAAAGCCUUCGCCGUCGAGACCACAACCUUCUCCAGUGAAGCCGGCGCCACCAAAGCCGCCGGCAAGGCGAUAUUUAACCAGGUCAGGUGGUCAGCCAUUGAAGAAGAAAGCCAGAGUUGAGAGCUCUGAACCAAUCGAUUUGACUGAGCAAUCCCCUGAGAAAUCACCAAAUCCUUCACCGGUACAAAUUCCAGUGCCAUCACCGGUUCCCUCGCCAAUUCCCUCACCAGAAGCAACUCCAAUUCCAUCGCCGGUACCAUCUCCGGCACCCCAAGAAAAAGCUCAGGAGCCUCAAGCGCCAAUUCCAGAGCCCCAAAUUGCAGCUGAAGCACCUCUGGAAGAAGUGAUCCGAAGGCCAAUGCUGCCUCAGCCCCCAAUCGAAGGAAACCUGGAUUGCCGAACUCGGGCAUUCCAUUCUGAGCUUUGCUUCGAUUUAACAGCAUUCAGAGUGAGGCCAGAGCUUGCCCAAUCCUUCCAACUGCUGAGGAGAUAUCAUAUGGAGCAUCUGCUAGCUCCAAGGGAUUUUUUCUAUCCCCGGGUAGUCACGGAUUUCUACCAAACCAUGACAACCAAAGAAGUAAGAAAUCCAACUCUGAUUCAUUUCAUAAUUGAUGGAAGGCAUGGUAUUUUGGGAGCAAGACAUAUUGCUGAAGCCCUGCAAAUUCCUUUUGAGCCAACUCAAUUCGACAAUUUUAAAGCUUGGACAAAUCCUACUGAGUUAGAGAUGGUUAGCACACUAACCAGAGGAGCUGCAAAUCGAUCGCAUUUGUUGAGGGGGGAGCUACCUCCAGUUAUGUUUUUGAUUGAUGCCUUUUUGAGGCAUAAUAUCUAUCCCCUGCAGCAUUGGACCCAAAGAAGGGGAAUUCUCCUAGAAGCCUUGUACAAAAUGUCUGAAGGAUUCUUCUUUGGGCCUCAUCAUCUGAUCAUGGCAGCCCUUCUAUACUUUGAGGAGAAGGUUCACAAGAAGAAGCUUCAAAGAGCAGAUUGCAUUCCACUCCUCUUCCCAAGGCUGCUAUGCCAAGUUUUGGAGCAUCUCGGAUACCCCUCUGAGCCUCAGCAGGAAAGAAAGAGAAUAUGCCGUGAGCCUUUUACCCUUGAUAAAUGGAAUAAUAUGACGGCCUACAAAAUUGAUCAGCCUGGGCAGCCUCAGCCAGCAGCAAGGAGAGUCUCCCCAAGACAUAUACCUGAAGGUAUAACACUUGCUACUCCUGCCAUCCCUCGAGCUCCACCAGCUGCACCUGCUCCAUCACAGCCAUCCACAUCAGCUGAGCCGAGGAUGGCCAUCCCUAUAUCCGAAUAUCGAGAGCUGUGCCGUGCAUUGGAGACUCUUACAGCUUCUCAGAGCAAUCUUGCUCAGGAGUUGGCAGCCAUUAAAGCAUGCCAGGAGCAGAUGUUAGCCUCUCAGACUCAACAAGCUGCCAUCCUAAGGCAGCUUCAAGUCCAUUUCGAUCUGCCACAAGCUGUAGAGCCCUCUAUUCCUACUCCACCAGAGCCACACUCUCAGCCUUCAGAGUCUCAUCCUCCAGAACCCGAAGCACCAGCUGAUCCACCUACUGAGGAGGCAGAUCCUUCUGCCUAGCACCAUCACCCCCCUCAUCAGACAUUAUAUAUAUAUUUGCUGUUUAUGUUUUUAUGCAUGUUUGUUUUGUUUUAGUUGAAAAGAAAUCCCAGUAUUUUGGUACUAUAUAUGGGAUUCCUUGUGUUACUUGUCUUUAGUAUUGUAAUCACAUGAACUCAAAGUAAUACAAGUUGACUAUUUCUUGUUAAAAGUUAGCAUUAAAGUUUCCUUAUUUCCUUUUCUCACAUAUUCUAUUCUUUUUGAAACAUGUGGUUUUCCCCAAUCAAUAUUCGAAUUUGAUAUCAGCAUGGAGGUACCACUUCCUCCCUUUUAUUACAGUCACUCAAAUCACAUUGAGGACAAUGCUCAGUUCGGUUGGGGGGUAUGAGGAAGGAAGUAUUCUAAACCUUUUUGGUAUUGCAAUUAUAUUGGUUAAUUAGUUGUAGAUUUUACUUUUUACUAGUGUUACUCUAUUCUCCAUGAAUUUUGAGGAAAAAUUUUCAAAUUAAACCAAGAGAAAUUGAACUGUUGUUUUUCACUUGACUUAGAGUAUGGAUUAUGCUUACUAAAGUGGUUCAAUUGUUGAAACUUCUACUGAAAUUGAAUUGAGUUCUUCCACUUUAAGCUAUCCACACACUGUGCACAUUAGUUUCCGAUUAUAAGAUGAAAAGCUAUUUCCCUCUUGACUUAGUAUAUUUUUGGGACUUGGUAUAUUUGACCUCAUUUGAUAAAAAUUGAAACACCCUGCAAAAGGCCAAUGAGCCUUUGAAAUAAAGAAAGUUGUUUGCUUGCCUUGAAACCCGAGCAAGGUCUGAGGGGUAUAUGGUGAAAAUCUUUAAAGCCUGGUGCCCUAAGCCUUAAUUGGUUGGGAGUCACCGACCUCAAUGCUCGUUACAAGGGUGAAUAGGUAGAGUUAGCAUAUGGUAGAUGCUUGGGUAUUAGAAAUUCAUUCUUAAAAGUCCGGGGAAAAAUCCGAGGAGUUAGUGGUUGAAAGAUCCUUAAAACUUGGUGCCCUAAACCUUAAUUGGUUGGGAGUCAUCGAUGGACCCCCAUUACAUGGACAAGUCAGAAAGAGUACCCCAUAAAGCUACCUUAAAAAAAAAAAAAAAAAAAAAAAAAAAAAAAAAGAUGAAAGUGUGUUCUUUUCUUAUUGAUUUUGGUCAGUUUGCUAAAGUGUUGAAAAGAGAUAGGUUGGGGGGUGAGAUUAGUAGCAUAUUAUUCUCGGAACCUAAGGAACCAAUACACAUAGAUUUUUGUGGAAGAUUGAAGUUUAGUUCUUAGAAAAUGAAAUGAUUUUAAAACUUCAGUUUGCAUAAUGCACUCCCUUGAUUGACAGUGUUUAGCAUAGGUGUUAUGACUCUUGUUGAGAUUUGGGUUUGUAUUUCUUUAAUGAUUCAUGUGAGAAAUAGAUCAUCAUGCCACUUGAGAAUUAUUUUCCUUUUAGCAUGAUGUUGUAAAUUUUAGAUUAGUUUGCUAUUUAUUUUUUAUUUUCUCUCCUAUAUUGCUAAGGGACUAGCAAUAUGUCGGUUGGGGGGAGUGAUUACUACUCAAAAAGUGCUAUUUGAUAGCCUUUAAUUAAUCCUUUUUAACACUUUUGAGUAGUAGUUUAGGCCUUUUAACUCAAUUGGCAUGUUAAGGAUCCUUUAAAGCAAUUUUGAUCACUUUGUGCAAGUUUUGGUGUUUUUGUUAGUAUUUUGAUCACCAAAGCAAGUCAAGAAUGAGGAGAACUAUGAGGAAUCAUGGGCAAAGCUUAGAAUUCAAUUGCCAAGAGUGAAUCCGGAUUGCAAGGAGAAAAAGCAAAGAGAAUCUGUCAUGAAGCCUAUUCUUGAUGACAGUCGUAGCAGCCACUUUUGGAGCACUUUCUGAAGUCCAAAUGAUGCAAGCUAUAUACCAUUUCAAAGCUCAGGAAGUCAACAAUCCAAUGCUUCAAACGGUGCGCGAUUCGGAGUUGAAACGAAGAAGUUGCAGCCAUUACAAGCCAGUCACUCUAAAGUGUUGCGGAAUCAGCCUUUUGUUGCGAGAAUUUCGCAGCACUUUUGUACAGUAAGGUGUUUCUCCUUCUGACGAUGCACGAACCAUGCCGCGAGAGGGAAGCUAGGAACUUCAAGAUGGAAGCCAACUUUGCAGCCUGGUGAAGAUAGCUUGGUCUUGCGAAAUAAUUUCGCAGCCCUCUUGGGUGUCUGCGAAAUUUCGCAGGCACCACUUUUUUCCUGCGAAAUGGCUCCGGAAGCCUCCCGAAGCUUGCUACCGACAUUGGGAGAUAUUUUCCAUUAGAUUUUUGUUGUCUAAAUUCCAAAAUACUCCUUGUAAACCACCAAUUACAUGAUUCCUUAGUUUUUAAGUUAGUAAAAAGACCAAAUAUCUAUGUAAUAAUUAGUUUUAUAUUAGUUUGCUAUAAAUACCUCUCGGGAGCAUGUUCUCAGAGAGGAGUUCCUUCUGUAACCAUUUUGGUAAGCAAGUAAAGUCUUUUCUUUCUACUGCCUUACCUUCUCACUUUGUAUUUUCAUUUUAUUUCUAAGUUAUGAAUUCUCUGAGGAGCUUUCCCCAGAGAAUGAGUAACUAAACCUCCAAUUCCUUGGAGCUAAGGUUGCCGGGGAAGGUUCCAAGUGCAAGAAUGCAAAGCUCUGUGGUUUUAGCUAGUAAUGAAGAGGAAGUGAAAUCCUUUAGUGAUUUCAAUGUUUUUAGUUAACUUAAAACACCUUGGAGUCACCUGGGCCAACACUUGGUAAGGCAAGUGAUUUCCAACCGUGGAAAUGCACUAGUUUACCCCUUGCGAGCCUCUGGUAGGUGACUUCAAGGUAGGAUUUUCUGGAAUUACCAACACUUGGUAAGCUUUUGGACUCCUAGGAGACAUCCAUUAGUUAUCUCUUGCGAGUUUGUGAAGGGGAAUCCAAGGUUAAAGAUCACCUUGAAUGGUAAGUGCUCGUGAGAGGCAUGAACCAUUGCAAGUUGUAUCAGUGAGAGAAUUAAAGUGAAAUCUAAUUGAAGGAGUCUCUGUACAUCACCGGUUAGAGAAUUGACUAUAAGUUGAAUCUCUAAUGCGAGGAAAUGAACCAUCUGACCGGAGCUAUGUCUUUUGCAUGAGGAACCACCCCAGUGAACCUAAAUCUCCAAGGAAUGCUUUUCUUCCUAAAUUAUUCCAAACUUCUGUUAAGUUAGUUAGUUUAAGUCUAAACCUUUACCAAUCAAACUUUGUGUUUUAUUCCUUAAGCUAACCGUGAAAUGAAACAAAACCAAUUCACUUGGAAUUGGUAUCCUUGAUUGCUUGCAAAUCAUUCCCAGUGAACGAUCCUUAGAGCCACUAUACUAUAGUAGCUUUGUAUUUGCUACCCUAGUGUAUGGUGUUAUAGGUAUAAAUUUUGUUGAUCACUUCCUCAAUCAAGGAACACCAGCUGAACACAAAUCAGCUGAGACACCAAUUGGGCAUGAGUCAGUGCGUUAGAGGAUCAAGAAGAAGAAAAAGAAGGAACUGUUGGAAUUAGUAUGAGUGUGAAGAGAAAAGUAUAUAAAUAAGGGGAAGUAAAAGCAAAGUUCAAAAAGCUAUAUUUUUUUAUUGUUGGUGUAUGGUUGCAUGAUUAUCCCUAUAAAUAAUAGGAGUUUUUUGGUAUUCUACUAGUAGUUGAAGCAUAAUUUCAUAAAUUAAUAUUUAGAGCGGGGUGGGGUGAGUUGUGACAAAAUUCAUACCCGUCCCAAACCUUGGUUCAGAUUUUUAAAAUAUUCUCAAACUUAUCAUAUACCCAACUUUUAUAUUUCAUACUUGUCCUAAUAGAGGCACGUUAGGCCGGGUUACUUGAGUAACCUACAUAAUUGUCAUCCCUAGUUGAAAUACACUUUUUGGCAGUGGCCACCAACUGAGCUAGAAGCUUGAUUGAUUGACCUACAAGAUUAGUUCUCAUCAUUUUAAAAAAAGUUCUGGCUUUGGUUGUGAGUGCAAUUGAAUCUAAACUGGCAUUUGCUUAAUGCAUCUACUUCAAUCCUAAACUUCUUACUUCUUAAGCCUCAAUUGUUGUUAGGAUUUUGGAAAACCCAUUUCCUUAAAUUGUAAAUUUAAGAUAAAAUAAAAUAAAAGUGAGACAUUUCUUGAUUGAAUAUUGUUAAAGGUCCCUUGGCAUUAAGACUUGGUUGAAGCCUUGGAAGAUUAGUGGAACUCUCAACAUGUGUUUGAAUCUUGAGGAGAGUGGAUGUAAGCCAAAAUUUUGUCAAACCAUUAUACAAAUUGAGUUUGAAUCCUCAUUUCUUGAUUUCUUAUUUAUUUGCUUUUUCUUAUUAUUACUUGAAUUGUCAUUUGCAUUCAUUAAUGUUAAAAUUGGUUAUAAUUAACCAACACUAAUUCUCUUUCCCCUUCCCUUUCUUGGGUGUAAACCUAGGUUGGAUUAACUAGAUAAAUCUAUUAAGAUGGUAAAAGAAUAAUUAUUCUUAACAUACAUAAGAUCAUCUUCAAUCAAAUGACUCAUUGGCUAAUAUGUUGAAUUUGCUUAUUACUUGCAACUCAAAAUUGUGUUCUAGUUGUGUCAAGUCCCCAGUGUAUGGACAUUAAAUUUGUAGUACGUGAUGAGUAAUUAGAUGGUCCAACUCCAAGAAAGUGAUUGAAAAGUAGUUCAAGAAAGGUGCAAAAGGGAAUUGUUUUGGUAUUUUCGUUUUUAUUCUUGAAGGUGGCAGAGCUAAAAUUUGAGAAAUCAAGCAAAACAUACUGAAAUUACAUUGAAAGAAAGAAGAUGGGAGUUAAUGUCUUGCAGUACAUGAUAAGGACUUCAUGCAUGUAGUGUGACCCAUGUCUUGGACUGAUGCCAACUCACGGUUACACUUAUACCCUUGGUUCUCUCUUUACUACCUUGGCUAACCUAGAUCAGGCUAUGAGAUAGGCUCCUCACCACACCAUUACUUGCCCAUUAAUUAGAGACAUUUUCAAGCAAUGAGGUAACAUGGUGACACCAAGAGGGUCUAUUCCUCGCCCGGAACAAGUCUAGACUUGGUCUCAAAAAAAUGGAGAAAAAUGAGGUGUCGUUAUGUAGAAAUACAACAACCAUGCCUUCCUCAUUACUUAGAUUCAGAAUGUGAAGGUGAAAUUGAGAAACAGAAACUCUUGAAACCAAAAUGAAAAUUGAUACUUUUACGAAGAAUUACAACAACAUUAGAGGAAGACUACAUUCUUCCUCUUUAUUCCUACAUUUCUACACUACUUCUACUCCACUCCAUAUUUCUACAUACAUCUUUAAUCAGUCUUCCCUCCUUUAUAUAGAGCCAUCUUCACACAAAUUUCGCAAGGUAGAAAAGAGGAAUGAAACUUGGAGCAAGGUUCGACUACUGGUUGUAGCUUGUCAAGGCUGGAAGUGAACUUUUCUUGGCUUUCUGGGCAUGGGUAGUAACUUGUGGGUUCCUGUUUGGCAUAAAAAUGGCUAGAACAUGUGGCACUAUCUUGUUGGAUGAUGUGUCAAGCAUGUGGCAGCCAUCUAGUGGCGAUUAUGUCAAUUUUGGGAUGGAGAGUUGGCAUCCAAUUGCAAAGAAAUAUGACGUCUACCAACAUGCAAUGUAAACCUAUGUAGAUCAUAUGAAGAUAGAGAGGAAAAAUAUAGAAAUGGAUAUAUACCUAGAACUAGCUUUUUAUUAAAUGAAACGGAGAGACAACAAUGAAGGAAAAUAAAAUUUUUUGGCUUAUAUCAAAGAGUUCACAUUGUGUUACCCUAGGUUUUCUUAAAACUUACUUUUAUGAUAACAAAAAAGAAAAAACCAUUAUUGUUUAAUCCUUUGUUUUAAACGCAUGUAAGGUGUAAUUAAGUUAGUUCAAUGCAUUAAUUUAAGAAACUUGACCUAUCAAAAGUACAAAAUUAGAUGAAAUCCAUUUCAAUGGUUAAAAUGAUCAAAAUCAAACUUUUUCUAAGUAUUUUUUAAAAGCAUCAAUAGUGAAAGACAAUUUUAUAUUUAGUCGGAGUUUGGACAAAACUGAAAAACACACAAAAUCCAAGCGACCAUCUCUAGCUUGGAUGGUCGCUUGAUCCCACCUAGAGAUGUGCAUGAGUAAAAGGAUUUGAAAAUGGAAAUUGACUAUGUAGUCGAUCAAUUAACUUUGCAACAUCAUAUGCAAUCCUAAUUGCUAGUCAUCUAAUCAAUUAGGUAGUCAAUCAACAGGCCAAAAAUAUGUUUAUAAUGACUAUUUUGUACAAAAACCACCUGUAUAGUUAAAUAUAAUGCAUUUCAUUUAUAAAUCUUCUAAUUCUUGAAUAACGAUCCUAUCAUCCUUUGAAAGUUUUUAUUACACUUUUUUUACUUUUGUUCUAAAACUUACACAUCACCCUUAAUUGUACCAUGAGAACCUAGCUAUUUUUUAUUUUUUUUUUUGUAAUUCAUCAAAGUUAGCUUUUGUAUUCAUUGUUGUAUUAUUUUUAGUAUAACUUAGAAAGCUAGUGUUUUCAAGUGAGUAAAAUUAACUUGUAAAUAUUGUAAAGAUUCAUCGACAUGUAUCUUAAACUAAGUGUACAAGUUAAAACAUUUGCUAGUAGAUUUUCUCAAAAUUUAGAAUAGAGCUUGAGACUAUUGAAAUAGGUGGGGUUGCACCAAACCACAUCACAUCGUUGUUUGCACCUUUUUUCACUCUCUUUUACUUAGUUGCUCUAUAUUUGUUGUCUAGUAAUAUCCUAUAGGCUUGAUGGGUUAGGGAGCAUCCCUUUGUGAAAAAAUUUUAUUCAAUCCUUAGUUGUAUCACGCAUAUAUAAAAUGCCUCAUUGUUUUAAUGGUAUUCAGUCGUGGCAUCACAGAUAUGGGCAUCUAAAUUUUAAAAGUUUGAAACUUUUAUCUAAAGAAAAUAUGGUGCUUUGCCUUUUUGUAAAGCAUGUUGAUGAAAUCCAUGAGAAUUGUGUACUUGGGAAGCAACACCGAGAUGACUUUUUUUUUUUUUUUAUAAUAUUGUUUGUCCAAAUUCCCUACAAAUUAGGCCACCAGAUGUUCAUAAUUCUCCCUUCUUGAAUUUGAAAACUCGGACAAUUGGACAAUGCGACACCUAAGUCCGGUUUCUAAAUGCUAAAGUGAAAGGGUAGGUAUGGACCAUUGAAAUGUGAUCACAACUUUUCUCUGUAGCCAUGUUGUCUCUUUUUUCUUUUGCAUGAUUUUCUUACCUUAACAGAAUCAUAGACUUGUUUAGUCUCUAAAUGGGAUUAAUUUCAUCCAGCUUUAAGCUACUAUAUUAUAUCUAGGUGGAGGACUUUUAAGAGUGCAACCGACAUAGAGCACAUGGAAGUGGGUAUAUGGGACAUGAAAUUUCUUCUUAUAAAGAUUGCAUGAUUUUUAUAUUAGAGUUGUUGAGGCGCUAUGUAUUUAGCUUGUUUUGCAGUUAAAUUAAUUGGAUAAGUAGACAUUGGCGUUUCUAAAUCUACUGUGAAGUGCUUCAUGUACGUGUGAAGUAUUAGAAAUUUCUUUCUUGGCAACUUGUUUUUCUUUGCGGUCUACUGAUAGGUUUGACUAAAAUUAUAUUCCCUGUCAUGCUAAUUAAUUUUCACGUGCAUGCUCAAAAGAAAAGUAUGACCUUAGUGCACCAAAAUCACUUUGAUUAAUUUGUGAUAGGUUUUUGUGCAUCAUGACAUUAGCCUUAUUCAUUUAGAUAAUGUUUAGUUUUUAGAAAGUAUUAAGAAAAGGAAAAUAAAUAUUAAGAAAAAUAUUCUUAUAUUUGAUUGUAUUAUGAAAAAUAUCAUAAAAAAAUCAAAUAUAAUUUAAAUUAAUUAAUAAUUUAUACAUUUUCAAAUUAUUUAAUCUUUAUAUUGAAGAUAUAAUAUAAAUGAAAUGAGUUUUAAGUAUUAUAUAAAAGUGAUUUAUUGAUCUUACAUAUAUAUAUUUCUUUUUUUUUUCCUUCUAUUUUUUCUCUUUAUUUUAUUUUCCUUAUGUUUUCCUCAACAUUUUCCGGAACCAAACAUAGCCUUAGGAAAUCCACAAUUACCUUCAACUGAGUAGAUUCUGUUGUUUUAGCAAUGUUAGGCUGCUAACUUGUGUUGGUACGAACCUAUUAAGCCUAAAGAUGUAAUUAGUUAGGAUAUUCUUUUCCCUCUAGUCUUGUAGCUCCACGUGUACAGUUGGUUAGGACCUCAUUGUAUAUAAUGCUUGCCCUGUUAUUGUAGAAGACAACAAAGAUAAAUAAUAUUAACAUUUUUCCUCUCAUCUCUCUCUGUUUCCCUCUGUUUUCAUCUCCUCUCUCAUCUUGGUAUCAGAGCCUCCAUGGCUUCUUUCAAAGAAACCUCCGAAUCACCUUCUGCUAGCAUUGUUAAUGUGCAAAACCCAUUAUCUCAAUCAAACAACCUUCCUUCACCAGUAGCCACACCCUCUUUUUCUUUCUCGUCUAUGAAUCAACCUCUCACAGUGAAGCUGGAUAAUGGGAACUACCUCAUAUGGAAGAAUUAGCUUCUAAAUGUCAUCAUUGCUAACGGACUCGAUGAUUUCAUUGACGGAUCUCGACCCUGCCCUCCUCGAUUUCUCGAUCUGCAACAACAAACCCUCAAUCCAGAGUACUCAGCUUGGCAGAGAUACAAUCGACUUCUGAUGAGUUGGCUGUACGCAUCCUUGUCCAAAGAUAUAAUGGCUCAGAUUGUUGGGUAUUCAACAGCUAUGGAGAUUUGGAAUGCCCUUAAUCAGAUUUACUCUGCCUCUUCUAUGGCGCGGUUUACUGAGCUUCGCACCAAGCUUCAAACGCUCAAGAAAGAUGGACUCUCAGUUGGUGAAUAUAUUCAAAGGCUCAAAUCCAUUUGCAAUAGUCUUGCAGCAAUAGGAGAACCAGUUUCUGAGAAAGACCAUCUUAUCUAUUUGUUCAAUGGAUUAGAUUGUGAGUAUUAUUCUUUUGUUACCUCCAUUCAAAAUCGAUCUGACCAACCAACUAUUGACAAAAUCCAUAGCCUAUUGCUUAGCUAUGACUUCCGGCUUGAACAACAAAACUCUGUUUCUCUCCAUUCUGCCCAAGUCCAUAUGGCUCAUCUGAACAAGAAACCUUAUAAAUCAACUCCUCAACCUACAUUCAAUCAUAUUCACAUUCAACCUAGAUACUCUUCUCCACCUUUUAAGCCAACCACUAGUCAAUAUCAACCCAACAUUUUGGGCAAACCACAACCACAACCAUGACAGCCUCAACCUCAAUGGAAACCACAUUUUUCAAUCUAAAAUCAAAAGCCUCAGCGCCAAAUUUGUGGUAAAUUUGGACACACUGCUCUUAUUUGCUUCCAUCACACAAAUUUGAACUAUUCACCCCAACCUUCUCCUAAAUCUUUCAAUACUGUUCUCACCACAAAUUCCCAGCUCCCUAAUCCUCCAAAAUUUUCUUACCCUACAAUGGCUCAUCCUGCUGCUACGCAUAACACGGUUCCCGAUACAAAUUGGUACAUGGACUCAGGUGCUACACAUCACUUUACUCUGGACAUCAACGUGCUUGACACUGUGACACCAUUUAGUGGUUCAGAACAGGUGACAGUUGGGAAUGGUAAGCAACUCUGUAUCUCACAUCUUGGUACUGCAAAACUACCAUCUUCGUAUUCUCCUCCUGUUCUACAUCAGGUAUAUCACACUCCAAAAAUUUCAAAUAAUCUUAUUAGUGUUAAAAAAUUGUGUUCUGAUAAUAAAGUUUUUGUUGAAUUUUAUGCCACUCAUUUUCUUGUCAAGGAUCAGGUUUCGAAGAGAGUUCUCCUUUAGGGUCAACUUGAUAAUGGCUUAUACAAAGUUCAGUCGUCAUGCUCUCCUUCUGCUGUUUCCUUUCCUCCUCAAGUUUUCAUAGCCAACAUCAAGUAUCCAAAUCUGUGGCACAAGAGACUAGGCCACCCAGCUUUAUCUGUUGUUAAUCAAAUCUUGGAUUCUUGUAACAUUGCUCGAACACAGAAAAUUUGUUUUAAUUUUUUAAAUUCUUGUCAAUUAGCAAAGAGCCACAGGCUUCCUUUUUCUCUGUCUCCAUCCAUUGCAGAAAAACCUUUUGAGUUAAUUCAUACAGACCUAUGGGGUCUUUCGCUCGUUCGCUCUAUUUCUGGUGCUCUUUAUUUUUUACUUUUCAUUGAUGAUCAUACUCGUUUUACUUGGUUUUAUUUGCUCAAAACAAAAGAUGAAGCAUAUCCUACUUUUCUCAAGUUUCAAGCUCUCAUUGAAAAUCAAUUUAAUACCAAGAUUAAGGCUGUCCAAUCUGAUUGGGGAGGUGAGUUUCGAUCUCUCUCCAUACCGUUUUCAAAUAUGGGCAUUGUCUAUUGUUUAUCGUGUCCAUACACCUCACAACAGAAUGGGCGAGUUGAGCGAAAAAAUCGCCAUGCGAUUGUCCUUUCUUGCUUGCUCUAUGCCCUUAUCUUAUUGGCCUUAUGCCUUUCAAACUGCCACUUACCUUAUUAAUCGUCUCUCUACCCCUGUGCUGCAUCAUCAAUCCUCUUACUUCGCACUCUAUCACAAACUCCCAACUUAUACUCAUCUUAAGGUCUUUGGUUCCUCUUGUUUUCCGUAUUUGCACCCUUAUAAUACCCAUAAACUCCAAUACAGGUCACUAGAGUGUGCUUUUCUUGGUUACAGUUCACACCACAAAGGUUAUCUAUGUCUUGACAUUCAUUCUAGCAGGGUGUAUAUUUCUCGCCAUGUGAUUUUUAAUGAAGAUUCUUUUCCAUUCAAGAAUUUGAAAUCUUCUCUCUCUCAGUCUAUUUCUUCUUCCUCUUCUUUAUAAGUUCCUCUGUUCAUUCUCUUGCCUCCCCUUUCCCCAUCUCCUCUUAUUUCUUCAUCUAUACCUCAUUCUUUUCCCUCUUCUUCUUCUACCUCUAGUACUUGUUCCCCUCUCGUUGCUCCUACCUCUCUUCCUUCCUCUUCACACUCUGUGUCUCCAUCUAUUCCACCUCCUUCUCCACCUUCUCCGAGUGUGGACCUGCUUGCACCUUGUGUGAAUACAAAUUUACAUACUUCUUCUCGCACUCACAAUAUUCAUCCUAUGGUGACUAGAUCUAAGGUUUGUAUCUAUAAACCUAAGUUGUUGUUGAGUGUCUCCAUAGGUUCUCUCACUAAGCCUACUUCCUUUCUUCAAGCUAUUAAAGAUCCUUCAUGGAAGCAAUCCAUGGAAUUCGAGUUUGCUACCCUUCAACACAACAAGACCUGGCAUUUGGUUCCUUCACCUUCCUCAGGCGAAGUAAUCGGUUGUAAAUGGGUCUAUAAGCUAAAGCUUCAGCCUGAUGGCUAAAUUGAGAGAUACAGCCUGCUUAGUAGCUAAGGGUAUCAUCAAAUUGAAGUAUGGACUACUUCGAAACAUUCAGCCUGAUNNNNNNNNNNNNNNNNNNNNNNNNNNNNNNNNNNNNNNNNNNNNNNNNNNNNNNNNNNNNNNNNNNNNNNNNNNNNNNNNNNNNNNNNNNNNNNNNNNNNAGCUUCAGCCUGAUGGCUAAAUUGAGAGAUACAAGGCCUGCUUAGUAGCUAAGGGUUAUCAUCAAAUUGAAGGUAUUGACUACUUCGAAACAUUCAGCCUGAUUGUCAAGCUUUCUACUAUCUGUAUUGUGCUCAGUCUUACUUUUUCCCAGAAUUGGUGUAUUAGACAGCUGGAUGUUCAUAAUGCCUUCUUACAUGGUGACUUAGCUAAAGACGUUUUCAUGGAACAACUGCCUGGAUUUGUUGAUCCUCUCUAUCCUACUCAUGUCUGCAAGUUGGAUAAGUCUCUCUACUGUCUUAAAUAGUCACCUCGGGCUUGGUAUACUAAGCUGAGUACUUCUCGCUACACUUGGGAUUUGUUACUUCUAAGAAUGACUCUUCCUUAUUUAUUUGUCAUUCGUCUCAUGGGUUACUUCUUGUUCUUGUCUAUGUGGAUGAUAUAAUCGUCAUUGGGAGCCACUCUCCUCAGGUUACUCACCUUAUCCAACAGUUGCAUCAUUAGCUUUCUUUAAAGGAUCUUGGUCCUUUACAUUAUUUUCUGGGCUUGGAGGUUCAUCACACCCCUACUGGUAUUCACCUCAGCCAAGCAAAGUAUAUCACUGAUCUCCUUACCCGGGCGGCUAUGUUGGAUGCCAAGCCAUGUCCCACUCCUAUGUCCUCCAACACAUAUCUCUCUUUUCAUGAUGGAGUGGCUCUUGAAAAUGGUUCAGAUUAUCGAAGUUUUGUUGGUGCCCUUUAGUAUUGUACCAUGACACGCCCAGAUAUAGCUUUUGCAAUAAAUAAAGUGUGUCAAUUCAUGCACCAUCCCUCUAAUGUUCACUGGCAGGCUAUAAAACGUAUUCUCCGGUACUUAAAGGGCACAUCUCAUUUUGGUCUCUUCCUACAGCCUUCCUAUGACUUCAACAUCACUUGCUAUACAAAUGCCGACUGGGCUUCCUGUCCUGAUGACAAGUGUAGCACCAGUGGCUACUGCCUCUUUCUUGCCUCUAAUCUGGUUUCUUGGUCAUCUUCCAAACAAAAAGUGGUCUCCCGCUCCAGCGCCGAAUCAGAGUACCGAGGGGUAGCAAAUGGGGCUGCUGAAAUUGCUUGGACUGAAUCUCUUCUUUGUGAACUUUCCAUUACUCCCCCUCCCCUCAUUCUCUGUGACAAUAUCAGUGCCACGUACUUAGCUGCCAAUCCUAUUUUGCAUGCCCGCACCAAACAUGUGGAAAUCGACUAUCACUUUGUCACGGAACGUGUUCUUCAAUGCUCUCUUUUUGUCCAGUUUACACCUUCUGAUGAUCAACUUGCUGAUUGCAUGACCAAGCCUCUCUCCACCCAACGUUUCAUCACUCUACGCUCCAAGCUCACUGUUCUCACUAGACCAAUGAGCUUGAGGGGGGAUGUUAAGCCUAAAGAUGUAAUUAGUUAGGAUAUUCUUUUCCCUCUAGUCUUGUAGCUCCACGUGUACAGUUGGUUAGGACCUCAUUGUAUAUAAUGCCUGCCCUGUUAUUGUAGAAGACAACAGAGAUAAAUAAUAUUAACAUUUUUCCUCUCAUCUCUCUCUCUGUUUCCCUCUGUUUUCAUCUCCUCUCUCAUCUGAACCAAAUGAUCCAUGUUAACCUUGGCUUGGUUUGAUUUGGCUCUAUCUUAGAGAGCUCAAGGAUCACGUCAACUCUGGUUUCUACUAUUCAGGUCCAUUCCCAUAUGAACUGGUUCAAAUUUGAGAAAAUGGUAACAGACCUUUAGUGAUGUUGGUUUGGAGCCAGUUGCCAAACCCGCCCUGAGCUUUACCACUAAUGUCAAGGGAGAAAGCCAUUUGAACAAAAACAAUAGCUUCAAGGGACUGAAUCGUGGAUGAAAUCUGAUCCACAUUUCUUCUCAUUUUGGAAACAAAUGAGAACUUAACUAAGAAGAUUCUACGGCCUCAUAGUGCUUUUCCUGAUCUAAGGUUGGUUCGUUUCCCAAACUGUGAGAUGCACGUGCCAGACUUCAGAACUCUCACGCUCAGGAGUGUAUCCACGUGGUGGACAUAAGAUGGUGGCUUAAGAUCUGGUGUCGGUGGCUUUACUUUACUAGGAGAGUAGUGUGUCUUCAUCUCAUUCACUGCCGGAGGGUGGCGUAAGCAGUGACGCUAAGGUGGGGCACAGUCAAUAUCAUUUGCAUUUGACCAUUAUAGUUUUCUCCCGGCUUUAAAGUAACCUUAUCGUGAUAAAGGAUUACUAGCACUAGUUCAGAUGAUAGUCAUGUUAAAUUCGGACCAUGUUUGUGUCACAUUAUCAGCAACCAUGUGUUUAUGGUUCAUGCUUUCUGCAACUAAAAUUGAUAUAUAACCAGGUGAACUUCAAUCUAAAUUCUGAAAGUACUCAUGUGAUAGAUGGUGCCCGUCUGCAGAGUCCAUCAAUUGAAAAAUGGAGUGAGUGUAUCUAUAAGAGGGAAGGCUUGGAAAAUGUUCAGUUUUCUGGGAAUUCAACAAGGAUCUAAAAUAGAUUGUUUUCUUUGCUGAUUUCAAUGGUUGAAAUUUGAGAAGAUUGUGUCCACAUAACACAACUAUUACUGGUCCUUCUGUUGCAAUUUAUCCUCUAAAGCUCUAGCAUGUCUUCCAAUUCCCACUUCCCUGUUACUCCAGGAAAGCUAUUUCUGUCAUUGUGAAGAAGAAAAGAGAAUGUACAUAUCGAUGCUUUUAAGUGACUGGAGCAUUUAUAUCAGGUGGUCUGCAGCCAUAUAUGCCACUUUGUGAAGAUUGGAACAGUCAAUCACUAGGCUAUAUAUUAGUGUGGCCCAGCCACUUUAAUCAAGGACAAGUCUUCAUACUUAAAGUCAAAUUCUGCCUUUAGUCUCAUUAUAAAUUUCUGUUUAAAUAUUAAGCAAACAUUUGUUUAAUGCGAUUAAGACAGUACUAACUCAAUACCUGUUCUAUUUUUGGAUGCAAAUGCUUGAUGGUUUCAUCAUUGGAUGGGAUAAAGGUGCAUUCAUGAUUAGGAAUACUAGUAGUUAUAUUUUAAUUCUCUUUUUUCUCAAUGAGACUUGUUGGCACAAUUUUGCUGUUGAGAAACCUACCUCUCCAUGGAAAAUAAGUUGUGAUUGAUAGUACUGGAUAUAUUCAAGAAAUCUAAAUAUAGAUAGCACAAAAUAUUAUCGACAUAAAUAGCAUUAACAGCGUACGUAUGUCUCAGUGCUCAUCAGCUAUAAGCAUGGGGCAAACACUUACUAUGAGCAACUUACGUCAAAAUUCCAGAAUAGGACAUAGAAGUGACAGAUAUAGAACAUUGCAUAUGAGUCACAAGAAAGGAAAUUACGGGUGCAUAGCAGCUCUUAUUUUACAUACUACUACUCAUACUGAUCAAAGUCACUCAGUUGGGAUGGGUGGGAGUAGGAGGUUUGUGGGGUGGCUUGUGCGGAGGAGUUGGCAGCUUCUUUCCAGGACCUGGUUGCUUCUCUGCUGGAGUUGAAGGAGGCUUAAUCUUCCGAGGUGGCUUGUAUGAGUCUUCAGCAUUCUCAGCUGGAGGGUGACCAGGGUUGUGACCAUAAUGUGGUGGCUUCUCUCCCUUAGGUGGUUUGCCAACUGGGGUUGGUGGCUUGUAUGAGUCUUCAGCAUUCUCAGCAGGAGGGUGACCAGGGUUGUGACCAUAAUGUGGUGGCUUCUCUCCCUUAGGUGGUUUGCCAACUGGGGUUGGUGGCUUGUGUUCUGGGAGUGGCUUCUCCCCCUUGGGAGGUUUUUCCAAUGGGGUUGGUUUGUGUUCAGGAGGUGGCUUCUCCACUGGAGGCUUGUGUUCAGGAGGUGGCUUCUCCACCGGAGGCUUGUGUUCAGGUGGUGGCUUCUCCACCGGAGGCUUAUGCUCUGGUGGUGGCUUCUCGAAUGGGGGAUGCUUAGGAUAAUCAGCAAGUGAGGGGGCGGUGAGAACCACCAGGCCAAGCAACACCACUAGCAAAUAUGUAGGAGACAUCUUUGGGUUUGGGCUCAGAUGGUGCAAAACUAGGAGAAUUGGCUAGCCUUUUAUAGCGGAUCGUACCCAAUAAUGAAAUGACACGUGUCAUUAUGACCCAUGUGUAAUGGGGUCGAUUUGGGUCCUACAGUGUUGAAAACUUCGACAUCCACUUUUGGCCUUUUGCUUUCUCUACAGCCGCCUUGCUUUUUCCCUCUUUCCUUUUGUUUUCCUCCUGCCCCAUUCUAUCAACUAAACACAAUUAUGUAGUUGUUUAAUUCUUAAAUGAGAUAUUAUCCGUCAAUCGUAUUAUAUUUUAUCAAGAGAGAACGGAGUGCAAUGUGGCUGUAAUUUUAUCGUUUAGUUUUAUCUCUUGGACCACUGCAUUUUUGUUAAGAGGUGCAAUAAUACACGUCUUUAUCUGCCAUUCAAUAUUUACAGUAAAGAGAGGGCACAAAACUCUUCACUUCGCACCAUAAUUAUUUUGUUUUCUGGACACCCCGGGGCCCUUUGGUUGGUUUGGGGGUCAGAAAGUGAACAUCAUAGGGGGUUUUUCCCUUAUGUGCAUUUGUAUCUGAUGGCUUUAACUCGCCUUGUUACUACAAAGAAACUGUCACAGAUAGGAACUUAUUCCAGGCUGAGUAUCUCCUCAUAGACCCUAUAAAAGAAGACAAGUCAUAAUGAACAUCUAACCUUUGUUCAAUUUGAUUCAAUGCCCCCAUUGUGUCCAUCUCACAAAUCUGAAUUAUUAUAUCCAUUGAAUACAUAAAUUAAUGAAGAAAAUAUGAAACCCAAGAUACAUCUCUGCACAACCUCAACCCUGGUUGCUAUGUUUCCCUUCUAUUCACAUGAUUUGAUGCUAAUUGCCAAACUUGCAACAAGCCCUGAGUUUGACACCUAGUAUCGAUGGGCGAAUUUAAAGUCUCCUCCAAACAUAUAUUCCACAGCUUGAAGCUCACAGAAGAUGUUACAGGCAGGGAAAAACCUUCAGAGUUCGCUACCAAAGAUAAUUAUUAAGGAGAUAUCACAAAGAGAAUUCCAAGGGGUCUGAAUCAAAGACAAAUUGGUCGUUCGUGGGGGUUCUUACUUUCUUUUGGGUAUAACUCACUGAGGGCACUGUCUUUGUUAUUUGCAUUUCACAUUUAGAGUUCUGUUCUGGAAACAUAUAAAAGGAGCAUCAUUUUGUUCUUGGGUAACCCAUAGUCGUGAGUGGGUCCAUUUGCAUGCUACUUAGUUGAAAAGUUGGACCAUUUGCUCCGACGCCUACCUCCCGGAUUCCAUGCUCGGAUAAAACAAGAAUAAAAAAAAUAUUUAUAAUUUACAAAUGGGGGAAAGAAAAAAAUGUCAACAACAAACCAGGAAAAAAGAGUAGUAAAAUUCAUGUCACAUGCUAGUGAGAGAAGGGGUUGUUACACUCACUCGAAGUUCUUUCCAAAAUAUCGCAUGGUAUUUUAUUUUAUGUGUCAGCGCAGUUGUGAAUGGAACGUGCAAAAGUCCAAAUUGGCGUUUUUCCUUUUCCCGUGUAGGAUGGCGACCUUUAAUAAAUAUUUAAAACAAAAAACGAAAAAAAGGAGGGAAAAGGGAUCAGAAAAGAUAAAACAAUGUGUACAAGAGCUCAAUUAGUUUGCAAAUUACUGUUUGGAUUUUGAUAGUAUUUUAUUUGUCCAUCUAUAUUUGAUGGAAAAGAGAAUUUAAGAUAUUUCUGAAACAAAAGCAUUAGUGUAAAACUAAAUUAAGGUAUAAUUAAGUUAGUUCAAUGCAUUAAUUUAAGAAACUUGAUCUAUCCAAAGUACAAAAUUAGAUGAAAUCCAUUUCAAUGGUUAAAAUGAUCAAAAUCAAACUUUUUCUAAGUAUUUUUUAAAAGCAUCAAUAUUAAAAGACAAUUUUAUAUUUAGUCGGAGUUUGGACAAAACCAAAAAGCACACAAAAUCCAAGCGACCAUCUCUAGCUUGGAUAGUCACUUGAUCCCACCUAGAGAUGUGCAUGAGUAAAAGGAUUUGAAAAUGGAAAUUGACUAAAUAUUUAGUUGAUCAAUUAAAUUUGCAAUGUCAUAUGCAAUCCUAAUAGCUAGUCAUCUAAUCAAUUAGGUAGUCAAUCAAGUGUUUGUAAUGACUAUUUUGUACAAAAAACCACAUGUAUAGUUAAAUAUAAUGCAUUUCAUUUAUAAAUCUUCUAAUUCUUGAAUAACGAUCCUAUCAUCCUUUGAAAAUUUUUAUUACACCUUUUUUACUUUUGUUCUAAAACUUACAUAUCACCCUUAAUUGUACCAUGAGAACCUAGCUAUUUUUUUUUUUUUUGUAAUUCAUCAAAGUUAGCUUUUGUAUUCAUUGUUGUAUUAUUUUUAGUAUAACUUAGAAAGCUAGUGUUUUCAAGUGAGUAAAAUUAACUUGUAAAUAUUGUAAAGAUUCAUUGAUAUGUAUCUUAAACUAAGUGUACAAAUUAAAACAUUUGCUAGUAGAUUUUCUCAAAAUUUAGAAUAGAGCUUGAGGCUAUUGAAAUAGGUGGGGUUACACCAAACCACAUCACAUCGUUGUUUGCACCUUUUUUCACUCUCUUUUACUUAGUUUCUCUAUAUUUGUUGUCUAGUAAUAUCCUAUAGGCUUGAUGGGUUAGGGAGCAUCCCUUUGUGAAAAAAUUUCAUUCAAUUCUUAGUUGUAUUACGCAUAUAUAAAAUGCCUCAUUGUUUUAAUGGUAUUCAGUCGUGGCAUCACAGAUAUGGGCAUCUAAAUUUUAAAAGUUUGAAACUUUUGUAAAGCAUGUUGAUAAAAUCCAUGAGAGUUGUGUACUUGGGAAGCAACAUCGAGGUGACUUUAUUUUUUUUUCCUUUUAUAAUGCCACACCUAAGUCCGGUUUCUAAAUGCUAAAGUGAAAGGGUAGGUAUGGACCAUUGAAAUGUGAUCACAACUUUUGGCCUUUUCCUUUCUCUGCAGCCAUGUUGUCUCUUUUUUCUUUUGCAUGAUUUUCUUACCAAAACAGAAUCAUAGACUUGUUUAGUCUCUAAGCUACUAUAUUAUAUCUCGGUGGACUUUUAAGAGUGCAACCGACAUAGAGCACAUGCAAGUGGGCAUAUGGGACAUGAAAUUUCUUCUUACAAAGAUUGCAUGAUUUUUAUAUUAGAGUUGUUCACGUGCAAUGUAUUUAGCUUGUUUUGCAGUUAAAUUAAUUGGAUAAGUAAACAUUGGCAUUUCUAAAUCGACUGUGAAGUGCUUCAUGUACGUGUAAAGUAUUAGAAAUUUCUUUCUUGGCAACUUGUUUUUUCCUUGCCAUCUACUGGUAGGUUUGACUAAAAUUAUAUUCCCUGUCAUGCUAAUUAAUUUUCAUGUGCAUGCUCAAAAGAAGAGUAUGACCUUAGUGCACCAAAAUCACUUUGAUUAAUUUGUGAUAGGUUUUUUUGCAUCAUUUAGAUAAUGUUUAGUUCUAAGAAAAAUUUAUAUAAAAAUGGUUUAUUUAUCUUACAUAUAUAUAUAUAUAUAUAUAUUUUUUUUUUUUUCAUUUUUUUUUCUUCUAUUUUAUUUAUUUAUUUUAUUUUCCUUAUGUUUUCCUCACAUUUUCCGGAACUAAACAUAGUCUUACGAAAUCAACAAUUGCCUUCAACUGAGUAGAUUCUGUUGUUUUAGCAAUGUUAGGCUGCUAACUUGUGGUGGUACGAACCAAAUGACCCAUGUUAAUCUUGGCUUGGUUUGAUUUGGCUCUAUCUCAGAGAGCUAAAGGAUCACGUCAACUCUGGUUUCUACUAUUCAGGUCCAUUCCCAGAUGAACUGGUUCAAAUUUGAGAAAAUGGUAACAGACCUUUAGUGAUGUUGGUUUGGAGCCAGUUGCCAAACCCGCCCUGAGCUUUACCACUAAUGUCAAGGGAGAAAGCCAUUUGAACAAAAACAAUAGCUUCAAGAGACUGAAUCGUGGAUGAAAUCUGAUCCACAUUUCUUCUCAUUUUGGGAAAAAAUGAGAACUUAACUACAAAGAUUCUACUGCCUCAUUCAUAGUGCUUUUCCUGAUCCAAGGUUGGUUCGUUUCCCAAAUUGUGAGGUGCACGUGCCACUCUCACGCUCAGGAGUGUAUCCACGUGGUGGACAUCAGAUGGUGGCUUAAUAUCUGGUGUCGGUGGCUUUACUUUACUAGGAGAGUAGUGUGUCUUCAUCUCAUUCACUGCCGGAGGGUGGCGUAAGCAGUGACGCUAAGGUGGGGCACAGUCAAUAUCAUUUGCAUUUGACCAUUAUAGUUUUCUCCCGGCUUGAAAGUAACCUUAUCGUGAUAAAGGAUUACUAGCACUAGUUCAGAUGACCGUCAUGUUAAUUCGGACCAUGUUUGUGUCACAUUAUCAGCAACCAUGUGUUUAUGGUUCAUGCUAUCUGCAACUAAACUUGAUAUAUAACCAGGUGAACUUCAAUCAAAAUUCUGGAAGUACUCUUGUGAUAGAUGGUGCCUGUCUGCAGAGUCCAUCAAUUGAAAAAUGGAGUGAGUGUAUCUAUAAGAGGGAAGGCUUGGCAAAUGUUCAGUUUUCUGGGAAUUCAACAAGGAUCUAAAAUAGAUUGUUUUCUUUGCCGACUUCAAUGGUUGAAAUUUGAGAAGAUUGUGUCCACAUAUCACAACUAUUACUGGUCCUUCUGUUGCAAUUUAUCCUGUAAGGCUCUAACAUGUCUUCCAAUUCCCACUUCCCUGUUACUCCAGGAAAGCUAUUUCUGUCAUUGUGAAGAAGAAAAGAGAAUGUACAUAUCGAUGCUUUUAAGUGACUGGAGCAUUCAUAUCAGGUGGUCUGCAGCCAUAUAUGCCACUUUGUGAAGGUUGGAACAGUCAAUCACUAGGCUAUAUAUUGGUGUGGCCCAGCCACUUCAAUCAAGGACAAGUCUUCAUACUUAAAGUCAAAUUCUGCCUUUAGUCUCAUUAUAAAUUGCUGUUUAAAUAUUAAGCAAACUUUUGUUUAAUGCGAUUAAGACAGUACUAACUCAAUACUUGUUCUAUUUUUGGAUGCAAAUGCUUGAUGGUUUCAUCAUUGGAUGGGAUAAAGGUGCAUUCAUGAUUAUGAAUACUUGUAGUUAUAUUUUCAUUCUCUUUUUUCUCAAUGAGACUUGUUGGCACAAUGUUGCUGUUCAGAAACCUACCUCUCCAUGGAAAAUAAGUUGCGAUUGAUAGUACUGGAUAUGUUCAAGAAAGCUAAAUAUAGAUAGCACAAAAUAUUAUCGAUAUAAAUAGCAUUAACAGCGUACGUAUGUCUCAAUGCUCAUCAGCUAUAAGCAUGGGACAAACACUUACUAUGAGCAACUUACGUCAAAAUUCCAGAAUAGGACAUAGAAGUGACAGAUCUAUAUAUAUAGAACACUGCAUAUGAGUCACAAGAAAGGAAAUUACGGGUGCAUAGCAGCUCUUAUUUUACAUACUACUACUCAUACUGAUCAAAGUCACUCAGUUGGGAUGGGUGGGAGUAGGAGGUUUGUGGGGUGGCUUGUGCGGAGGAGUUGGCAGCUUCUUUCCAGGACCUGGUUGCUUCUCUGCUGGAGUUGAAGGAGGCUUAAUCUUCCGAGGUGGCUUGUAUGAGUCUUCAGCAUUCUCAGCUGGAGGGUGACCAGGGUUGUGACCAUAAUGUGGUGGCUUCUCUCCCUUAGGUGGUUUGCCAACUGGGGUUGGUGGCUUGUAUGAGUCUUCAGCAUUCUCAGCAGGAGGGUGACCAGGGUUGUGACCAUAAUGUGGUGGCUUCUCUCCCUUAGGUGGUUUGCCAACUGGGGUUGGUGGCUUGUGUUCUGGGAGUGGCUUCUCCCCCUUGGGAGGUUUUUCCAAUGGGGUUGGUUUGUGUUCAGGAGGUGGCUUCUCCACUGGAGGCUUGUGUUCAGGAGGUGGCUUCUCCACCGGUGGCUUGUGUUCAGGAGGUGGCUUCUCCACCGGAGGCUUAUGCUCUGGUGGUGGCUUCUCCACCGGAGGCUUAUGCUCUGGUGGUGGCUUCUUGAAUGGGGGAUGCUGAGGGUAAUCAGCAAGUGAGGGGGCGGUGAGAACCACCAGGCCAAGCAACACCACUAGCAAAUAUGUAGGAGACAUCUUUGGGUUUGGGCUCAGAUGGUGCAAAACUAGGAGAAUUGGCUAGCCUUUUAUAGCGGAUCGUACUCAAUAAUGAAAUGACACGUGUCAUUAUGACCCAUGUGUAAUGGGGUCGAUUUGGGUCCUACAGUGUUGAAAACUUCGACAUCCAGUUUUGGCCUUUUGCUUUCUCUACAGCCGCCUUGCUUUUUCCCUCUUUCCUUUUGUUUUCCUCCUGCCCCAUUCUAUCAACUAAACACAAUUAUGUAGUUGUUUAAUUCUUAAAUGAGAUAUUAUCGGUCAAUCGUAUUAUAUUUUAUCAAGAGAGAACGGAGUGCAAUGCAGCUGUAAUUUUAUCGUUUACUUUUAUCUCUUGGACCACUGCAUUUUUGUUAAGAGGUGCAAUAAUACACGUCUUUAUCUGCCAUUCAAUGUUUACAGUAAAGAGAGGGCACAAAACUCUUCACUGCUCUGCAUGUGUCCCAAAAAUGCGAUUGGACAAAUUAUGAUUUGCAUGCUAAAAAGAGGCAAAUGAGGUUAAUUCGCACCAUAAUUAUUUGGUUUUCUGGACACCAUAAAAAGAUGUUAUACAGGCAGGGAAAAACCUUCAGAGUUAGCUACCAAAGAUAAUUAUCAAGCAGAUAUCACCAAGAGAAUUCCAUAGAGUCUGAAUCAAAGACAGAUUGCUCGCUCGUGGGGGUUCUUACUUUCUUUUGGGUAUAACUCACUGAGGUCACUGUCUUUUUUAUUUGCAUUUCACAGUUAGAGUUCUGCUCUGGAAGGUUUGUUCUGGAAACAUAUAAAAGGAGCAUCAUUUUGUUCUUGGGUAACCCAUAGUCGUGAGUGGGUCCAUUUGCAUGCUACUUAGUUGAAAAGUUGGACAAUUUGCUCCGACGCCUACCUCCUGGAUUCCAUGCUCGGUAAAACAAGAAUAAAAAAAAAUAUAUAAUUUACAAAUGGGGGAAAGAAAAAAUGUCGGAAAAAAUAGUAAAAUUCAUGUCACAUGCUAGUGAGAGAAGGGGUUGUUACACUCACUCGAAGUUCUUUUCAAAAUAUCGAAUGGUAUUUUACUUUAUGUGUCAGCGCAGUUGUGAAUGGAACGUGCAAAAGUCCAAAUUGGCGUUUUUAUUUUUCCCAUGUAGGAUGGUGACCUUUAAUAAAUAUUUAAAACAAAAGACGAAAAAAAAAAGGAGGGAAAAGGGAUCACAAAAGAUAAAAUAAUGUUUACAAAAGCUCAAUUAGUUUGCAAAUUACUGUUUGGAUUUUGAUAGUAUUUUAUUUGUCGUUCUAUAUUUGAUGUAAAAGAGAAUUUAAGAUAUUUCCGAAGCAAAAGCAUUAGUUUGCUCUGUGAUGUCCCACAUCGAAUAGGGGAGAAAGUUUCUGGCGCUAUAUAUGUAGAGGCUCCUCUUAACCAAGUAGAUGCGUUUUAAAACCAUGAGGGCCCCCUUAGGUCCAAAGCGGACAAUAUCUACAUGAUUGGGUGUAAGUCAUUACAAAUGGUAUCAGAGCCGAUCCCCGACCCCGGUGUGGGGGUUUGUUUGGCCCUGUAAGGGGUGUUUGUCUGUUUGACCCCACAAUCCCAUGGGACACAACGAGGACGUUGUGUCUGCAUGGGGGGGCGUUUGUGAUGUCCCACAUCGGAUAGGGGAGAAAGUUCCUAGUGCUAUAUAUGUAGAUGUUUCUCUUAACCAAGUAGAUGCAUUUUAAAAUUGUGAGGGCCUCUUUGGGCCCAAAGCGGACAAUAUCUACAUGGUUGAGUGUAAGUCAUUACAUGCUCCAUGUCAAUUUCAGCAUUUCUCAUAUGUUUCACACAUACACAGAAGAGCAUCGUUUUUUAAAGCAUGCAUUUAUGUUGGAUUAAUUUGGAUUUUGUGGGAACUGGGGCAAGGAUCACAUGGAAGAGAGGUUGACUUUUUUCAGUACUUCAAUGGUUGAAAUAUGUGAAGGCUUGAUUGAUACUAAAGCUUGAAAUUGCGACUCUGUCAUUUGUAAAAAAAUAUGACAGCUUCCAUGCUCUCGUUUGGUUGCAUUGUCCGGUCGAGAGGUGCAAAAAGCAUUCUCUCUCUUCUAAUAGUCUUUUCGUUUAAAUCAAGGGAUUUGCCUUCCCGGUCGAGGUCCAAUAGAGGGUAACGGUCACCUACUAAACAUUAAAUGCUCCAACAACUAGUGAACUGAUCGACCCCAGCUCGACUAGUUGAGGUUACUUUUUGGUUUUCUUGUCUCCCGAGGUUAGAAACCUAUAAAUAGAGAGCUUCACUUCAUUUAUGAGUAAGAGAACACCUAAAUUUAUUUGUUUACCUACUUGUUUUUGCCAUAAAAGCUCUCAUUUCUUUUCUUGGUGUAUUAAAUCUCCAUUUGCAUAUCCUUUAGUGCACCUUUGUGAUUCAUUCUAGCCUUGAGUUGUAUUUAAGCCUUUGUUGAGCUAGGUUGAGAGUUUCAUACUUGUUUAUUGAGUGUUAAAGCCUUCAAGUGAGUUAAAACUUGAAGAGAUUGUGUAAGAGCCCAUUGGAGUCGGAAUCCAAGUGUAAAGGUGAUUAAAAGCUUGGUUGAAGCUUCAAGUUAGUGGAACUCUCACUCGGUUAUGAGCUUGAGAAGAGUGGACAUAGACAAGGCAGUGUCGAACCACUAUAAAAUCUGAGUUUGAUUUCUCUAACCUUAUCUCUUUAUAUUUGCUUCUCUUGUGCUUAAAUUUUUUGUGUUUAAAAAGAAUUUUUAAAAACUCAAUUCACCCCCUUCUUGGGAGUUUUUCUCUUUUAAGAUCAGCUUUUAUUUUCUCAAUUGGUAUCAGAACUAUGCCUCUUGUUUAAGACUUAAUCGUCUAAGAGGAAAUGGCUAAUCCAUCAAGUUCAUCUCACAUUGAAAGUUUUGCAACCAAUAGACUUCUUUUUUUUUUUUUGCGGGAACUGAUUAUCCCUAUUGGAAAACUAAAAUGACUUGGUUUUUACAAUCAAUUGAUUUAGAUGUAUGAGAUGCCAUUGAAGAUGACCUAACUUUUCCUUCAAAACUAGUUGAUGGAGUCAUGGUUCCAAAACCUAAGCAAGAAUGGGAUGAGCGUGAUUGAAGAAAUUUUCAAUUAAAUGCUAAAGUCGUUUAUACUUUGCAAUGCUCUAUGGACAGAAAUGAAUAUAAUAGAAUAUGUCAAUGCAAAUCGGUUAAAGAAAUUUGGAGAUUGCUUGAAAUAACUCAUAAAGGAACAAAUCAAGUUAAAGAGUCAAAAAUCAAUUUACUUGUUCAUAGAUAUGAAUUGUUUUUUAUGAAAGAUAAUGAAACUAUUGUUAAGAUGAUCACUAGGUUCACCAACAUUGUUAAUGGUCUUAAAGCCUUGGGAAAGACCUACAAGGAAUCCGAAAACGUGAUGAAGAUCUUGAGGUCACUUCCAUCAAAGUGGCAUACCAAGGUCACCGCAAUUUAAGAAGCAAAAGACUUGAUCAAGCUACCUUUGGAGGAGUUCAUAGGGUCAUUGAUGACAUAUGAAAUCAAUUUGGCAAAGAAGUAACAAAAAGGUGAAGACAAAAAGAAGAAGAACAUAACUCUCAAAGCUACAACUAAGGAAGAAGAAGUUGAAGAAGAAAAACAAAUUGAAGAAGAUGAAGAUUUAGCCCUCAUCACAAGAAAGUUCAACAAAUUCAUGAGGGGUGAAAGGUUUAGAAGAAGAAGGUUCACUUCUAGAAGAGACUUUUCUAAAAAGGAAUCUUCAUCUAAUGGUGACAAAAAGAGAUGGGAAGAGAAAAGAGACUUGGUGUGUUUCAAGUGCAAGAAACCGGGACACAUUAAAUAUGAUUGUCCUCUCUACAAAAGUGAAGUCAAGAGGAAAAAGAAUAAGGCAAUGAUGGCCACUUAGAGUGAAAGUGAAGAUGAAUCAUCCGAAGAAGAAAAUGAGAAAGAAGUGGCAAACAUGUGUUUCAUGGCAAUAGAUGAACUUGAUGAGGUAAAAUCUAACCUUAGUGAUUAAGAUAUACAUGAUGCAUUUGAAGAAUUGUAUGAGGAUUUUUAAAAACUUAGUUUGAAAAAUAUUUCUCUUAAAAAGAAAGUUCAACAACUUGACAAAGAACUUAGAGAAGUAAAAGAAAAAUUUUCAAAUGUUAAAGUUUCUAAAACUCAUCUUGAAAAAGAAAAUGAGAUUCUAAGAAAGAAAAAUGAAUAGUUGAACUCCUCUCUUUCAAUCUUUUCUUCUAGACAAAAAUCUUUUGAAAUGAUUCUAACUAGCUAAAAAUGUGUUUUUGACAAACAAGGGUUAAGAUUUAAAUCUUCAAAAAAUCAAAAGUAUUUUAAAAACUAUUUUGUAAAGGAAUCCACAAGUGCAAGUCCUUCCACUACUUGCAACUUUUGUGGAAGAGAAUGGCACAUUAGUAGUACGCCCUUUAAGAAAUGGUUCUCAAAAGAAUUUAAAUGCAAAAACUAAAAAAGAUUUGGAUUGAGAAAUCCAAGGUCACUAACCCUCAAGGACCCAAAAAGAUAUAGGUACCUAAAUCAACUUGAGUUUUAUGUUGUAAGGUUCAAAGAAUGAUAAGUGGUUCUUAGAUAAUGGUUGCUCAAGACACAUGACCGGAGAUGAAUCCAAGUUUGCUUUUCUUAAAAAGAAAAAUGGAGGAUAUGUUACCUUUGGAGACAAUGCAAAAGAAAGGAUGAUUGGUCAAGGCAACAUUGGUAAUGGCACAUCCUCUCUCAUUGAAAGUGUUUUAUUAGUAGAUGGUUUCAAACAUAACCUUUUAAGCAUUAGUCAAUUUUGCGACAAAGGUUUUUAAGUGAUUUUUUAAGCAUCUCAUUGCAUCAUCAAGGAUAUUCAAAAUGAUAAAACCAUUUUCAUGGGCCAUAGAUGUGAUAAUGUUUAUGCUAUAAAUAUUUCAAAAUAUGAUGGCCAUGAUAGAUGUUUUUCAAGCAUGCAUGAUCAAAGUUGGUUGUGCCAUAGGAGAUUGAGACAUGCUAACAUAGACCUCAUUUCCCAACUCAACAAAGAUGAACUUGUUAGAGGCCUUCCCAAAAUAAUUUUUUAAAAAGAUAAAGUUUGUGAAGCUUGUCAAGUGGGAAAGUAAAUCAAAAACUCUUUUAAAAACAAAAACUUCAUUUCCACAUCUAGGCCACUUGAGUUGUUGCAUAUGGAUUUAUUUGGUCCCUCUAGGACACCAAGUCUUAGAGGAAAUUCUUAUGCAUAUGCUAUUGUGGACGACUUCUCUAGAUACACAUGAGUCUUGUUUUUUAGUCAAAAGAAUAAAGUUUUUUAUGAGUUUUCAAAGUUUUGCAAUAAGAUUCAAAAUGAAAAAGGUUUUUCAAUUACUUAUAUAAGAAGUGAUCAUGGGAGAGAAUUCGAAAAUAUUGAUUUUGAAGAGUAUUGCAAUGAGCAUGGAAUUGACCACAAUUUUUUGGCUCUUAGAACUCCUCAACAAAAUGGGGUAGUUGAAAGGAAAAAUAGAACUCUUCAAAAAAUGACAAGAACCAUACUAAAUGAAAACAACUUACCAAAAUAUUUUUAGGCCAAAACGGUUAACACUUCUUGUUAUGUUUUAAAUAGAGUAUUAUUGAGGCUCAUACUUAAGAAAACUCCCUAUGAGCUUUGGAAAAACAAAAAACCCAACAUUAGUUAUUCCAAAGUCUUUGGAUGCAAUAUUUUAUAAUAAACACCAAAGACAAUCUUGGAAAAUUUGAUGCAAAAUUGGAUGUUGGAAUUUUCCUUGGUUACUCAACUUCAAGUAAAGCUUUUCGAGUUUUAACAAAAGAACCAUGGUUGUAGAGGAGUCCAUCCAUGUUAUUUUUUAUGAAUCUCCAAGAAAGAGAGAGGAUUGAUGAUGAUUUAGGUUUGAAGACCUCUAUAGGAAGAUUGCAAAUCGAAGAUAGAAGACAACAAGAAGAAAAUGGAGAGAAUCCAAAGAAAGAAGGAUCACCAUUGGCACUACCCCCUCAUCAACAAGCGCAAGGUGAAUCAAGUCAAGAGCUUCCUAAAGAAUGGAAGUUUGUCAUCAAUCACCCACAAGAUCAAAUUAUAGGCAAUCCAUCUAGUGGGGUAAGAACUAGAUCCUCUCUUAGAAAUAUUUGCAAUAAUCUAGCUUUUAUCUCUCAAAUUGAGCCUAAAAAUAUAAAUGAUGUUUUAGAUGAUGAAAAUUGGAUAAUUGCAAUGCAAGAAGAGUUAAAUCCAUUUGAAAGAAGUGGAGUAUGGGAAUUAGUACCAAGACCUUCAAAUCAAAGUGUUAUUGGAACUAGAUGGAUCUUUAGAAAUAAAAUGGAUGAAAAUAGCAUAAUUGUUAGAAAUAAAGCAAGAUUGGUAGCCCAAGGUUUUAAUCAAGAAGAAAUGAUAGAUUAUGAAGAAACCUUUGCCCCCGUAGCUAGGUUGGAAGCCAUUAGGAUGCUACUUGCCUUUGCAUGUUUUAAAGACUUUGUUUUAUAUCAAAUGGAUGUGAAAAGUGCUUUUUUAAAUGGUUUUAUAAAUGAAGAAGUAUAUGUUGAACAACCACCCGGUUUUCAAAGUUUCAACUUUCCUAACCAUGUUUUUAAACUUAAAAAGACACUUUAUGGUUUGAAACAAGCACCUAGAUCAUGGUAUGAAAAAUUGAGUAAAUUUCUUUUGAAAAAAAUGUUUUAAAAUGGGAAAAAUUGACACAACUCUUUUUAUAAAAACCAAAGAAAAUGAUAUGCUCUUAGUUCAAAUAUAUAUUGAUGAUAUCAUUUUUGGUGCUACUAAUGUCUCUCUUUAUGAAGAAUUUUCUAAGUGCAUGCAUAGUGAGUUUGAAAUGAGCAUGAUAGGAGAACUCAACUUCUUCCUUGGACUUCAAAUCAAGCAACUAAAGGAAUGAACCUUCAUCAAUCAAGCAAAGUAUAUAAGAGAUCUUCUCAAAAGGUUCAACAUGGAAGAAGCCAAAACAAUGAAGACUCUAAUGAGCUCAUCCAUUAAGCUUGAUAAGGAUGAGAAAGGUAAAUCCAUUGACUCUAUUAUGUAUAGAGGCAUGAUAGGUUCUUUGCUCUAUUUGACCACUAGUAGACCUUACAUUAUGUAUAGUGUGUGUUUGUGUACUAGAUUUCAAUCUUGUCUUAAAAAAUCUCACUUAAGUGUCGUGAAAAGAAUCCUCAAAUAUUUGAAAGGGACAAUGGACAUAGGCUUAUGGUAUCCUAAGAGUGAUAACUUUGAAUUAAUUGGUUUUUUGGAUGCUGAUUUUGUCAGUUGUAGGGUUGAAAAAUAAAACACUAGUGGCACUUUUCAUUUCUUAAGACACUUACUUGUCUCAUGGCAUAAUAAGAAGCAAAAUUUGGUAGCUUUGUCAACAGCAGAAGCUAAAUACAUAGCAACUGGUUUAUGUUGUGCACAAAUCCUUUGGAUGAAAUAAACACUUAGUGAUUUUGAUUUAUCUUUUGAGCAUAUUCCUAUUAAAUGUGAUAAUAGUAGUGCCAUAAGUAUAUCAAAAAAUCUCGUGCAACACUCUAGGACUAAGCAUAUAGAGAUUAGACAUAAUUUUCUUAGAUAUCAUACACAAAAGGAUGAUAUAACACUUGAAUUUGUAAGCAUAAAAGACCAACUUGCCGAUAUCUUUACAAAACCUCUAAGAACAUUUUGUUGAUAUUAGAGGACAAUUAGGAGUGAUUUCUUUAUGAUCUAAUGUGAUGAAUUCUUGAUGAAUAUACUUUUUGAUUGCAUGAAUUUCAUGUCAUAUAUGCAUCAUAUAGAAAUAUACUUAGAUAAUGGUCAAAUUUCGACCAAAAAUCAAAAUUCCCAUGGCAUUAGGCAUAAAAAUUUUGGAAUUUCAACUGAAAAUGGUAGGAGGAGGAUCACAAAAUGAGAAAGUAUGCAAAAAUUGAAAAAUCAAAACGUUGACCAAGCGGUCAAUCGGACUAGACCGAUCGACUAGUUUGUCGAGAUUUAGGAUUUUUAAGAGACUCCAACGCUUCAAUUUUUGCACCGUUCUCCUCUAUUUCUUCACGGUUUCUCUGAUUUUGUCUUUUAGAGACUAAUUUGAGUGCGUUUUGGAUCAAUUGAAGCAUUUUGGAUUGGAUUUUAGGAAGAUUGAAAGUUAAGGUUUCGGAUUUGGGUCGCCUUCUCUUCCUCUCGCGUGUCACAAUCAGCUUUAGCAUUGUUCUCUUUCCAUUUUCACACACCUAGGGUUUCAGUUGUGAGCAUCUCUCUCUCUUUACCAACCACUACUCCCUUGCUUCUUCCAUAUGGCUCCUAGGCGAGAGUCCGCUACUUCUAGGGCACAAGGCAAGCACCCAACUGAGUCGUCUCAGUCAAAGGCACGUCGAAAAGUGAGAUUUGACAUUGCCUUGUUCAGUUCCAUGGAGGACUACCAACUAUACAAGCAACACUUUGCUUAGAGACGAGUAGUUCCCAAGAGAAAUAUUAAUUUUCCUCAACUUCAGCAUUUCGAAUUUAAGGGUCUAUUUACUAGGAUGGUUGGUUGUCUAUUGUCACAAUUUCGGAGCCGGUUUUCCUGACCUUAGUGCGAGUUUUUUACUCGAGGGCGACUUAUGGCAUGGGUGGCAUGAUCAUUUCUACUGUUGGAGGAGUUGAGAUCUGUCUGGACCCAGAGAGCAUCUGCCAUAUUUUCGAUAUUGCUCUGGUUGGACUCAAAGUAUACAAGUCCAAAAUGUGGCCCAUUGUGCCAGGAUUUGAGCUUAGAGAGGUCAUUCAGAGGAUUUGUGAACUUCCAGACGCCCAGGAGAUGGGCAAACCAUUGCCACACAGUUUGACGGUCAUCAACAGGGUGCUACACCAUAUAUUGUGCUCUAUCUUUCUACCACGAAGUGGACAUUGAGAUGAGGUCUCUUAUUAUGAGGCAUUCCUUAUUGACUCCAUUCUAACGGAGAGACGAAUUCAUCUACUAUGUCAUCAUUCACUAAGCCUCCUCACAGUGACAUACCACCUCAUCAGGCACCUCUUGCUCCUGACCAUGCUCCAUUGAUGGAUUUAUUUACUCAUAUUAGCUCUCUAGGCACUCGCAUGAAGGAGUUUGUUGUAGUUAGUGAUACAUGGUUCUACUCCAUAGAGGAUCGCAUGGAUCAGUAUCAGACUGGCUUCACGUCACAGUUUGAGUAUCUCCAAUAGAGGAUUGAGCAUAUUGAGGAUCACUUGAGCAUGAGAAGAUGAUGGCUUUUCUAUGCUCUGUGUUUCCACCUCCACCUCGUCAACCUUGAUUUCUUAGAGACCCAUUGUUUUCAUUUUGUAAUGUUGCCAAAAGGGGGAGAUAUUUAGGAUCUAGGACUCUAUAGGAGACUUACAUGCAUAUCAUUUUCAUAUCAUUGUUUGGAUCGUACAUAUUGGAUAGUGAUACUUUUUACUUAUAUAUGAUAUGCCUAUAUGUUUCAUGUCUUACAUUGUUUCUUAUUGCAAAUUAUCUCUAACAUGUCUUGAUUAUCUUUUUUUUAACUUCAUAAAUUUUGAUUGUUAACCCAUGAUUGGUUUGAGGGGAAGAUUCUUCUUCUCCUAGAUAACCAAGGUUUGUCAUCAUAAAAAAAUUGGAGAUUGUUAGCCCAAGGGUUCUCCUAAUCAUGUUUUGAUGAUAACAAACCAUGCUUAAGUUACUAAUUGGUUUGAAUUAUAAAGAAUUUCAAGUGUUAAUUUGAAAAUUCAUCAAAGAACCUAAUGGAUGCAAGAUCAAGAUUUUUGGAAGACCUUUAAUCAUAAGAAACAUAUGUAAGAUGAAUGCAUGGGUGCACUUAAGAUUUGCAUAUCAUUUCAUGCAUAUUUGGAAAACACGGUUUAUGCUUUAAAGUUACAUUUCCAUCAAAAUUUGAGAUCCAUCAAAUGAACCUUAGGAAAAAUGUUUUAAAAUUGGCAUAUAAUUUUACCUAAAGACCUUGCCUAAGUGUUAGAAGCAAAAGGACAAAAAAAAUAUAGGUUUUCUGGUCAAAAAUGGUGAACCAGUCAAGGCAUUGUCUAAAUCAGCUCAAUCGGCCAAGGUACCGGUCGAUCGGUUUCCCUUUCCCUGUCGAGAUCUAGUCAAGAGGUACAAAAAUCACAAUCUCUGUCUCUUUCUCUCUUUGUCUAUCUUCCAGUAGUCUUUCCUUCCCGGUCGAGGGAUUUGCCUUCCCGAUUGAGGUCCGAUUGAGAGUAAUAGUCACUUGCCAAAUAUUAAAUGCUCCAACAGUUAGUGAACUGGUCGACCCCCACCUUGCCCAGUUGAGGUUACUUUUUGGUUUUCUUGGCUCCCGAUGUUAGAAACCUAUAAAUAGAGAGUUCCACUUCAUUUAUGAGCAAGAGAACACUUGCAUUUAUUUGUUUACCUACUUGUUCUUGCCUUAAAAGCUCUCAUUUCUUUUCUUGGUGCAUUAAAUCUCCAUUUUGAUAUCCUUUAGUGCACCUUUGUGAUUCAUCUUAGCCUUGAGUUGUAUUUGAGCCCUUUUUUUAGCUAGGUUGAGAGUUUCAUACUUGUUAAUUGAGUGUUAAAGCCUUCAAGUGAGUUGAAACUUGUAGAGAUUAUGUGAGAGUCGAUUGGAGCCGAAAUCCAAGUGUAAAGGUGAUUAGAAGCUUGGUUGAAGCUUCAAGUUAGUGGAAUCCUCACUCAAUUAGGAGCUUGAGGAGAGUGGACGUAGCCAAGGAAGUGUCGAACCACUAUAAAAUUUGAGUUUGAUUUCUCUAACAUUGUCUCUUUAUAUUUGUUUAUCUUGUGCUUAAAUUUAUUGUGUUUAAAAAGAAUUUUUAAAUACCCAAUUCACCCCCCUCUUGGGUGUUUUUCUCUUUUAAAAUUAGCCUUUAUUUUCUCACAAACUAUUGUAGUAUAGUGGUUUUUAGGUGUCAUCCAUUAGGAUGAAUUGUUCUCGGUAAUUAAGGCGUGAAUGAGAGGAGAAUUAAUGAUUGUGAUUAAGUAAAAUUGAUUUGAAAAUUCAUGGUGAAAAAUCAAUUUAACAAUGGUUUCUAAUUGAGAAAAACAAUGAAAUGUGAAAUAAAAUAAAAUUAAUAGGAAAUGAAAUUCUCGAAGUUAGAAUUUUCUAAAAAACAAAUUCCAUGGUGAAUGGAUGUUGAGAUCUAAUUUUCAUCAAGUUAGAUUGAAAACCGAAAUUUUCAUAUAAACUGAUUUUUUAUUUAGUUUUAGGUCUAGAUUUAAUUUCCCUUAAAAUUAGGUUAUUUAAUCCAAGAAAUCAAUUCAAAUCAUAUAUUCAAUUCAUCUUAAAUUAUCUUCCAAUUAUUCACACAAUGCAACUAUUCAAUCUCAUCAAAUCUAGCUUUUAAGAAUUUAAUGAAUCUACCUAGUUUGCAUUGUAAUAGUCAUCCAUGACAAUUUGAAGAGAAAAAUAAUUCAAUUAAUCAAUCACUUGGAUCAAAUUACCUUUGCAAUUAAAGUUCAUUUCUCUAAUUCACCACAGAUUUUGUCUCUAGAUCCUCCUUUCUCAAAGAAAAAUGAGAUUUAGCCACACAUGAUUGGAGAUUUGGUCUCAUAAGGCAUGUUUAGCUAGUGAUAAAAUGAGAGAAAAUAAAGAAAAAUAGAGAAUUCGAUUAAGAAAGAAAAUCUAAAAAAUUCUACAAUUAGAAAUGUCCAAAAAGCUUUUUCAUGAGAAAAUCAAGUUUCUAUUUAUAGGCCAAGGUCAAGUGGACACUUGACAUCAUCUAAGAGGUCUUCCGGAAGCUUCUUCAUCAAGAAAUCUGGAGUUUAAUAAUAAAAUGGUCAUUUCACAAGAGCUCAAACAAUUUCGCAUGAUUAUGUGAAAUAAAAAAUGCAACAACAGCAAUUUACAUCUUCUUGGAGCAUUUCGCAUGACUGUGUGAAAUUUUCACAUGAUCAUGUGGAAUCGACUUGACAACUCUCAUUUAGCCUACAACAUAAUUCCACCUUUUGGUCCAUUUUUCAUAGUCAUGCGAAAUGGAAAUAUUUGAUUUUUAAGUUUUCUUUUGUCAUUUCUUUCAUUUCCUUCUCUUGAUUCCACUUCAACUACCUCCGAAUCCUGGUCCAAACCAAUUGCAUUACUUCUUUCAUUAUGCAUUUGGAUCAUCAUCAACAUUAUUUGUUCUCUUCAAUUUGAUUCAUCUCUUUUGUCACCAAUUUAUCAAAAUCAUACCUUGAAAUGACUCCAAAACUUCAUAAAACUUGUUAGUAACUCUUGCAAGGGCAACAACAUAUUAAUUAAGUGUUUUAGGCAUAGUUACUACUCAAAAGAUGCGAAACUCAUGAUAAUUAUUAUAUAAAAUAUGCUCUUUUUGAGUAGUAAUCAACUUUCUUGCAUAAGCAGACCUUUUAGGGUGGAGUACUAAAGACCAAUAUGCUUGUCCUUGUUGUAAUAAAGAAACUUGCUCUUAUUGAUUGCACCAUGGGAGAAAAUUUUGCUACAUGAGUUAUCAUCAAUUUCUUCCCACCAAUCAUAGAUUUAGACGUGACAAGAGGCCUCUUAAUGGCAAGGAGGAACUGACACUCACACUUAUACAAUUAUCGGGCAUUGAUGUGUUGCAACAAUUAGAAUAACUUACACCAAUUAUGUUGGGGAAGUCACAAAAGGCAAACAUGAAAACUAAAAGGAAAAAAGAAAAAUGUUACAUAUCACCACAACUGGAAAGAAAAAAGUAUUUACUUUCAUUUGCCAUAUUGGAAAGCACUUAUUUUACAUCAUAAUAAUUUAGACAUAAUGCAUAUUGAGAAAAAUGUGUGACAAUAUAAUUGAGACAUUGUUCAGUAUUGACGAAGAAACAAGGACAACCUAAAUAGUCAUCUCGAUUUACAAGCUCUAACUAUUAGAAAUGAGAUUCACCCAAUAGAAAGCAGGACCAAAUUUAUUUUGCUUGCAACAUGCUACUCACUCACCCCAAAUGAGAUUAAGGAAUUUUGCAAGUUUUUGAAAUCAAUAAAGGUCCCCAAUGGCUAUUCUUUCAAUAUCUCUCGUUAUGUGCAACUCAAUGAAAGGAAGAUAUAUGAGCUCAAAUUGUAUGAUUGUCAUGUCCUAAUGCAACAACUUCUCUCACUUGUAGUUCGUGGAGUUCUACAUAAGAAUGUUUGUGGAGUUAUCAUAGAAUUGCGUAAUUUUUUCAAGCAAUUGUGCUCAAAGGUGUUAGAAACAAAUCACUUACACCAACUUGAGAACAAUAUUAUUGUCAUACUAUGUAAAAUGGAGCAAAUAUUUCUUCCAUCAUUCUUUGAUAUUAUGGUGCAUUUACUUGUGCAUCUAGUAAGGCAAAGGUUGCAAGACUUGUGCAAUAUUGUUGGAUGUACCUAAUUGAACGAUAUUGUUAUAAUUUCAUAUGAAUCAUUUAAUUUUAUUUUAUAUUAUGUUCAGUUCAUUAACAUGUACAUUGGUCUACAUAUGGAUGAUGAUAGGUACCUAAGCACUUUAAAGUCAUAUGUGCGUAAUAGAACUUUUCUAGAAGGUUCUAUUGUAGAAAGGUACCUUGCAAAAGAAUGUACAACAUUUUAUUCUAGGUACUUGAAUGAUGUGGAAAUAAAGUAUAAUCACAAUGAUAGAAACUUUGUUGGUUUCAACACUAGAGGAGAUGAAAGGGGUUAUCUUUAAACAUAUUGGACAUGCAUUGGGAAAGCCCAUAUUUCAUUAACUUAGUUCAAAAGAGUGGUCACAAGCACAUUUAUAUGUGUUGACAAAUUGCGAAGAUGUCAUACCAUUCAUUGAGUAAAAAAUUUAUUUGAAUUUUAAUUAAAGCUCUAGUUUAUAUCCUUAAUCAAUGUUUUUUAAAUUCACAAGGAGCACAAGCAAACCAUCAAGGCUAGACCACAUAUACGUGUUUGAGACGUAGAUUUAAUUCAUAACAAGGAAUUUAUCAAGUGGUUUGAAAGACAUGUAAGUAUAUUCCUUAUUAUAAGGGAUUUAUUUCACAUUAUGUUUAUAUUGAAUCCAAACCUAUUAUUGAAUUGUAGGUUGAACAAUUACAUAAUGAAGGUCAUAUAUCUGAACACCUUCUCACAUUAUCAUGUGUUCCAAAUUCAUUAGUUACAUGCUUCAAAUGAUAUAUUGUCAAUGGAUUUAGAUCCCACAUUAAAGAACGUGAUAAAAAAGUUUUUAAAAAAAGACUCAGAAUAAUGGAAUUGUUGUAGUUGCAAAAACGUCAAGCUUUACAAGUGCAUGUGAUAUGAGUCCAAUUAUUAGUGAUGCUCUCUACUAUGGUGUUCUAACUAAAGUUGUUGAGUUACAUUAUCUUGGUGAAAAUAAGGUUGUUUUAUUCGAGUUUGAUUGGUGGGAUGUUACAAAUAUUGGAAAAUUGAUAAAAGAUGAUGAGUACAAUUACACAUUUGUUAACUUUGCAUGAAUUCUAACCACGAACGAACGAUUUGUACUUGCAUCUCCAGCAAAGUAAGUGUUCUAUGUGAAGAAUGCGAAUGAAUCAGAUUGGCAUACUAUCAUGGAGAUGCAACCUCAAGACCUCUAUAAGAUGAACGGGAUAGGAUCCAAUGGUGAUUUUGAACCAUUUCAACAAAGUGAACUACAUGAUCACUAAUAUAUCUCAGAUUUAGUUGAUGAAGAUAUAAUCAAGUGGAACAAAAGUGAUGUUUUAGGACUAAUCAUCCUAAAAAAUAUUGUAGUUUCUUAAAAAAAAAAUGAAAAUGAAGAAGAUAAUUGAACCUUUGUCAUACUUUAAAAAGCAACUAUGCAUUGUUCAUUUUGUAUGUUUUGGUUUUCUUCAUUUAAUUUCCUGAUUUUUGUGAUUCAAUGUCAUAUUAUUGAUCUUGAAAUAUUUUUCUAAUUUUUCAUUCUACGAUGGUUUCAACAAGGAUGACAUCAAGUCAAAAAAGGAAAUGUGGUCCCACACACAAUAUUGCAUUACAGGGAUUAAGGUCAGGGAAGAAGGUAAAAGUUGCAUUUAAUGAGUACAAUCAAUUGGUUAAACAGAAAAAUGGAAAACACUUAUCGAGCUACAUAGGGACACUUGUAUCUAACCAACACAAUGUACCUCUCCAAGCUAGUGAUUGGAAAAAUGUUCCAAAUGAUGCAAAAGAGAAAGUAUGGCCUUUGUUUUGGUAUGUUGUAUUUCUCACUAUAUGAUGUCAUUUCACUGUUAUUCUAUUUUGUGACUAACGUUUGAAUCAUAUGUAAGAAAAAUUUGAAGUAGAUAAAGACUGAAAAGAUUACAUGUUGGGUAUAGCCUCAAAUAAAUAUAGAAGCUAUAAAAAUAUGAUGAAUGCAAAAUACUAUGACCCUUGGCAUAAGGAUGCAUGAGGAGAGGUUAAUACAUAAAUCACCAUUUGUCUCUGAUGUUGAUUGGAAGUGGCUUGUCUCUGAUGCAUAAACCAAAUCCCCCACUGAAUGUUUGAUAUUUGAUAGCAGGAAAAACACACCCGCAGCUAUACACCUCCAUCAUUCAGAUAAUUAUAGUGGGGGAGAUGAUUCAUGGUUGCCCUUAUACCCUUUAUUUGCACCAUCUAUUGAGAUUCUUUAUCAUGGCCAGGUUUUACUGCAGCAAUAAGAUAUGGUGGCAACAAUUUUAUCUAUAGGUGCGGUUCCAGACCGCCUCCAUAGGUGCGGUUCCUGACUGCCUCCAUAGGUGCCUCUUCUUGUAAUGUUUGUUCUGGGAAUUACACUUGAAAGCCUUAUCGUGAUAAGGGAUUACAAACACUAGUUCAGAGGACAGCCAUGUUAAACUUCCACUAUGUUUGUGUCACAUUAUCAGCAGCCUAGUGUUUAUUGGUCAUGCUAUCUGCAACUAAUAUAACCCGGUGAACUUCAAUCUAAAUUCUGAAAGUACUCAUGUGACAGAUGGUGCCUUUCAGCAGAUAUCAUCAAUUUAAAAGUAGUGUGUGUGCCUAUAGGUGGGAAGGCCUUGGCAAAUGUUCAGUAUUCCGGUAAUUCAAGAAGGAUAUAUCUAAAAUAGAUUUUCUUCUUGCCCAUUUCAAUAGUUAAAAUUUGAGAAGAUUGUGUCCACAUCACACAAAUAUUAUUGGUCCUUCUGUUGCAAUUUACCUCUGAACAUGUCUUCCAAUUCCCACGGUCCUGUUACUCCAGGAAAACUAUUUCGGUCAUAUUGAAAAAAAAAAUAUUAAAGAAGGUACACAUGCUUUUAAGUGGACUGGGGCAUUCAUAUCAGGUGGUCUGUAUCCACAUAUGCCACUUCGUGAAAGGUGGAACAGCCUAAUCACUAGGCUAUUUAGUGUGGCCCAGCCACGUUAAUCAAGCACAAGUCUUCAUACUUAAAGUCAAAUGGUGUCUUUAGUCUCAUUACACAUCGCUAUUUGAAGAUUAACUCAUCACUAGUGUAAUGCGAUUAAGACAGUCCUAACUCAAUAUUUGUUCUAGUUUUGGAUGCAAAUGCUUGCUGGUUUCAUCAUUGGAUGGGAUAAAGGUGCAAUCAGGACUAUGAAUACGUGCAGUAAUACUUCAUUCUCUUUUUUCUCAAUGAGACUUCUUGGCACAAUUUUGCUGCUCAGCAACCUACCUUUCCAUGGAAAAUCAGUUGUGACUGAUAGUAAUGGAUAUAUUCUAGAAAGCUAAACAUAGAUAGCAUUCAAUAUUAUCGAUAUAACAUUAACAGCGUAUGUCUCAAUGCUCAUCAGCUACAAGCAAUGGACAAACACUUUGAGUAACUCACAGCAGUCAAAAUUCCUAAACAGGACAGACGUGACAGAUCUAUAUAUAGAACACUGCAUAUGAGUCACAGGAAAAGAUAAUACGGGUACAUAGAAGCUCUUAUUUUACAUAUUACUCAUACUGAUCAAAGUCGCUCAGUUGGGAUGGAUGGGAGAAGGAGGUUUGAGGGGUGGCUUGUGCGGGGAAGUUGGCAGCUUCUUUCCGGGAGCUGGUUGCUUCUUUGCUGGAGUUGAAGGAGGCUUAAUCUUCCGAGGUGGCUUGUAUGAGUCUUCAGCAUUCUCAGCAGGAGGGUGACCAGGGUUGUGACCAUAAUGUGGUGGCUUCUCUCCCUUAGGUGGUUUGCCAACUGGGGUUGGUGGCUUGUUUUCUGGGAGUGGCUUCUCUCCCUUGGGUGGUUUGCCAACUGGGGUUGGUGGCUUGUGUUCUGGGAGUGGCUUCUCCCCCUUGGGAGGUUUUUCGAAUGGGGUGGGUUUGUGUCCUGGUGGUGGCUUCUCUCCCUUGGGAGGUUUACCAAUUGGGGUCGGUGGCUUGUGUUCUGGGAGGGGCUUCUCUCCCUGGGGAGGUUUAGUGGGUGGCUUGUGUUCUGGAGGUGGCUUCUCCACCGGAGGCUUAUGCUCUGGUGGUGGCUUCUCGAAGGGGGGAUGCUCAGGGUAAUCACCAAGUGAGGGGGUGGUGAGAACCACCAUGCCAAGCAACAACACUAGCAAGUAUGUAGUAGACAUCUUUGGGUUUGGACUCAGACAGUGCAAAACUACGAGAAAUCGCUAGCCCUUUAUAGCGGCUCGGACCUAAUACUGACAUAAUAUAAAAUAAAUAUUAUAUUUUAUCAAGAGAGAACAGAGUGUAAUUUUAUCAUUAAUACCGAUCGAGGCCAAAGAAAGAAGACCCAUAAUCCAUUUCCCACAAGCAUACACAAUGCAGCUGUAAUUUUAUCAUUUACUUUUAUCCCUUGGACCACUGCAUUUUUGUUGAGAGACACAAUAACACAUUUUUAUCUGUCAUUCAACAUUUACAGUAAAGAGAGGGCACAAAACGCAAUUAGAUAAAUUAUGUUUUGCCUGCUAAAAAGAGGCAAAUAACUUUAUUUGCAACAUAAUUAUUUUGGUUUCUAGUGACCCCGGGGCCUUUCGGUUGGUUUGGGAUCGGAAAAUGAACAUCAUAGGGGGGGUUGUGCCCUUAUGGGCAUAUAUAUCUGAUAGCUUCAACUGGCCUUGUUCCUAGAAAGAAAUUGCCAAAGAUAUAAACUUAUUCCAGGCUGAAAGUAGAUGAGAGUCAUAAUGAACAUCAACCUUUGUUCAGUUUGAUUCAAUGCCCCCAUAGUGUUCAUUUCACAGAUCUGAAUGAUUAUAUCCGUUGAAUACAUAAAUUAAUGAAGACAAAUAUGAAACCCAAGAUACAUCUCUGCAUAACAACCCCAACCCUGGUUGCUAUGUUUCCCUUCUUCUAUUCACAUGAGGAUACUGGUUAUAAUUGUCAAACUUGCAACAAGCCCUUUGACACCUAACGUCAAUGGACGAAUUAAAAGUCUCCUUCAAACGUCUAUUUCACAGCAUGAAGCUUAUAAAGGAUGCUGACAACCUUCAGAGUUAGCGACAAAAGAUAAUUAUCAAGGAGAGAUAGUUCCAUGAGAAUUCCAAGGAGUCUGAAUCAAAGACAAAUUGCUCACUCAAGGGUUCUUAUUUUCUUUUAGGUACAAAUCUCUUGAGUGUUGUUAAAGAAACACGUCACUGUCAUUUUGAUUUGCAUUUAACAUUUCACUUUUGUUCUGGAAGGUUUGUUCCGGAAACAUAUCAAAUGAGCAUCAUUUUCUUCUUCGGUGACACAUGGUCGCGAGUACGUGGGUCCAUUUUCAUGCCACUUAGUUGAAAAGUUGGAAAGAAAAAACAUGCCAACAAGAAGAUAGUGAGAGAAGGGGCACUUCAAGCCUUUAACAUGAACAAACAGUAAAUAAAAGAUGUUUCUCCACUCAUAAAAGUGUGUUAGAUAGCAAUAUAACGAAUCACAUCCAAAAUCUUUACUAGGCUCAAACAUAAAGAAGACUCAUUUUUAAGAAAAGAUAAAAAUGGCAUUGUCUGAUAGUAUCCAAUACACGAGAUGGCACUUAAUUUGUACAAGAUCUGUCAAUGCUGACGCACAUUUUCUGAUUAAAAAAAAACUGAUCAGUCAAAAGCAAUGAAGAGAAGUGAUGACAAUGAAUGAUGCUUCCAAUAUUUUCACCCCUUAUAGUGUUCUUCAUGAUUCAGAUAUAUAAUUGGAAAUAGAACAACCCUAUGCCAUACAUUCGUCUAAGUAUGGUGUCUAAUUUUUUGUGUCAGCGGUUGCGAAUGGAGCGUGCAAAAGUCCAAAUUGGCGUCUCUCCAUUUCCACAUAGGAAGGUGACCUUUAUUGACAAAUACCCAAUAUUUGUAGACAUUCCUUAAAUAUCAUAACUUCUUGUUGAUUUGAAAAUCAUUUUUCAACUACCAUGUUUUAAUAAAUAUUUUUUAAAAUGUAUUUUUAUCAAAGUCCACCAUGAUGGAUAAUAUUCACCAUGCAAUAAUUAAUAAAGUACAAACUAAGCGAAAUGAAAAGCAUUUUCUUUGCUUUGAGUUGAUUUUGGUUGCAUUGAGUUGAUUUUGGUUUCAUGGUUUUUUCAACUCUUAUUUUGAUUGGAAGAUGUCAAGAAAAGAAAACAUAAAGAAAAAUUAAAAGGGAAAAAAGAAGAAAAAUAAAAAAAAAUAGAUUUAAAAGUUAAUAAAUUAUUUUUUAUAUUUAUUUUAAUUCAUUUCACUUAUUUUUCUUUUACUAUAUAAAAUUUAAAUAAUUUAAAUUUUAUAAUUAAUUUAAUUACAUUUCAUUUUCUUCUAUAUUUAAAUAUUGGAAAAAUAUUUUACUUAAUAUUUUUUUCUUUAAUUUCUUUGGCAUUUUGGGAACCAAACUUAGCCUUUAAAAUAAAAAACAAAAAAAAAAUGAAAAUAAGGAGGGAAAAGUGAGAAAAGAUAAAAACAAUAUGUAAAGGAUUUGAAAAGUAUUAGUUUGUAAUUACUAUUUGGAUUUCAAUAGUAUUUUAUUUGUCUUUCUAUAUUUCAUGUAAGAGAGAAUUUAAGAUAUUCCCCAAGGCAAAGCAUUAGUUACCUGCAAUCAGUGGUGAUAAGGCUCCAAGCCAAUUUUGGGCCCCAUAUCUUAAGACAGUACAAUUUCCAUUUCAACAUUUCUGAUUUCUCAGAUGUUUCACAUACCACAGAAGAACAUUGUUUGUGAAAAUAUGCAUUUAUGUUGGAUUUUGUAUGCUGUGGGGACUGGGGCAAGGAUCAUAUGGAAGAGUGGUUGACUUUUUCUGUACUUUAACGGUUGAAAUAGGAUAAGCACGGGCAUUUGUGAGGCUUAAUUGAUUUUGAAGCCUGAAAUUGCGUUUCUGUCAUUUUGUCAAAAAAAUGGCAGAUUCCAUACUCAUAUGUUUGGCCUGUGGCCAUGUACAGAUGCCAUUUAGUGACCAGUUUGUAACUGUCAAUCGUUGCGUUUUGACUCUGCCUCAACAACAUCUGCCAUUGACGGGUUUUCAUACUUGCAAAUCAAAUAGUCUUUCGUCCCAUCAGGAAUUUCGGUUUAAAUAUUAUUAAGCAUACGUUUGGCUGACAAUCAUUAUCCAGUUCAUGAUUUGGUUUCUUACCCUUAAUCAAUGGUUUCUAAGUGAAUAUAUGUAGAAGGAAAUCCGAAGUGUAGACAGUAGUAUCGAUAACUCUCAAUAUUCUCUAUAUAAUAGAAUAAACAGCGUCAUAGUGAUCGUCGCCUACAAGCAAGGUACAAAUACCAAAACGAGUGACUCACAUAGACAUCUCCCAACAAGAUGUAGUAGUGACUGACACAUGGACACAAUUAACUCGUAGAAAAGGAUAAGACCAUUGCACAGCAGCUCUUAUUUUACAUACUACUUAUGCUAACCAAAGUCAAUUAGUUGGGAUGGGUGGGAGAUGGAGGUUUGUGCGGUGGCUUGUGGGGCGGAGUUGAUGGCUUCUUUCCAGGAGCUUCUGGCUUUUUCAUCGGAGCUGAAGGAGGCUCAAUCUUAUGAGGCGGCUUGUAUGAGUCUUCUUUACUCUCGACAGGAGGGUGGCCAGGGUUGUGAUCAUAAUGUGGUGGCUUCUCUCCCUUAGGUGGCUUGCCAACUGGGGUUGGUGGCUUGUGUUCAGGAAGUGGUUUCUCUCCCAUGGGAGGUUUAGCAAUUGGGGUUGGUGGCUUGUGUUCUGGGAGUGGCUUCUCUCCCUUGGGAGGUUUAGUAGGUGACUUGUGUUCUGGAGGUGGCUUCUCCACCGGAGGCUUGUGCUCCGGUGGUGGCUUCUUGGUUGGAGGGGGCUUGGGGUAAUCAGCAAGAGAUGGGGUGGUGAGAACCACCAGUCCAAGGAACAACACUAGCAAGUAUGUGGGAGACAUUUUUGAGUUUGGGCUGAUCAGAUGAUGCAAAACUAAAGCAUUACGUGACCUUUUAUAGCAUGUAGCUCCCAAUACCCACUAAGUAUUGUGGGGUCCAUUUGUGCCCUACGGGGUUGAAAACUUAGACAAUUGGGCAAGGACCCACCUGACUAUGGAGGACUAGUGAGGUGUGAUCAUAGCUUUAGGAUUUUUCUUCCUCUGCAGCCGUCGUGCCGUUGGCAUGAUUUUCUUAAUCUUAAAUAAAGGCAUAGUUAUAGAGUUGUUUAAUCUCUAAAUGGGAUUUUAUAUAUAUCUUCAGAUAGCCAUUAAUAUAUUUGAUGAAGAAAGAAAGACAAGUGCAUACAACAUGUAUACGACUAGCUUUCAUGGAGUUCAUUUAUGAUCAGUUUUCCUGUACAUGUAAACCAGGAUCAUAUAUAUGUUUCUGUUCCACAACUAUUUUGGAAUCUUGUUUAUCAGUUUUUAUCAUUAUAAUGUCACAUAGGCUGCCAACUUGGGCGCUAAAAGAACCAGUUGGGCUAGUUCGUUUCAGAAUUUCAAUGUGGAUUCAGGAAUUGUUUUGUAAGAUAUGCGAAAUAGUAGAGGGAUGAAUAGUGUUUCAUUAAUAAAAGUGUCCUGUAAAUUAGAAGGUGUCAUAGAAACUAUAAUCAAUAAAUAACUUUUUUUCCCCACGGGUGGUGUUUCUUGUGGGGAUCAGUGACUGGUUUAGGUUCACCCAAAAUGAGUUCAGACUAAAAUUGGUUUGAGUCAAUGCCGUGUCUCUUUUUUCCAGAAAUCAACUAUUUUAUGCAUUGAAUAAAUCAUACAAAGAAAAUAUGAACGCCCGCAAAACCUAAACCCUGGUUGCUAACUUUCUAUGUUUCAGUUCUAUUCACGCAAGAAUAUUAGUUUAAGUUUGGGAAAAAUGGCAACUUACCUAGUGAUUACUUGGUUUUGGUUUGCGACUAUUUACGCAACCAACCAUGAGUUUGACUUUAACGUCAUGGGUUGAAGCCUCCUACAGGAAGGGAGAAAGCUCCACAGCUAGCUCCAAAAGAGAAUUAUCACAUUGAUAGCUCCAGAGAUUCCCAAGGGGACUGAAUCAAAGACAAGUUCCUCACUUUUUCUUCUUUUGAGGCCAAAUAUGAACCAAGGAUCACACAACCUCAUUCAACUUCAUAAGUUUGAUUUCAUGCAGUUGAACACUGGGUGAAGGCCAUGACAAGAAUUGAUUCAAAAAUUCUAUCACUCUUUUAAGUAAUGGAAGAUUAUUAUCUCUGAUUGGCAUCACAACAGCACAUGCUCCUAGAUCUUUCUAGACACUCCAUGCAAUGAAAGCACAAUGGAUCUUGUAACGAUAGAAACUAAGCCAUGCUACAGUACUAGAUGAUGAGGUAAAACUAGUAGACACGGGUGGCAGCCUAUAUGGGAGGGACACAAGUCUAAUUGAUUUGCAUUUCAGCAUUAUAGAUAGGUAUGUUUUGGAAGAUUUGUUCUGGAAAUACCGCACCAAGUAGGAUUCUUUUUCUCUUUAGUGGGUCCACUUGCAUGCCAAUUAACGAGUUGAAAAGUAUGAGCACCUACCUCGUGCUCGUGGAACCGAAGGUCAGUGAAGUGGGGCUCCUUUUGGCCUCGUGUAAACUUGAUUCAGAAGUGAAGUUAAUAGUCUUCCAUUCAGAUGGAUACAUGGGAAUUUUUCUCUUUUAUUUAUUUAUUUAUUUUUUUUUUGUGUGUGUAUGUCAAAGGAUAAUGAAUGAAGCGCGUUAGCUUGUUUUCUGACUGGAACCGCAGAUGUCCAAAUUGGAGUUCCUUCAUUUCUUACUUAGGAUUGUUACAUGUAUAAACAAGGUAUAAGAAAUAUGCCAACGUGUCUUGAGGAGUUAUUGAUUAGAAAUAACAAGUCACCCGACUGUAGAGUUCCAAGAUUUGAAUCUUCAGACCCUAUAGCAGCCUCUGGGGUACGUGGCAUCCUAUAGCAUAUUAAUGAAGGCUUUUUCGAUUUAGACUUCACAAUACCAAUUAAUAUGUAUGCACAAAAUGGAGAUGACCCCAAAAAAAACAGAAUCGCCAUAGUUUAUGAGGUUAAGGUGAUUCUCCACUUAAUAUCUACAUUAGCUAAUUAUGUAAAUCAAAUGAACUUCUAUUUUUCCUUUUUUUUUUUGGUUUAUGUCAAAUAGUAGCCCAUAAUUAACCCAACCAUUAGCCUGUUUGAAUUGAUUUCACAUGCACAAUGUUGUAGUAGUUCAUAUUUUGAAUUUUAUUUUUACAAAGGUAGUUAAGGAAAAUGAAGUAUAAUAAUUAUAAAAGCAGACUAUAUACACUACAAUAAUUGUUAGAAUGGUAUCUCAAAUUCUAAUUUAAAAUAUUAUUUUUUGUAAAAGAAAUAUUAUAUAGAAUAUUUCCUAAUUUUAUAAAUGAUUAUAAUUAGAUCUUUAUAAAAUAAGGAAAGUUGGUAAGAAUAUCUUUAUAAAUAUUUUAGGUCAUGAGAGAAAGAAAUGGGAUAAAAAUGUGAUGAAGAGGUGAAAUAAGAGAGUUGAUUAGGAUAUAGAUGUGAAGAAGAAAGGGAUUCAAUAUAUAUAUAUCUUUCAAUUACCACAUUAAAACCCUGUGAACCUUUUAUAUGGUUUACUUUAUUUUUAUAUUCCUCCUUUAAUAUAUUUACAUUAAUGCUUCCAUUGGCACAACAAUAACGAAUUACAAAUACAAGCAACAAGUCCCAUGUUUUAUUACCAAAAGCAGGUAAAAUCCACCUAAUAUAUUACAAUAUAUUCAUCCAAUAUUUUAGACCAAUUCUUCACCAUAAAUAUCAUAAUGUGGCUUUUGUUCUUUCUUAAAUUUAAAUUGAAUUGUCUUAUAUCAAUUUGUUUGUGAUUUUUUCAUUAACUUCACUUUCAUUUGGUUAUCUUUGGUUUUUGAAAAGUAUUAAGGAAUUAAUUAACAAAAUAAUGUUAAGAAAAAUAAUUUUCUCUCUUUUGAUUUUGAUUUUGUAGUAGAAAAAUAUAAUUAAAAUUAUUUAAAAAGUAUGUAAUUUUAAAUUAUUUAAUAUUUAGAUAAAAAAAAUAAGUCUAAUGAGUUUAAAAUAACAUAUAAAAAUAAUUUAUUUAUUUUAAAUUUAUUUUUUAUUUUCCAUUAUGUUCUCUUUCUCUUUUACUUUUUCAUAUUUUUUCUUACGAAGAAUCAAACACAACCUCAUAUUAUAUGUCAAGUGUUUGUCUAUAUUUGAGCAAUGUUAGAUACGGCCAUGGAUUCAUCAAACUAAACUGAUUUUAAUAGAUACUUCACAAAUUGAUUUAUACACUAAAUCAUUGGAUAGCAAUGAUGCAUUGGAAUUAAACGUAGGAUGAAGCUCGAAGAACACUGUUUGUGUAACAACAUAUUUAUGAAAUUAUGCAAAGGAUGAGCUUCGGGGUAGUAGUACAAGGUCAUUAAUGGAGAGCCGUGUUAAACCUUGAUUGUGAUUGGAUUCCGUUAUCAGCAACAGCAACCUUGUUUGUAACCUUGAAAGUCAUUCUGUCCACAUCGAAACUCCAAUUUGACGUUUGUAAUUACCAUUCCUGGAGUGUUCCUUGAUUGAAAUUUAAAUAAUAAUUGCGGCCCACAAGGAAUAUUUUCGAUUCUGUGGGAAUUUGACAAGGUUUGUUAGAGAAGACUGGUGACAUGUUGACUUCAAUGGUUCAAAUAGGAGACGUAUGUGGAUUUGGGGGGUUUAAUUGAAACUGAGUCCCUAUGGCUUUUUAAUAUUUGCAUUGAGCAGUCUCCAUGUGACUUCCUAAUUCCCACCAACCCUCCUGUCCAUGCUGUGAAACUAAAUUGUAAUUUAUCAGCCUUUGUCAAUGGUUUCUAAAUUAAAGAUAUAGACCAUGCAUGUACUUUAAUAAAAGCAAAUCUAAAGUGUAGAUAGCAGCAAUGGUGACACCCAAUAUUCUCCAUAAAAUAGAAUUAGAAUAAGCAGUGUUACAUUGUUCAUGAUCACCUACAAGCAUACAAGAACUUCCAUGAAUAACUCAUAGCAAUUGCCAACAGGGCGUCGUAGAGACUCAUACAUAGAACACUAUCCACCCAGAGGAAAGGACAAGACCAGUGCGCUGCAGCUCUUAUUUUUCACAUGUAUACCACCACUCGUAAUAACCAAAUUCACUCAGUUGGGAUAGGUGGGAGAUGGUGGUUUGUGGGGUGGCUUGUGGGGAGGAGUUGGAGGAGGCUUUAUUUUCUGAGGCGGCUUGUAUGAGUGUGCAGGAGGAUGCCCGGGAGUGUGACCAUAAUGUGGUGGCUUCUCUCCCGUAGGUGGUUUGCCAAAUGGGCUUGGUGGCUUCUCUCCCUUAGGAGGUUUACCAAUUGGGGUUGGUGGCUUGUGUUCUGGGAGUGGUUUCUCUCCCUUGGUAGGUUUGCCAAUUGGGGUUGGCGGCUUAUGUUCUGGGAGUGGCUUCUCUCCCUUGGGAGGUUUGCUAAUUGGGGUUGGCGGCUUAUGUUCUGGGGGCGGCUUCUCUCCCUUGGGAGGUUUGCCAAUUGGAGUUGGCGGCUUAUGUUCUGGGAGUGGCUUUUCUCCCUUGGGAGGCUUGCCAAUUGGGGUUGGCGGCUUAUGUUCUGGGGGUGGCUUCUCUCCUUUAGGAGGUUUGCCAAUUGGAGUCGGCGGCUUAUGUUCUGGAAGUGGCUUUUUUCCCUUGGGAGGUUUGCCAAUUGGGGUUGGCGGCUUAUGUUCUGGGGGUGGCUUCUCUCCCUUGGGAGGUUUGCCAAUUGGAGUCGGCGGCUUAUGUUCUGGGAGUGGCUUCUCUCCCUUGGGAGGUUUUGUUGGUGGCUUGUGUUCUGGAGAUGGCUUCUCCCCUGGAGGCUUGUGCUCCGGAGGUGGCUUCUGAAAUGGCGGGGGCUUGGGGUAAUGAGCAAGAGAUGGAGUACUGGUGAGAACCACCAUUCCAAGCAACAAUACUAGCAAGCAUGUGGGAGAC